RNAcentral lists this long non-coding RNA (160166 nucleotides) under Citrus sinensis (sweet orange). Its description in RNAcentral is "long non-coding RNA (CSIN_LNC002650)". Lineage: Eukaryota; Viridiplantae; Streptophyta; Magnoliopsida; Sapindales; Rutaceae. The record is from RNAcentral.
AAAAAUCUAUUGCCAAACUUGGGUAUAUUCAAUGCUAGACCAAUAGAUAGAAUCACCAAAAAUGGAAAGGACAAUAUAGUUGAUAAAGUUAAUGAUUCCUCAAAUAAUGCUGAUGACACGAUAAAAGUUCAUAUGGAAAAGAAAAGAGAUGGCACUAGAGAAACAAAUGACAAACCCUCAAAUAAAGAAAUUCAGUGGCGCAAAAGUGAUUCUGCAGCAGGGAAGAAAUUGAAAAAGAAGUCAAAAGAGCAAGAAAGGGAGCUUGAUGCUAUUAAUGAUGCAAUGAACUCUGGAGGCAUUGUGCCUGGUCGAAACAAAGAUGGCGAUCUAAAUAGUUCUAGAGAUGUUGAUAUGGAGAAAGAUCUGAAGCCGAAGAGAAAGAAAACCAGUGAAAAUCUCUCAAACAAAGACAUUCAAGUUGACGAUGAUGAUAACAGAUUUAAAAAGAAACAGAAGAAACAGUCAAAGGAGAAACAAGGAGAACUUGACAUUAUUGACAAUCGAGAAGCCGCUUUCACAGAGCUCUUCUCUGCCAAUAUUGCAGGAAAGUGGUCAUUUGAUGAUAGCAGGCUAUCCUCAAAUUCAUUAUAUUUUUUUUGUUUGUUAAUAUCAUGAUUGAUAUUUUGUUCAUUUCUUAUGUUGUCUUUCUCUGUCUCACUCUCUGAAUUGCCUAGACUCUCCCGGCCGAGUUGGCUUUUAAUAAGAAGCUUCAAAAUUUAGACUUAGGAAAGAACUUGAUCACGAGAUGGUCAGAAUUGAAGGUGAGGCAUUGAAAUAUUUGUUUCUUUUAUAUUUGUUUUCAUCAAGUUUUUUCUGUAUACUUCAUCACCAUGCAUAAUGGUAACAUGCUUGAAUAGCAGGUGCUACAGUCAUUAGUUAGUCUGAAUAACCUCAAUCUACAAGGAAACCCUGUAGCUGAAUAUGAUAAAUUGGCAAAGAAGGUAAUAUCGCAAUCAUUUUAUCAUGUUAAUCAUCUUUCAAGAAUUCUGCUCCUAGCUGGAUUAAUCUAUGUUCAAUAUUGUUGCAGGUCAAAAAUCUAUUGCCAAACUUGCAUAUAUUCAAUGCUAGACCAAUAGAUAGAAUCACCAAAAAUGAGAAGGACAAUAUAGUUGAUAAAGUUAAUGAUUCCUCAAAUAAUGCUGAUGACACGAUAAAAGUUCAUAUGGAAAAGAAAAGAGAUGGCACUAGAGAAACAAAUGACAAACCCUCAAAUAAAGAAAUUCAGUGGAGCAAAAGUGAUUCUGCAGCAGGGAAGAAAUUGAAAAAGAAGUCAAAAGAGAAAGAAGGGGAGCUUGAUGCUAUUAAUGAUGAAAAGAAUUCUGGAGGCAUUGUGCCUGGUCGAAACAAAGAUGGCGAUCUAAAUAGUUCUAGAGAUGUUGAUAUGGAGAAAGAUCUGAAGCCGAAGAGAAAGAAAACCAGUGAAAAUCUCUCAAACAAAGACAUUCAAGUUGACGAUGAUGAUAACAGAUUUAAAAAGAAACAGAAGAAACAGUCAAAGGAGAAACAAGGAGAACUUGACAUUAUUGACAAUGGAGAAGCCGCUUUCGCGGAGCUCUUCUCUGCCAAUAUUGCAGGAAAUCCUGAAUUUGAUGGUGACAAUAUGGUUAAUGAAGCUUCUAAAUUCAACUCAGUUGAUGGCUUAGUUACCUCUUCUGCUAAGAAGAAGAAAUCUAAAAACAGGGGUAUGGGUCUGACAGUUCAAUUGUCUCAGGAACCUGAAGUUGGAUUGGGUGGACCAUCAACUUGGGGUGAUGAGUGAUUGAUUAUACUGUGAUGGAGCUGCGUGAAUUAUUUGAAACUCUUUCAGUUGAGCUACUCUUCAUCUCUUAUUGAGUCUGAUAACUAUUCUUUGAGAAGCUUAACUCUCAGGUGUACUCCAUAAGUUUUGACGGUGAAACUUGCUUUUCUUUUAAGAUGGUUUCUGAUGCUUAACAUUCCAUUUUGCUUCUCGAGUCCAGCCAUCUCUAGUCUUUAAUGGAAUGCUAGCCUGGGUUGCAAUUUAAUGCUUGCCAUUGUUGCUAUGUGCUGCAAUUUCACAGUGGCCAAGACCUCAAUUGUACCUGUAUCAUCAAUGUGGGAAUCACCCUCGUGUUACACGUUUCUUGGAAGUAAAUUUGCUUGAAUGAUUGUCAAUAAGCCAGAACCAUAACUGUAUGUAGAACAUUCUUGUUUUGUCAUCCCAACUAUGUGGUUGAAAUCAUUUGGUUUGGCUUUGCUGGUCUCAGUUCAUCACUUUGGGUGUGUUUGAAUCAUAGGAUCACAGGCUAUUAAAAUACAGUUCACAUUAACUUAAUACCAAAGUUGUGUUUAUAAAAAAAUUGUAAUGGGUUAAAAGGGGUAUACUAAUGCGGAGUCGGGUUUAGCUAAUGCGACAGUUGCCACAUUAGUGUUUUGCUCUUGCUUUUUUAAAAAAAUAAAUAAUAAUAAAUAAAUAUUAUUUUUUAAUUUAAUUUAAUAUUAUUUUUUAUUUUCUUUUAUUUUUACAUCAUAAUUAUUAAUAUAAAUUUAUAAAUUUAUUAUUCAUAUUUUCUGCUGUACCGUUAUAAUAAUUAAUAUAUAAAAUUGAUUAUUAUUUAACAAUUUAAUAUAACUAAUAAUAAUUACUUAAAUAAUAAUUUAAUAUAUAACUAAUAAUAAAUAUUUGUAUAUGAAUAAAUUUAAAUAAUAUUAAUUUAAAAUUAAUACCAAUAAAAUAAUAAUGUUAGUAAAUAUUAUUAUGUUAUAAUCUGUUAAUACCAAUAAAAUAAUAAUAUAAAACAUUAUUACGUUAUGAUAUUAUUUAGAGAUUAUUUGAUUAAAUUAUAUCCUUCAAUCUUUAUUUUACACAUUAUAUAUUUAGAAAAUACUUAAAAAUGAAUGUUAUGUUGCCAAAAAUGUAAAGUUAUAAGUCUCGAUCUUUAUGAAAAAUUAUGAUAUUUUUUAAAAUUUAUGGUAAAAAAUAAUGUUAAAUUUUUAAAAUUUAAAACUUCUAUACUUAGUACUUUUGUAGGUACUAAAAAAUAUUAUUUUCUAAAUAUAUAAUUUAAAUUAAUAACAAAAAAAUAAUAUAUUAUAGUGUACCAACAAACAUUAUACAAUAUUAUUAUAAUACAGUAUUAAUGUAAUGGAGCAUAAUAUAAUACAUAUAUAUUCAAAUUAUGUAAUAUAAAAUAUUAUAAUACAGUAUGCCAAACGCACCUUUUGAAUACUAACAAUGUAUUAACGCCCUUUAUCCCAAUUGUGUAAUUGUAGCAUCACUUUUACAGAGAAUUGUUUAUUUACUAAAUUUAAGCCACGUCAUGGCAAUGAAUACCUCGCACCAGAGUACUGAAAGAAAAACAACACAAUAUUUCUCUUUGUUUCUUUUUUAAAUAGAAUUAUUACAAGUGAAUUAAAAAAGAAUAUCCCAACUUGUGUUGUGACGUUGAUGUGUUCCAUGGAGCAAACAUUUUCAUCCACUUUUCCUGAGAGGAUAAGGUCUUGGUCACAACUCACGCGUUAUGAUAUCUUGCAGGUAGUGACAAUCAAUCGCGAUGACUUCAUUAGACUUCCAAAAAAAAAUAAAAUUGAAAGUACUUUUCUUUAAUUUAAAAAAAGGUUUUAUACAAAUGAAUUUUUUUUCUUAUAAGCUUUCAUUUUAUUAUUUAUUGACAAAACAAGUAGAUCGCUAACAGAUAUUUUUAAAAGAAAAAGAAAAAAGAUUGGGGAAGUUGACAAAGUCUAUAGAUUCGUGACUUUUUAGGCUUUUAUCCCCCUCAAAACAUAGGUUUAAUCAAAGAAAAAUUACUUGAAAAUCAUUUUAAGAAUCCUCUUAUCUUACGAUUGUAUUUUGUAUUUAUAGAAAAAAAUAUUAAAAAAAUAACACAAUUUUUUAUAAAUUACGGUAUAUAUAUAUUUUUUAUCUUUUAAAAAGUAGAGAAUGAGACAGUUUAAAUCAAUUUUCAAUUCUCUACUUUCCUCUCUAUUUAAACUCAAGUGAUUAAUUAAAUUAAAUUACUUAAAAAACACUCCACCACACGCCUUAGGGCCCAUAAUUUUUUUUUUUAAAUCUAAAAGAUUGAGAGGGAAAAGAAAAAAAAAACGUCGACUGUUAUUCCUUUCUUAAUGAAAUGUUUGUGAAUGUAGGUCCUUGGUUCUUUGUCAUCCACUGCCUGGAAAUUCCCUUUUUCUAUCUUUUAUGCAUUUGUCUAUGGCCUACCAACCUUGACUUUUAGAAUUUAAUUCAUAAAUCUUGCUCAUUACAUUAAAGCAAAUCAACUUAUCCUAUGAUUGGAUUAACCAAAGAAUAACAUAUUCAAAAACUGAUCCACCUUUUAUCAUAUUUGUUUCAACAUUUUUAUUAGACCAAUUAGGCCUAACUCUUUUGCUUAUAAAUGAACCCAACAUUCAAACUCCAUUUUUAGGUAAAAAAUUAAGAAGCAAUGGCUUCUUCUCCUUGUCCCACAAAAUUUACAAGCCAUCAAGGCAUCACAACGUUGCUUCCCGACAUCAUUGAGACUCAUAUCUUAACCCGACUCGACGGCCAAACUCUUGCCGCCGCAGCUUGCACUUCAUCUCGUCUACACUCUCUAUGUGCACAAGAAAAACUCUGGCAACAUAUCUGCUCCUCCACGUGGCCUUCCUCUAACGACCCACGUGUACGAAACCUCGUCUCCUCUUACCCCGGAGGUGGUCACCGGUCUUUUUUCUCUCACUCAUUCCCGGUUCUUGAUUGCCAAAAACAACCCUCAAAACGCAUUCAUGAUGAUGAUUCUUUACUUGUCACCGAACAGAUAAUCUCGGCCGUUGAUCUUUACUACAGAAACGAUCCCGUCUUCUCUAGGGUUGCAGAAAAUGAGACAGUAACCGGCUGGUUUCAGUUCCCACCGUUCAGGAUUGACCUGGUCGACGCGAAAGAUUCCGUUCCGACAAAAAUACCCUUUGUGAGUGAAGCAAAUAUUCUGUUUGAAGAGCUUGAAAAGAACUUGACAUUGAGUUGGAUAAUAAUCGAUUCUAGCAGAAACCGGGCGGUGAACUUAUCCAGCCGGUGGCCGGUUUCCGUGCGACAAGACUGGUUGACACGUGAAUUGCACGUGAAGUAUGCGGUGAUGAUCCCCGCAGGUGGUAAUCAACGGUGGGGAUUGUUUCCGGCGAGGGAGUGCGUGGAGUGUGAGGUGAUGGUGACACUUGGGGGAAGGAGAAAGAAAGGAGAGGAAAUGUUAUACGUGAAAGAAGUGAACAUGCAAAUGAAGGAUAUGGAGGGGAGGAAUUUGAGUGGGAAGGAUGGUUUGGUAAUUUUGCAAGGGGUUAUGGAGAGUGGGAAGAGAACGAAUGGGAGGAGAGAGGUAGUGAAAGUGAGGUAUGAGGAAUUUUUGACGAGGAAAAUUGAUAGAAAAGAGAAAAAGGAAAGGGCAGAAAGGGUAUUGAAUAAUGUUUGUCUUGCCGGUGGGCUUGUAGUGCUCGCAGCUUUUUGGGCAUUCAAAGUGUUUUAGAUAAGAGAACAAGAAUUGUUAAUGACAUAUAUAAAGUCAUAGUACUGUGUAGAAGAAGAUGUGUAUAUAUAUACGUAGUUGUUUAUUGUUAAUUAAUUACUUUGUUUCACGCAAGUGAUUAGAACUUAUAAGAAUAAAAAUUAAUUUGAAUGUGUUUGAAUAGAAAAUAUAAAGUUGCCAUAGGCAGUGUUUACUUUCUGAAGUGAGAGUGAGGAGUGAGGAGUGUGGAUUCCUCUCACUCCAGUGUAUACUUCAACAAAAUAGAGAUGGAUUGGAAAUCUCACUCCAUGUGCCCCAUCCAUUUUUGGAGUGGGAAGUGAGAUUCCCACUCCCACCUCUUCCUUUUCUACCAUUUGUUUUUAAUUUAAUUUAAUAAAAUAAAAUAAUUUAUAAUUAUAUUUAUUUAAAUAAUAUUAUUAUAUUUAACUAAAUAAUAAUUUACAUUGAUUAUAAGUUAAAAUUACUUAAAAAUAAUAUUAUUAUAUUAAUAGAGAAUUAAUAAAUAUAUGCUAUCUUUAUUUAAUAAUAUAAUAUUAUUAUAUUUAUUUUAAAAAUAAUAGUACUAUAUUUAUUUAAUAUUAAUAAUUAAUAAUAAUAAACAGUUUAUUCUAAGAAAAUAUUAAUUUUGUACUAAAUAAUAUUAUAUUAAUAAAUUUAAUAUAAUUAUAUAAAAUAAAAUAAUGUUUCAUUUUAUAUUUACCCUUCUUUUUAUUAAAUUUACUAUAACUAUAUUUAAUAAAUAUUUAAAUAAUAUUAUUAUAUUUAACUAAAUAAUAAUUUACAUUGAUUAUAAGUUAAAAUUACUUAAAAAUAAUAUUAUUAUAUUAAUAGAGAAUUAAUAAAUAUAUGCUAUCUUUAUUUAAUAAUAUAAUAUUAUUAUAUUUAUUUUAAAAAUAAUAGUACUAUAUUUAUUUAAUAUUAAUAAUUAAUAAUAAUAAAAAACUAUAAUUCUUUACAUAAGGAUAUAUAAAAUUGUAAUUUGAAACUAUUUACUCCCAAUCCAAGACAAAGUAAACACAUAAAUUGGAUUAUGAUCUCCAUUCCAUACUUCUAUUCCAGUGCAAGUAAACAACUUACUCUCACUCCCACUCCACACUCCUAAUCCUAGGAUUCCCACUCCAAUCCAAAAAGUAAACGCUGCCUAUAUGUCCUACGACUACGAGCAACCUCACAUAUGCUAGCUAGCGUGAAACAAUUGACGUAUAUUUCACAAGCAUGCAUGUAGUAAAUAUUUUGGAUAAAUAAAUGAUAAUGAAAUAAUUUUGUUUAAUUUUCAAAAUAAAUUAAAAAAAAUGUUUUAUUAUUUAUCACAUGCAUAGUACUAUUGGAAUUAUGUUUAUUAGGAAAGUUUUGACUAUAGUAGUAGAAAAAGAAGUAAUUUGUGUGACUAUUUUAAAACUAAUGCAGCCUAUAUAACUAUUUGAGCAAACCUUAGAAACUUGCCUCAUCUUUUUCUGUCAACAAUGAUACUUUGCUUGGAAAAUAUUACCGGAAAUUUUUUCUUGCAAGCAAGGUACGAAAACAGGUCAUUUUGGUUUUGCCCAUAUUUGGCUUUGCCAAAAGAAUUUCAAGCAGUAUUUUUUCUGAACAAAGUAGCAUUUUUGUUAUUAUAUACACUUUUGUUUUUAAUUAUAGUCUAUAAACAAUUCAAUUUUCUGCUCACUUAUGUCGUUAGAGUUCAAAUCUCAAACCUAUUUUUUUUUACAAAAAAAAAAAGAAAGACUUUACCAACGAAACUAGCUUGCACCCAUCUUAUAUAUAUACCUGUUGAUGCGAGAUUCUGGUUCUCCUCGUUCUACGACCAGGGUCUCUGCUCUAUCAACUUCACCACGACCAGGAUCUCUCCUCGUAAAGCUUCUUCUCCAGAGGUUCCUGCGGCAAAAAAUCUAACCAAAUCUUAUGGCUGUUAGGUUGUUUUCUCUCUUUUCUUAGUUCAAAUAGCAAAAAAUCUAACCCUUUUACCUUCGUUGGCUACCUUUUUAUAGGCUUCCUCUGAGUCCCGGUCUUCCGCAGUUUACGCCCAUUGUUCUCCCCACGCUCGGAUGUGGAUGUCCUAUUAUCUUCAUGAUGGGUGAAUGGAGAUGGACCUCGUGCCUUGAUUCUCGGAUAGGAAGGCACGUCUCGCCAACUGCCGUUGACCGGGUCUCCUCGAAUCAACCCUUAGCAGGAAUACAGCAGGAAUGGCUUUAUGCUUCUUACAGGAGAUUGGACUCGUGGCUAACGUGCUCGUGGAUGAGCAGGGUAUUUCUGCUCAUGCUCCCCAGGAUACCAGGCUCUUACGGGACACACCGGUUCGCAGAACUCUGCCAUCAGAUAUCUGCUCAUCAUGCCUGGUCUCGUCGACGUAUUUCUCCCAAACACCGGUCCCCCAGUUUCUCAAACACCGGUCCCCCAGUUUCUGGUGUUGGGUAAUGUAAUGGACCAACAGUAGAAACUUAGCGGUUCUUGGUCACGUAGGACUGGAAAAGGCCUCGAGGAGGAGCUGACCAAGGUCAAGGAGGAUCUUCAAAGGCAGAAGGCUAUGUACGAGGCUCAGCUCGAAUCCCUCCGCGAUUCCCAUCGGGUUCAGGUCGAGAACUUGGAGAAGGAGGCUGACAACCAGUACGACCAGGGAUUUCGGCAUUCCUAUCGUUGCAUCAUGGCCGUCCUCGGGAAGCAGCAUCCUGAUCUAAAGAUGGACGACCUUGCAGCCGGUGUCACCGAACAUAUGGACGAGGAGGCUGCAAAGGAGGAUGCCGAAGAGGUGGCGCCAAUGGUGAUAGAGGAGGAAAACUCUCCUCCCCGUGUAAUCCCUGCUGAUGCUGGUGAGGCGAGUACCCCCCCAGACCCAACUGAAGAUACUCCCCCAGCACCUAAGGUGGACCAGCUGACUGAGGCUGCUCGGCUUGCGGACCCAUCGUCUUCUUAAACAUGUUUCUUGUAUUGUAACGAACAAUGUUUGUGAAGAUUAUCUGCUUUGUUAAUUAUUAACAAAUUAAUAGAAAUGUUUUUGAUUACUCUCUUGUGUUGUAAUUACGAGAGUCUGCUCGUCUUCGUCUGGUCGAGCUGGCUCUGGCUUGGUAUAUGGUUUUGCCACAUGCCUUAGAAGAUUCUUCAAUGUUUGGGAUUCUGCUCGCCUUUGCGCGGUCGAGCAGAUCUUGGCACGCGUGGCUUCUGUCUUGCCAUAAAAUAGGCUUUGAGACUUGAUGAGCCUUUGUAUACCUUAGAAGAUAUUUCGAUGAUUGGGGAUUCUGCUCGCCUUCGCGCGGUCGAGCAGAUCCUGGCAUGCUUGGCUUCUGUCUCGCCAUAAACAGGCUUUGAGACUUGGUGAGCCUUUGCAUGCCUUUGAUUCUUUAAGGAUUGGGAUUCUGCUCGCCUUCUCGUGGUCGAGCAGAUCCUGGCACGCUUGGCUUCUGUCUCGCCAUAAAACAGGCUUUGAGACUUUGUCGAGCCUUUGCGCCUUAGGUAAUUUCUUCAAAGCUUGGGAUUCUACUAGCCUUCUCGCGGCCGAGCAGAUCCUGGCACGCUUGGCUUCUGNNNNNNNNNNNNNNNNNNNNNNNNNNNNNNNNNNNNNNNNNNNNNNNNNNNNNNNNNNNNNNNNNNNNNNNNNNNNNNNNNNNNNNNNNNNNNNNNNNNNNNNNNNNNNNNNNNNNNNNNNNNNNNNNNNNNNNNNNNNNNNNNNNNNNNNNNNNNNNNNNNNNNNNNNNNNNNNNNNNNNNNNNNNNNNNNNNNNNNNNNNNNNNNNNNNNNNNNNNNNNNNNNNNNNNNNNNNNNNNNNNNNNNNNNNNNNNNNNNNNNNNNNNNNNNNNNNNNNNNNNNNNNNNNNNNNNNNNNNNNNNNNNNNNNNNNNNNNNNNNNNNNNNNNNNNNNNNNNNNNNNNNNNNNNNNNNNNNNNNNNNNNNNNNNNNNNNNNNNNNNNNNNNNNNNNNNNNNNNNNNNNNNNNNNNNNNNNNNNNNNNNNNNNNNNNNNNNNNNNNNNNNNNNNNNNNNNNNNNNNNNNNNNNNNNNNNNNNNNNNNNNNNNNNNNNNNNNNNNNNNNNNNNNNNNNNNNNNNNNNNNNNNNNNNNNNNNNNNNNNNNNNNNNNNNNNNNNNNNNNNNNNNNNNNNNNNNNNNNNNNNNNNNNNNNNNNNNNNNNNNNNNNNNNNNNNNNNNNNNNNNNNNNNNNNNNNNNNNNNNNNNNNNNNNNNNNNNNNNNNNNNNNNNNNNNNNNNNNNNNNNNNNNNNNNNNNNNNNNNNNNNNNNNNNNNNNNNNNNNNNNNNNNNNNNNNNNNNNNNNNNNNNNNNNNNNNNNNNNNNNNNNNNNNNNNNNNNNNNNNNNNNNNNNNNNNNNNNNNNNNNNNNNNNNNNNNNNNNNNNNNNNNNNNNNNNNNNNNNNNNNNNNNNNNNNNNNNNNNNNNNNNNNNNNNNNNNNNNNNNNNNNNNNNNNNNNNNNNNNNNNNNNNNNNNNNNNNNNNNNNNNNNNNNNNNNNNNNNNNNNNNNNNNNNNNNNNNNNNNNNNNNNNNNNNNNNNNNNNNNNNNNNNNNNNNNNNNNNNNNNNNNNNNNNNNNNNNNNNNNNNNNNNNNNNNNNNNNNNNNNNNNNNNNNNNNNNNNNNNNNNNNNNNNNNNNNNNNNNNNNNNNNNNNNNNNNNNNNNNNNNNNNNNNNNNNNNNNNNNNNNNNNNNNNNNNNNNNNNNNNNNNNNNNNNNNNNNNNNNNNNNNNNNNNNNNNNNNNNNNNNNNNNNNNNNNNNNNNNNNNNNNNNNNNNNNNNNNNNNNNNNNNNNNNNNNNNNCGAGCCUUUGCAUGCCUUAGAUGAUUUCUUCAAAGCUUGGGAUUCUGCUAGCCUUCUCGUGGCCGAGCAGAUCCUGGCAUGCUUGGCUUCUGUCUCGCCAUAAAACAGGCUUUGAGACUUGGUGAGCCUUUGCAUGCCUUAGAUGAUCUAUCACAGUUUCAAGUGAAUGACAUUCCUCGACGUUCCAUUAAUUGCAGGUUUUGAUUUUACAUGAACUUGCUUUGGACAUAAAAUAAAUAAUCGCAAAUACGAACAGAAAGAACUUGAAAAUAUUAACAACUCUUACUGGAAAUAUUUCCUGAGAUGUGCUGCCUUCCAUGGGCGCUUCACCUCGUGGCCAUCCAUGCGGACCAGCUUGUAGGCUCCUGGUCCAACUAGCUGCCUGACUCUAUAUGGCCCCCCCCAAUUUGGACCGAACAUUCCUUGAGUCGAGUCUUUCGUGUUCUGAUUUACUCUCCUUAACACCCAAUCUCCAACCUUGAACUGCUAUACAUUCACGUCCUGGUUAUAAUACCGAGCAACCCUUUGCUGGUAAAUGGCUGAUCGCUUGGCUGCUUGAUCCCUCUUUUCCGUUAGUAGAUCAAGAUUCAAUACCGAGCACAUCUGCAUGAGCCUGUAAGCAUUUCACUAACUCCUGCUUCUGCUCUUCCUUAUGUUUCGACCCGAUUCUGAUCGUCGUUCCCGGAUUCUCUGGUCCCACGCUUACUGUCUCCAGCUCCUCUACAGGUUCUUGUCUGCCCUUCUUGCUUUCCACUCGGGUGUUAAGGGAUGUUAUCUGCAUUGCCUCCUUUGCUGCCAAGGAGUAGCAGCUUCUAGCGAUUCUCUGGUCCCCUCGUACCACACCAACUACCCUGUUCACCCAGUACUUGAGAGCCAGAUAAUGGAUGGACAAUACCGCUUUGCUCAUCCUUAGAAACGGUCGACCUAGGAUCAUCUGGUAAGGACCUUCUUCAUCCACCACCACAAAGUCCAGUAUCAUUGUCCUUUCCGUCGGGGAGCUCCCAAUCGUGAUAGGCAGCUCGACCACACCCAGAGGGACCAGCUUUUCCCCUCCGAACCCCUUUAAGGAGGUAUUGGUGUAUUCCAACUUCCGGUCUGCUAUUCCCAUCUCCUCCAAAGUUGACUUAAAUAGCACAUCAACUGAGCUCCCUGUAUCAAUCAAUAUCCGGUCAAACUUCUUGCUAAGGACCGUAACCUUGAUGACCAAAGCAUCCUCGUGGGGGUAUAGAAUCUCUUCCUCAUCUUCAUCCGUCCACAUGAUUGGCACUUGCCUGACCCUUGCUCGUUUGGCUGCUGGGGUGUUGAAGAAUACCUCUUUGCUGGUCAUGGCGUAUCUAGCAUAAUUCUUCCUCGACCUGUUGGAAUCUCUGGCCAAUGUCGAGCCCCCAGCUAUCACCCUUACUCAUACUCUGCUAAUAGUUUACCCAUGCUAAUAGUUUACCCAUACUCUCGCAAACAAUUUUGAGGAUUGACAUCCCAUUACAAAUGAUUACUGAUAACUCAAAUUUAUCAACCUUAUCUUGCUAAAACGCCCUAAACUGUGCAAGUAUUACAAACUCGGAUGGUUCCAUAUCAUCUAUCAUAACAACAAUUUUUUUUUUUUUUUCAAGCAGUCAUCAUCUCAUGGCAAUUAAAAGAUUGGCAUAAAAGUUGUAGGAGUUUGGAAGACGUGCCUGAUAGUAGCCUACAAGUCUCUGAAGUUCAAAUUUAACCAGUCAAAUUGGCCCAUAGAGCUAUUCGAGAAACUGAAUCAUUCCACUUAGAUUUUUUGGGCGCUUUUUCCACUAGAAGCUUGAUGGUAGCCCAUACAAAUUAGUCUUUGGGAAGUACUUUCUGCUUGAAAAUAUUUCAGAAUCAAGAUGAAAUACUCCAAGAGAAUACUAAUAUGGAUAAUUUCAGUCACUUGAAGUUUCCUCAUUUUCUGGAAAUACCAAUUGCAAGUCUUCACUGUCUCUGUAAACUUGAACAAGGACGGCAGCCUUAUAUACAAGCAUGCCAAACAUGGCUGGAACAAUCUGCAAUAAUGGGAAAAUUAAUAAACACAAUUUAUGUUAGCAAUUUGAGGGCUUCAUGAUCGAUUUAAAAACUUAUACAAACAGCUGCAGACAACACUAAAAAUUAUUUUAAUUGCUACCUGGAAAUCAAAGAAGGCAUUGGCAAAAUACCGAUGAGACAGAACCCACAAACCAUAUAUUGUAGCCGGGAUUACAAGCCUUGGAGAUAAAAGAGCAAGGCUACUUCCCUUGAAUGAUCUCUCUAAGAAGUACUUAAGGUCCUCUCUCUUAUUCCAAUUCUACCAAAGAAAAAGAAAUGUUUGCUUAUGCAAGGAGGAGACAGAAAACAACUUAGCUACAAAGAUGCCAUUAAAUUUCAAAAAAAAGGGGGCGGAAGAUUUAAUCUGUACUUCUUGGACUUCUUUUGCAUGAAAAUCUGAGGAACCAUUUCCUUGGACAGACGGUCUGCAUGUUGGAAUAAGAGCUGAAGGUACAAGCAACUGCACUGGAAAUGAGGUUUGUUAAACUACCAGAAUUAGGAUCAGUAAUAAGAACAGAUGGUCUCCUGCUGUUAAUAAACCUUCUUUUUCAGUUUUCUGCUGUGCCGUACAUCCGCCUUGGCCGUACAGCAGUGAAUGGUUCUAUUCCAUUGUCUUUGGGAAAAUUUUCACAUUUAGAAUAUCUAGAUUUGUCCAACAAUAGGAUGAGUGGAACACUUUCUGAAAAUCAUUUUGUCAAUCUAACAAAACUGACUUCAUUUUCUACAUCUGGUAACCCGCUAAUCUUGCAAGUCAAUCCGAACUGGGUUCCUCCUUUUCAACUCGAUACAUUGCAAUUGAGGUCAUGUCAUUUAGGGCCUCAUUUUCCAUCGUGGAUAUACAAGCAUGCCAAACAUGGCUGCAACAAUCUGCGAUAAUGGGAAAAUUAAUAAACACAAUUUAUGUUAGCAAUUUUAGGGCUUCAUGAUCAAUUUGAAAACUUAUACAAACAGCCGCAGACAACACUAAAAAUUAUUUUAAUUGCUACCUGGAAAUCAAAGAAGGCAUUGGCAAAAUACCGAUGAGACAGAACCCACAAACCAUAUAUUGUAGCCGGGAUUACAAGCCUUGGAGAUGAAAGAGCAAGGCUACUUCCCUUGAAUGAUCUCUCUAAGAAGUACUUAAGGUCCUCGCUUCUUAUUCCAAUUCUACCAAAGAAAAAGAAAUGUUUGCUUAUGCAAGGAGGAGACAGAAAACAACUUAGCUACAAAGAUGCCAUUAAAUUUCAAAAAAAAGGGGGCGGAAGAUUUAAUCUGUACUUCUUGGACUUCUUUUGCAUGAAAAUCUGAGGAACCAUUUCCUUGGACAGACGGUCUGCAUGUUGGAAUAAGAGCUGAAGGUACAAGCAACUGCACUGGAAAUGAGGUUUGUUAAACUACCAGAAUUAGGAUCAGUAAUAAGAACAGAUGGUCUCCUGCUGUUAAUAAACCUUCUUUUUCAGUUUUCUGUCAAAAAAGUUGCUAAAAGCACUGCUCGAGUUCUCGGAGUUUUUCACUUCCCUAAACUAGAAAAUGAGGGAUAUCUUUAAAUUCUUUGAGCUCUUUGGAGUCCCAAUUAGACCAAAUAAAGAUAACUCCUCCACAGAGAAAACACUCAAGGGAGUCUACUAAGUUGAGAAUACUUGAUAGAAGAUAUCUAUCCCCAUGGACCAUUUCUCCAGCUAUUGAUUUUUUAGGCCAAAAAAUCCUGUGGACGACUAACAGUAAUUUUUGGUGGAAACUUUACAUCUUACAUUAUCAUGGCUUCCUUGCUUUAUAAUAUCUCUAUACACUUAUUUUUACAUUAUUGGCAGGUAAAAGGUUGGAUCAAAAAGUUCCGUCCAAAUCACCAGGUAUAUUGGUAUUAUUGGCAGCAGAAUCUACCAUUCUUUUAGAUAACUGAUCGCACUAUUUAGUAUUGUUAUUAUUCAUAAACCUUUUAUUUGAAUCAUAGCUCAAAAACUAGGACUCAGCACCGAGCUUAGAAUUUGACAACCGACUCACCAACAUAUUAAUUUAACAGAUAUUAACCUUCUUCUCCAAAAAAAAAAAACAGAUAUUAACCUUAGUGAAAAUAGAUCAACUUACCCAGUGAUUCGGAAUGCUAAAGACCCUAAUAAAGUUCCACUUUCUGUCUGGUCCUUGGCUCCAGGUAAACUAUAUUAUUCAAAGACGAAACCUAAUGUGUGCUUAUCUGGGGCAAAGAAAUGGCAAAAGUACAAAUCAUUUGUUUUUGCAUUGUCACAAUGGUGGUCAUUGUUUCAGGCAGCUAGAAUUUCUUGAGUUAUUCCAGCUUCUAGCAUUUCUCAGCUUUCAGAGAUUAUUUAUGCUUUUGGGAGGAGGGGUGGUGGGGGGUGGGAGAAGCUAGAGUGUUACAGAAAUGUUCAGUUAUGUCCACUUAUUUGGUGAAUUGGCUUGAAAGAAAUUGAAGGAUGUUUUGAAGAUUCUGAGGAAGACAUCAUCUUUUUGUGGGAAAGAGUAGGAUUACUAGCUUUUCUUUGGGCGUCAUUAGAAAGGAAUUUCGAGAUUCUUCUUUCUUCUUCAUUCGUCUAAACUGGAAGCGGUGUUCGCUUAGCUCAGUGCUUUGGAUUUGUUUUUGUUAUGAGAUCAUUUAGUCAUAUAGAUCCUAUAAUUAUUUGGUCAUAUUAUCAGCAUUGAACUAUAUAGACUUUUUGUGAUCUUUAGGGGUUCUCUCUUUGUGGACUCCGUGUUCACUUUCUGUAAUGUUUUUCUUUUUAAUAAAAAGUUUUAUGUUUCCCAUCAAAAAACACCAUAAAUAAAUAUAUGAAAAAUAAAAACAUCAGCUUACCUGAAAAGAACUCCAACCACAUAGCUAAAAGCCGCCUGUAAAAUUAACAAAGUCAUUUCUAUGUAAGCCCAAAAUUUACAAUAUUUCAUGAAUAUCUUACUUUACAUUUUUUUUUAAAAAAAAAAGUGAAUCCUUCCAAUAGAGUAGGGAAGAAAAAAAAAAUUUGCCUACUCUGUUGCAAUUUGUACAGUCAAACACUGAAAAUAUAUAAAAAUAUAAUAAAAAGUAGGUUUGAGAGCUUUUUAUGGUAAAGAGAGCUUGCCAACCCUCUGUAAAUUAAGGUUUAAGGUUGAAGAAAACCUAUUUUGUGGAGUGUGAAUGUUUAUGGGGAGUGAGAGCAUAAUAGAGAAUGAAACCUAAGCACCUUUAUAUAUGGAGUACCUCAGCUGCCACGUGGCGUACCCUUUUUGGCUAACGUCUUUUUACCUUUUUAUGAUUUUUGGGUCGUUAUCUGCUGUACCGUACAUCCGCCUUGGCCGUACAGCAGGGUACUAUGUUGCAGAAGCAAGCUUUUAGGUAAUAACACAACCUAAAAGUUCAAGCUGAGAGAUAAGAGCCUAAGACUACAGAAUCUAACACAUACCUCGCAUGCAAGGCAUGUAAAUCAAACAUAACAGGAACAUUGCUAUAACAAGAAGCAAACUCAAUGUUCUAAUAAUGAAAGUAACACAUCAGAAAAUCCAAAUACAGGACAGCUUGAUCAAACUAGCUCCACUAACAGUUAAGCAGAUAGGUAGGACUCCAACAGUAGUUUUCAAAACCAACAAAUAUAAAUAUAAAAAUAAAAGCAUCCUGGAACAUACCCAGUCUGCGAACCCUUAGUUCUAUUACUGACUUUAACAUAAAACUGAAUCCCUUAGGUCCUAUCCUGGUUACUUGGAGAUCCAAUUGGAGAAAUAUUGGUUUCAAAACAGAAGCUUAGGUAACCAAAUUUGCAGCUUCAUUUGAAAACAGACAUCUCUUGAAAUGCCAUUUGCCAACAGAAAAAUAUGAACAACCUUUAACCAAAAUACAGUCACAUGGUGAGCAUCAGCUCAUUCAGCUCACAAGAUUAAAGUUACACAUUUAAAUAUAAUGAAAUCAUAGGCCUAGAACCAAAAGGAGAGAAACCAGUCCGCCCUUGCAUUUAUACAAUAUGUUCAUUUAUUAAUCAGUUUUUUCAAAGUUAGUUAGAUAACUACAAACAAUUUAUAUUUCAAAUGUAAAGAGAAUCUAACUUCGAAAGAAAUAAUGGAGCUAGAACUGAACAGAAAGAUCCCAAUUUCAGGCAUUGACAUCACAUCAACAACCAAUUAACCAUGAGAAAUACUAAUUUGAAGAAAGGUAUCAUACAGCUUCAUAUUUAAGCAGGUUCAGUCUCUUCCUUCUUUCACUGUCAUCCUGCAAAGCCUGUAUUUACAUGCAUUGGUUAGCAGUAUGAAAUUGCAGAUAUAAAACUUAAAACAAAUUCCCAUGCUUUGCUGAAAUUGGGAGAAAGGGAGGGAAGAGGGAUGAAGAGAUGGGAAAGAGUGUUUACAAGCAAGCCCAUUAUAAUAUAAUGAUAGCCAAGAAAAAGCAUACCUUAGCAGAAGGUUUCUUAUUUAUUGGUGCGGAGUUGUCACCUAAUAGCCACUAAUGGGUUUUCAAUAGUUUUAAAAAUCCAUCAUCAUUGUCACUUCCUAUGACCUACAAAUAUUCGUACCAUCAAUAAAAGCACAAGCAAACUAAAUCACCUAAGACACCAGAAUAAAACAAACAGAAUGUCAUACACUUAGCAAUUAAAUUGAGGAACUUUAAAGCAGAGAGUAGCUAAAACCAGUAUGGAAAUAUGUACGCACUUUAAUUCAUAAAUGCGUCAAGAAUGGAGUGACAUAUGAGAGAUCAGAAUAAAGCAUCUGCAUUGUCAACUGCUUCAAAUUUCAAUGGAGCUUUUUCACAACACUGGGACCAAGUGAGUCCUCCUUCUAUAAACACCAGUGCUACCCCAGUCUAAGCCUCAAUUGUAAUAAGGAGCUGCACCUUUGGCGGUAAUUUAUUUCUCAUAAAAGCCUAGAAAUGAGAGUAUACAAGCUACUGCUAAUUCUAACAGAACACAGGCUUGGCUAAGUUUGAAAAUCCUUCAAGAUAUUGAAUGAAUCAAUUUGUUUUUUCCCCCCCAACUUGGCAUAACUACAUUAUUCAGUAACUUCUUAUUUGACACUCAUGAAACUAAAUAAAUAAAUAAUUUCGGAAGAUUUCUCAUUGAAACAGAUAAAUUGCUGCAUUAUUAGUGACAGAACCAAUUCCAGAGUCCAUACUCCAAAGUCAGAACUUAAGAGACGAAGAACCACAAAAACUACUGAGAAAGAUGCUCUAUAAACCAGAAUUGUUCCAAAUUAUCAUACUUCUAUACCACUACAGAGAACACGAAGCGAAAUUCUAAUUGGCAAUUGCAUAUCCCAAAAAAAAAAAAAAAGAAGAAGAAGAAGAAGAAGAAGAAUACGAUACAUUCUUAUGAAUCAGAAUCAAGCAAGCCACCUGGUGAGCUUGUUCAGAAUUGUCAGCAAAUUUGCCAGCAUCAGCAUCAAAGUCAACAAAUUUCAGGGCCCCCAUCAGCCAAAACAUAUCAGAAGUUUUGGAAAUAAAAUCACCAUUCAAUUCUCUAUCUUUAAAGAACAUUUGCAGAACAUCCUCUUCAGCAACUUCACUAACUGAGAAGUAAUAAAAACAUAAAAACUGGAAUGGGAAUUGACUGGGUAGCAUUAGAAGCGUCACAAAAAAGGGGUGGUGACUGACCUGGACUACUGCUUGUUCUUAAGAGAGAAGAAGAGAAUGUUGGUGAUGUUUUCUUGGAAAGCGGCUUCUGGGUAUGAGGAAGUGGAGAGAAUAUUGGGAAAUGAGAGUGAGUGUAGUUUGUUAAGAAGCUUAUUCUUGAGAGAGCCUCUAUUUUUUGUUGGGCCUUCCUGGCUUGUUGCUUGGCUAAAUUGUUUGUUUGAAGAUUAAGGAUAUUUAUGCUCUGUGAGAAGCCGCGCUCUUGUUUGAUGGAGAAUGGUUUGGAACAAAAGAGGCGUUAUCGCAUUCUCCUGUCGAGCACCAGCACCGCCGGCCGCUCGCUAUUUUUCUAUUCAUAAUAAUUAAUUGUGAGGGAUAAUUUCAUGGGAAUCCGUGAGGUUCACUUAAUAUCAAUAAUACCAUAUAAGUUCUUGUUGAAGUGUGAGCUCUGAAACUGAUUUCCAGAAAUCCAUACGACAUGUCAGUUCGUGAUUGGAACAGAAUACGACUCGUCGGUUAAGAUCAUUCAAAGCUGUAUGACAAGAUGUUCAUUCAUCUAUCUGUGAGUAAGUGAAGCACGUGGCCAUCACAUGCUUCCACUUAUCCAUACGACUUUGCUGAGUGCCGUUUUAGAGCCUGCAUUUAACGUGAAGCAAACACGUGGCUCAGAGGUCGUUAUGUUCUGUUACAAGAGCGGGAAAAUCUGGGUCUUAUUGACAGAGGAGAGCUGACUGGUGGGGGGAUUUUCUGGGCUCUCUUAAGCGUGUAUAUAUAGACUUAAGGGAUACGGAAUCAGGAAGUGUGAUGCUUGUAAUUUCAUCUUAAAACUUGUAUCUUGUUCCUGGUGAUUGAAUAAAGAUUGUUGCUCUGUUCUUCAGUGGAUGUAAGCCAUCUCCAGGCUGAACCACUUAAACUGUUUUCUCGUUUUUUGCUGUUCUUUAGCUUCUUCUGUGUAUCUUUUAUUUGUUUCUUAGUCAAGCAUCAGAGUGUUUAGAGCAGUCUUGGGGAAUCUUGGUUGAUUAAAUUCGAUCAAGGCUCAACAAAUUGGUAUCAGAGCCCAACAACUCUGAUUCUUGUUCCAAGAAAUGGCAACCUCUAAGUUUCAAGUAGAAAAAUUUACUGGAGAGAAUGACUUCCAUCUAUGGAGACUCAAGAUGAGAGCUUUGUUGGUUCACCAAGGGCUUGAAGAAACAUUGGGUGAUCCAAGAUCUGAAAAGAAGCCUAGCAAGCUCAGUGAAGAAGAAAUGCAAGAGGCAUUAGACAAGGCUCAUAGCACCUUAAUCUUGAGUCUGGGAGAUGGAGUUCUGAGGGAAGUGGGGGAUCAAACAACUGCUGCAGGCCUCUGGAAGAAAUUAGAAGACCUAUAUACGAAGAAGUCCCUAACCAAGAGACUUUGCACCAAGAAGAGGCUGUAUACAUUGCAGAUGGAGGAAGGUAGCUCUCUGGCAAAUCAUAUUGAUCACUUCAACAGGAUCAUUCUUGAUCUUGAAGAUAUCAAUGUGAAACUGGAAGAUGAAGACAAGGCAAUAAUCUUGUUAUCAUCUCUCCCACCCUCCUAUGAACAUUUCGUGGACACACUGCUAUAUGGAAGGCAGUCAAUAACCAUGGCUGAUGUGAAAGACUCUCUCAGCUCAAAAGAGGUUACAAGGAAGUCAGAAGUAAAAGAUGGAGAAGGCUUAACAGCAAGGGGUAGACCAGAGAAGAAGGAUUACAGUAACAAGAAUAGAAAACGCAGCAAAUCUAAGUCAAAGAAUAAAAAUCUGAAAUGUUUCCAGUGCCACAAGGAGGGACAUUUCAAGAAGGACUGUCCAGAGAGAAAGAACAAGGAUAGAGAUGGACCCAAGAAGAAUGGAGAUGCUGCUGUUGCAUCAGAUGAAAAGGAUGAUGAAGGCUAUGACUCAGCUGGUGUUCUUCUAGUCACUGGAACUCAAACCAAUGGUAAGUGGGUGUUGGAUUCUGGAUGCACUUAUCACAUGUGCCCUGAUAAAAAUCUUUUUUCCAGUUAUAGAGUUUUUAAUGGUGGGGAAGUCAUGAUGGGAAACAACUCACUUUGUAAAGUAGUUGGACUUGGAACCAUUAGGCUUAAGAUGUUUGAUGGGGUGAUUAGGGAAUUAAGUGAAGUAAGACAUGUUCCUGAGCUAAAAAGGAACUUAAUAUCCCUAGGGAUCCUUGAUCAAAUAGGCUGUAUCAUUAAAAUGGAAUCUGGGGUUAUGAAGAUAAUCAAAGGGUCCAUGGUGAUAAUGAAAGGGGCUAAGAAUAAUGGCUUGUAUGUGCUGCAAGGGACAGCCAUUACAGGGGAUGUUAGUGUCUCAACUAGCAUGAAUCCAAACAAAACACUAAUGUGGCACAUGAGAUUAGGGCAUAUGAGUGAAAGAGGGAUGAAGAUAUUAGAAAGACAGGGAGUCUUGGGGGAUGAUAAGAUAGGUCCUGUUGAGUUCUGUGAGGUAUGUGUCCUAGGAAAAUCCUCUAGAACUAGCUUCAAAACUGCAGUGCAUAAGACCAAAGGAACCUUAGAUUACAUCCACUCUGAUCUGUGGGGACCAGCACAGACAACUUCUUUAGGUGGAGCUAAAUACUUCAUAUCCUUAAUUGAUGACUAUUCUAGAAUGGUUUGGGUGUAUAUCUUAAAGAGUAAGACUGAAGUCUUUGAGAAGUUUAAGCAGUGGAAAGCACUGGUAGAAACACAAACAUGUAGAAAAGUCAAGAGGCUAAGGACUGAUAAUGGUUUAGAAUUUUGCAAUCAAUUGUUUAAUGAUUUCUGUGCUCAGAAUGGAGUUGUAAGACACAAGACAGUAAGGCACACUCCACAGCAAAAUGGACUUGCUGAGAGGAUGAAUAGAACUCUCAUGGACAAAGUAAGAUGUCUGCUAAUUCACUCUAAACUUCCUCAGUCCCUAUGGGCUGAAACACUGAUGACAGCUUGCUAUUUAGUCAAUAGAAGUCCAUCCAGUGGCAUAGACUUUAAAACACCUGUAGAAAUGUGGUCAGGCAGAGCUGCUAACUAUUCUGAUUUGAAGAUAUUUGGCUGCCUUGCAUUUGCACAUAUAAAGCAAGGAAAGCUUGAGCCAAUAAUGGCUUGUAUGUGCUGCAAGGGACAGCCAUUACAGGGGAUGUUAGUGUCUCAACUAGCAUGAAUCCAAACAAAACACUAAUGUGGCACAUGAGAUUAGGGCAUAUGAGUGAAAGAGGGAUGAAGAUAUUAGAAAGACAGGGAGUCUUGGGGGAUGAUAAGAUAGGUCCUGUUGAGUUCUGUGAGGUAUGUGUCCUAGGAAAAUCCUCUAGAACUAGCUUCAAAACUGCAGUGCAUAAGACCAAAGGAACCUUAGAUUACAUCCACUCUGAUCUGUGGGGACCAGCACAGACAACUUCUUUAGGUGGAGCUAAAUACUUCCUAUCCUUGAUUGAUGACUAUUCUAGAAUGGUUUGGGUGUAUAUCUUAAAGAGUAAGACUGAAGUCUUUGAGAAGUUUAAGCAGUGGAAAGCACUGGUAGAAACACAAACAUGUAGAAAAGUCAAGAGGCUAAGGACUGAUAAUGGUUUAGAAUUUUGCAAUCAAUUGUUUAAUGAUUUCUGUGCUCAGAAUGGAGUUGUAAGACACAAGACAGUAAGGCACACUCCACAGCAAAAUGGACUUGCUGAGAGGAUGAAUAGAACUCUCAUGGACAAAGUAAGAUGUCUGCUAAUUCACUCUAAACUUCCUCAGUCCCUAUGGGCUGAAACACUGAUGACAGCUUGCUAUUUAGUCAAUAGAAGUCCAUCCAGUGGCAUAGACUUUAAAACACCUGUAGAAAUGUGGUCAGGCAGAGCUGCUAACUAUUCUGAUUUAAAGAUAUUUGGCUGCCCUGCAUUUGCACAUAUAAAGCAAGGAAAGCUUGCUGCUGUACCGUACAUCCGCGUCUUUCUUGGAUAUCCAGAGGGUGUGAAGGGCUAUAGGCUCUGGUGUACUGAUCUAAAACCACCUAGGUGCAUAGUCAGUAGAGAUGUGGUUUUCAAUGAGCAAGAAAUGCUUAAGAGCUAUGUGCAGAAGCUUGAAAACUCAGACAAAGACACUGGUGUACUGAGAGAUCAGAUUAAGGUGGAGCUUACUGGAAAAUCUGGAGAUACAACUUCAUAUGAGGCAUCAGAGGAUGAAGAAAGAGAUGCAGAAGAUUCUGAUGGAAUUUCAGAAAAACAAACAACAUUGCAUGAUUAUUGUUAGAAAAUGUAUAUUUAUAAAGGAGAAAAUCAUCAUUUUACAUUUCAAGUUUUACUAACAACCCUUACUUUUAUGUAUUUAAGCUUCUUGCAAUUUAAUUAUGUGUGUUUGAUUUUAAUUAAGUAUUUUAUGUAUUUUAGGGGCAUCAUGGUCAUUUUACAAUAAACGAGAGAUCAGACGGUAAAACAGACAUCACUUUUGAACUCAGGACGGUCGAAAACCUUAGGAGGAGCAUAAAAGGAAAAAUGGCACUAUUCACAUGUACGGUACUGUCUACGUUACUGUUCAUGACACUGUUCACAUAGACGGAUCGAUGACGUGGCAUUGACCGAUGAUGUGGCAUUGACNNNNNNNNNNNNNNNNNNNNNNNNNNNNNNNNNNNNNNNNNNNNNNNNNNNNNNNNNNNNNNNNNNNNNNNNNNNNNNNNNNNNNNNNNNNNNNNNNNNNNNNNNNNNNNNNNNNNNNNNNNNNNNNNNNNNNNNNNNNNUACAUGGGGAAUUACAAGAGUACAUAGUAAUGGCUCAGCCUGAAGGAUUCACAGACAAAUCAAAGGCUGACUGGGUUUGUCAUCUGAAGAAGUCUCUGUAUGGACUCAAACAGUCCCCAAGGCAGUGGUACCUCAGGUUUGACAGCUUUAUGUUAGAGCAGAAAUUUCAGAAGUGUAACUUGGACUGUUGUGUUUACUUCAGAGAAGAUUCAGGCAUGAUGGUUUAUCUGGUAUUGUAUGUAGAUGACAUGCUUAUUGCCAGUGUGAGCAUGAGCUUAAUUGAAGACCUGAAACAGAAGCUUAAAGGAGAGUUUGACAUGAAGGAUCUUGGUCCAGCAAAGAAAAUUCUGGGAAUGCAGCUACACAGGGAUAGAAAAGUUGGUACUUUGUUUCUCAGUCAGGAAGAAUACAUCAGAAGGGUAAUUGACAAGUUUGGAAUGGCAAACUCAAAGCCAGUUCAAACACCCUUAGCACCUCACUUCAGAUUAUCAGAUCAGUUGUGUCCAAAAACAGAAGCUGAAAUAUCUGACACGAUAAAUAUACCUUAUGCAAGUGCUGUAGGUUGCUUGAUGUAUGCUAUGGUCUUAACUAGGCCUGAUUUAUCCUAUGCUGUGAGUGUUGUAAGCAGGUAUAUGGCAAACCCUGGGAAGGAACACUGGAGGGCUGUAAAAUGGAUUCUCAGAUACCUAAAUGGGACAGCAACAUAUGGGUUAAUGUAUGGAGGACCAAGACAAGAUGACAGUCAGAUUGUUGGUUAUGUGGACUCAGAUUAUGCUGGGGAUCUGGAUAGAAGAAGAUCACUUACAGGAUACCUCUUCACACUCAACAACUGCACUAUCAAUUGGAAAGCUCAACUACAGAGUGUUGUGGCACUUUCAACCACAGAAGCUGAAUACACAGCUGCUGCAGAAGCAGUUAAAGAAGCCAUCUGGCUUAAAGGAAUGCUUAAAGAACUUGGUAUUGAUCAAAGGUCAAUAGUGAUAAACUGUGAUAGCCAAAGUGCAAUAUGUCUGAGCAAAAAUCAGACACACCAUGAGAGGACCAAACACAUCGAUAUCAAGUUGCAUUUCAUAAGGCUGGAAGUGAUAAGAGCAACUGUGAAGCUGCAGAAGAUCCAUACAGAUAAGAAUGUUGCAGAUAUACUGACUAAACCAGUGACAACUGCUAAGUUCAAGCUUUGCUUAGAAUUAGCAGGAAUCUGUCAAAAAUAAGUGACAGACAGUUAAAGAGAAGAGUAACAGGUUCAUGAGGGUUUCAAGCUCAAGGUGGAGAUUGUUGAAGUGUGAGCUCUGAAACUGAUUUCCAGAAAUCCAUACGACAUGUCAGUUCGUGAUUGGAACGGAAUACGACUGGUCGGUUAAGAUCAUUCAAAGCUGUAUGACAAGAUGUUCAUUCAUCUAUCUGUGAGUAAGUGAAGCACGUGGCCAUCACAUGCUUCCACUUAUCCAUACGACUUUGCUGAGUGCCGUUUUAGAGCCUGCAUUUAACGUGAAGCAAACACGUGGCUCAGAGGUCGUUAUGUUCUGUUACAAGAGCGGGAAAAUCUGGGUCUUAUUGACAGAGGAGAGCUGACUGGUGGGGGGAUUUUCUGGGCUCUCUUAAGCGUGUAUAUAUAGACUUAAGGGAUACGGAAUCAGGAAGUGUGAUGCUUGUAAUUUCAUCUUAAAACUUGUAUCUUGUUCCUGGUGAUUGAAUAAAGAUUGUUGCUCUGUUCUUCAGUGGAUGUAAGCCAUCUCCAGGCUGAACCACUUAAACUGUUUUCUCGUUUGUUGCUGUUCUUUAGCUUCUUCUGUGUAUCUUUUAUUUUGUUUCUUAGUCAAGCAUCAGAGUGUUUAGAGCAGUCUUGGGGAAUCUUGGUUGAUUAAAUUCGAUCAAGGCUCAACAGUUCUCAAUCAACAUUUGAACUUGUACAGUCAUAAACUCUCCAAAUUAAUAAAGUCCCACAUGUUGGUUUGUAAUUUUAUGAUUCUUAUAACUUUGUGACAAUUUAUGUCAGUUUGCACCAUGGUGUAGUAUUUCAACAAAAGUGAGAAAAAUGUGAAUAACCUUUUAUAAUUUCUUUUAUUUUAUUCAUAUUUAUAAUUAACCUAUUUAUUAAGUCAUAUGUCAUUUAUCUAUUAGAAUGAGAAAUUUUAUUUCACUUUUACUUAGAAUGCCACCAUAUUACUUAGAAUGAAAUCUUUAGAGAUAUUACAAAGUCGAAAGUAUUGUAUUAAUAAUUUUAAUAUGGUUAAGUUUUCAAAUAUUCCCUUAUGAAAUAACAAUCUUUAAAAACACUCCCAAACUUAUAAGUGAAAAAUGAGGGUGGGUUCAUGAAAUUUUUUUUGCUUUCUUUAGAAAAAUAGGAGGAAAGUUGAGAUUUACAAUAAAUUUGAGAAUAUUUCGAAGAUUAUUAUUUCAUAAAAGAGUAAUCCAAAAUUAACCACCUCUUUCAAUAUAAAUAAAAGAAAAUCCAUCAAGAUGGUAAAUACAAGCCAUGUGGACUUUCUUGUCACUUUCCAAAGAAAAGAAAAAAAAAACAAACUACUUGAUUGAGUUAAUUAAAGAACAAGUUGGAUAGAGACCGUUCUUUCCCUUAUGAAAUGUAUGUACAAUAGAUAUUUCUCAAAUAUAAUGAGGGUAGAAAAUCUAAGCUGUGCUUCAUAGAUUUUAUGUAGAAUAAUUUCAAGAAUUAUCUGAUAUUAAUAUUAGUAACCAAAAAAAAAUUAAGUAUGUAUUAAUAUUUUUGUUGUGAAAAUAACCCUAAUAUCACUGGAUUAAUCACACCCCAAGACCUAUUUCAGACUCCAAGAUUUAAGAACAAAAACUAAGCUAAUAAAAAACAAUCACCAGAUCAAAGAAACACAGCUCAAAGAAUCAAGAAUGCACAAAAACUUAAGUGGUUCAGCACCUUUGAGGGUGUCUACAUCCACUGGAGAAAACAACUCAGGGAGCAACUUUAUUAAGCUUCAAGGUUACAGAAAUGAUAACUCGCAAUACAGGGAACACUCAGCAGAGCUUUACUCUCACUAUGGCUUCCUUAUCACUCUCUCCUCGAUGAUACAAGAUUACACCAGAACCAGCAUAUAUAUAUCAGUUGUUGCUGGCGUUACAGAUCCAGAAGUUUCCCUCCAAAAUCAACAGCCUUAACUAACUAAUCACAAGCUUCUCACGUGCAAAUUAAAGCCUCCCUUAAACGACAUCAAGCCACACCGUUUAAGCUUUAACAGGCAUGUGUUCACCACGUGAGUGCUUAAGGUUUUGAACGACAUCAUUAAUUCGUCGGUGUUGGAUCUUUGAUUAGCUGAAACGACAUGUCACUCAUCUCUACAACUUUAAGACGACAAGUUGUUCUGACGAGUUUGAGUUCAUUUCAACAAUUUCUAAUUGAUUACGGGAAGAAGAACGAAAGGCAAAGUUUUCCAGAAAUAUUAGCAACAAUAUAAACAAAUAUUAUACUAAUCAAUGAUUAUCUUCGCUACCAGAACCGUAUGAAACCAGACUUAUUAUUACAGGGCAUUUAUUAUGAUCAGCAUCACCCCUAUUUCUUUUCAGCUAGCACUGCGGGUUCCGGAGAUUUUUCUGCUACAUCAAUCUUUUUCAUCGUAUCUGAAGACGAUUCUGCUUCACACACUGAACAUCUUUCUUAGGCUUCUUUGCCAGCGGCAUCACUUUCAUAAUCGAGCUCAAGGGACGAGACGCUGGAUUCUUCUUCCCAAUAAUUACUCUUUGUUGAUGAUCAUCAUCAUCAUGGCUUAUUAAUGUUUCCUUGGAAGCAACACAUUGUGAUGCCACGGCUGCCCUGAAACGCCGAAGCUCCAGGGCCUCUUCGUCAGCAAGCCGCCGCUCUUUUUCCUUCUUAUACGACUCCCAUCCGUCAAGAAACUGGGCCUCGUCUUCGUCCAAGGAUUUCGGAGGCUUGUGCUUCCGGUUGUCCUCGAGUUCCUUUUUCUGUUUGGCUUUGUUCUCGUUCAGUGUCUCGUGAAGAGGCCUGUCUUUUGUGCGAUCAAGUUUGAUUGGUGUGGUAAAGGUAAAGGAAGUUCCAGAAAGGAUAUGAGCUGAAGGAUUCGAGCUUGAAGAAGCCAUCACUUUGUAAACAGAGUGGCUCUGAUACCAAGUUAAAGAAGAGAAAGUGUUUGGUUGAAAGGAAAAUUCUAAAGCUCGAGAGAGAAAAUAUUAUCAGACUGAAUUCUUUUUUAUUAUUAUUUAACUGGAAUGAGGAAUUACAGGCUUUAUAUAAUCGAGCCUAGAAGGUUCUACAGCAACAAACGUAUGGAAAUUAUCUUAACAAAUUAUAACAAACUAUUGGCGGGAAUCAUUAACAACUUCUAAGAGUUGUACUGCACAUGUAACUAAUUGCUGAUAUGGUGAAUGACUCAGCAAUCUUUGCUGACUCAGCUGCUGACAUGGAUUCAUUCUUAACAUGCCCCCUUAAGCUCAAGGUCUUGGACAGACAUUGAGCUUAGCUCUCAUAUAAGCAAAAUGAUCAAAGCCAAGUGGCUUAGUAACCACAUCUGCCAAUUGAUUUGAGCUUGACACAUGUUCAACAGCAAAUUCCUUCUUGGCAAUGUGUUCUCUCACGAAAUGAAUGCCCAAUUCAAUGUGCUUGGUUCGUGAAUGAUACUUUGGGUUACUUGCCAGAGCCUCUGCAUUUUAAUUAUCACAAUACAGAACAGGUGUGUUGGUUAGCUGUAUUCUGAGCUCCUGUAACAAGUAUGAAAUCCAUAACACUUCUGAAGUUGUCAAGGUUAAGGCUCUAUAUUCUGACUCAGCUGAUGACCGAGAAACAACAUUUUGUUUCUUUGAUGACCAGGAAACAAGAUUGGAUCCGAGAAAGAUGCAGUAGCGUCCAACAAAUCUUCUGUCAUCAGGAUCUGAACCCCAAUCUGCAUCUGAGAAGGCUGUGAGGGAAAAAGACUUUGAAUUGUAGAACUGAAUCCCAUAGGUAGCUUUACACUGAAGAUACCUAAGUACCCUUUUGCAAGCCUGCCAAUGAAGCACAGUGGGAGCAGCUAAAAACUGACUUAACUUGUUGACAGUAAAGGCUAUAUCAGGCCUUGUCAGAGUUACAUACUGAAGAGAUCCAAUAAUACUUCUGUAAAGUGAAGGAUUUUCAAACAACUUCCCUUUAUCUUUGUACAACUUAUCAGCUACACUCAUUGGAGUAUUACAGCCUUUGCUGUCAAGCAUGUGAGCCUUCUUUAAGAUAUCUCCAACAUAUUUUGUUUGAGAAAGAUGUAACCCAGCACUUGAUGGAGUAACUUCUAAACCAAGGAAAUAGUUGAAGUCACCCAAAUCUUUAAGAGCAAACUCAGAGCCAAGAAGUGCAAUAAUCUUUUCUAUUUGUGCAUAGCUAGAACCAGUAACUAAGAUGUCAUCUACAUAGAUGAGAAUGACUAAAAUAUCUGAACCAGUGUGCUUAAGAAACAGAGAGGUAUCUGACCGAGAGGUUUGAAAGCCCCACUGCAGCAGAGAGCCUCUUAAUCUGUCAUACCAUGCACGAGGUGCCUGCUUAAGACCACACAAAGCUUUGUUUAACUUGCAAACAUAAGUUGGAUGUUGAGAAUCAAUAAAUCCUUCAGGUUGAUGCAUGAAAACCUCUUCAGUUAGUACACCAUUCAGGAAUGCAUUAUUGACAUCCAACUGCCUUAUGGUCCAAUGGUUUAUCACUGCAAGGCUCAAAAUUAUUCUGAUGGUACAAGGCUUUACAAUAGGGCUGAAAGUCUCAAAGAAGUCUACACCAUAGGUUUGAUGAAAACCUUUUGCAACUAAUCUUGCCUUAUACUUUGAAACACUUCCAUCUGGAUUAUACUUAACUCUAAACACCCAUUUGUUUCCAACAAUUUUGGUUGCUAACUCAGCUGGCACAAGAGUCCAGGUUUCAUUGUUCCUCAAGGCAUGUAACUCAUCUGUCAUUGCCAUAUACCAUUUCUGAUCUGCUAAGGCUACUUUGACACUAGCUGGUUUAACAUCUUGUGUGGCUGUAAGAUAUGUUUUAGGCUUGAAAAUUCAUGCUUUGGCUUUUGUAACCAUUGGAUGAGCAGAAACUAUUGGCAAGGAUGGUUGAGGAAGAGCUACUGGUGAGUUUUGGUUAGAUAUAUGAGAAUGAGCAUUUGAAGAGAGUGGUGAAGGAGGAGUGUUUAUAUGUGGUAAGGAAAGGGAGUUUAGUGUUGGUGAUACUGCUGGAACUGAUGAUGAUGUUGAAGGCUGUUGUGAUGAGCUACUGUCAUGAAGAAUGCAGAAUGAAGGAGAAGAAAUUUGAACUGACUUUGAUAAAGAAUCAGAAGAGAGAAACAAUUCAGAAUAAGGAAAUUCAUGCUCAUUAAAUGUAACAUGAAUGGCAAUGAACACUCUCCCUGUUUUAUCUAGACAUUUGUAACCCUUAUGAAGAGGGCUAUAACCUAUAAACAAACACUUUUGAGAGUAGAAGUCAAGUUUGUGUUGAUUAUAUGGUCUGAGUAAGGGAUAACAAGCACUGCCAAACACUCUAAGGAAGUCAUAAUUUGGUAAUUGCUGAAACAACUUUUGAUAAGGUGACUGAUUGUUUAGAACUGUGGUUGGCAUUCGAUUAAUAAGAUAAGAAGCUGUGUGAAAAGCUUCCCACCAGUAAGAAACAGGCAUUUGGGCUUGAGCAAGAAGAGUUAACCCUGUUUCUACUAUAUGCCUAUGCUUCCUUUCCACCACACCAUUUUGAUGAUGUGUGUGAGGACAGCUGUGCCUAAAUUGGAUACCCUCUCGGUGAAGAAAAGAAAUAAAGGCCUUGAACUCUCCCCCCAUGUCAGAUUGUAAAGCUUUGAUAGGGAAACUGAACUGUUUUUCUACCAGGGUUUUGAAGUUUUUAAAGGUACCUAAAGCAUUUGAUUUUAGCACAAGAGGAAAGAUCCAGCAGUACCUAGUGUAAUCAUCAACAAAAGAAAUGUAAUAUCUAUAGCCUUCCAUAGAAAGUACAGAGGCUGGUCCCCAAAGAUCAGUGUGGAUUAAUUCAAGAGGAUAUUUUGAUUUGAUGUCAGUUGCUGAAAAAUGAAACUGGUGUAAUUUGCCAAGUUGACAUGCAUUACAGAAUUCAAGUUUUUGCUUAUUAUCACCAAUAAAUGUUAUACAAUUAUUUCUCAAGAGAGUUUGAACAACAUGCUUGCUUGGAUGACCAAGUCUAUUAUGUAAAAGACUGACUGAAACAUUGCUUGAAGCAUGAAAGCUUACUGGAGAACUAGACUUUAUUUUCUCAAACAAAGGAUCAACACAAGUUUGCUGAGAAGAAAAAACUGACACCAUUGAACUUGGUUGGAAUACUGAUGUAUCAGAAGAAAAUGACUCUCCAUAUGACAGUAGCUUAUACAGCCCACCUUCAACAAUCCCCUGAGCCAGUAGUGUUCCCUUCACUUUGUCCUUUAGAAAACAGGCAUCAAAUGAGAAUUCAAUUGUUAUAUCACUGUCAGAAAGAAGCUUAGAGAUACUUAUAAGAUUUUUGGUAAUUUUAGGAACACAUAGAAUAUCACGAAGAUGAAUGCAUGCACCAAAAGAGGUAUACAAACAUGCAUUACCAAUAUGUGUGAUUUGAAGACCUUGGCCAUUUCCUACAAGUAGAGAAUUGGUACCAAAAUAAGUCUUACCAUCAGUUAAGUUCUGAACUGAGUUGGUAAGGUGAUGGGUAGCUCCACUGUCAAGGUACCAGCCUUGAUCAGCAACUCCCUCAGAUGUAGCCAUAUAAGCUGACUUUGGUCCCUGAUUUCGAUGAUAGCCUUGAACUGGAAAGCUUGGAGCAAAAUUUUUGUUAAACCUGUCUCUACACUCAGCAACAGUGUGGUUAAACCUAAAACAAAUCUGACACAUAACACCUCCCUGGGCAAAGUUCUUUCUAUUACCCCCAAAACCACCUCUGCCAAAACCACCAGCAUUAGCAUUUCCAUUGUUAAAGUUACCAGCAAAACCUCCAUUAUUAAAAUUUCCACCAGUGUUAAAACCACCAGCAAAGCCUCUGCCAGCAUUAAAAUUCUGAUUCCAGUUACCAUUCCAAUUACCUCUUCCUUGACCUUGAUAUCCGCCUUGAUAUCCACCUCUACCACCAGAAUUCUGAUUCCAGUUACCUCCACCAUUUUUGUUCCAGUUAUUUUGAUUAUUACCAUUCCCUUUCUUUUGAAAAUUCUCAGUUUGAGCUACAUUAGCCAUAAAGUUGUUUUUAACUUCUUUACUGUCAACAUUCUUACUAUUAUCAAGCCUAGCCUCAUGUGUCAACAACGUAGCAUAGGCUUCACUCAGAUCCAUGGUCAACAUAUUUGCUUCAAUGUAAACAACUACAAGAUAAUAUGAAUGAUCUAAUCCAGUGAUAAGAUGAGUAAUUAGACCAGUGUUGCUGAGAGGACUUCCAGCUAAAGCAAGACCAUCAGAGAUAGUUUUAAGUUUUGUGAAAUAUUCAGUCAUAGACACAGAUCCUUUUCUUAGGUUACUAAGAAGCAUUUUAAGAUGAACUUUCUUAGCCAUUGAUUCUGAUCCGAACUGUUUUUCAAGUUUCUUCCAUAGCUCAAGAGAAGUUUGAGAGCUUACCACGAGACUAAGAAUCUCAAGACUCAUUGAGGACAUGAUCCAGCUGAGUAGAAGCUGAUCCUGACGUUUCCAUGCAACAUAAUCUGGAUUUUCACAACCUUCUCCACUUGCUUCACCAGAUCUAGAUCUAUUAGGAAGAAAUUGAUCUGGACAGAGCUUAGAUUCAUCAAUGUAAUUCUCAAGACCAUUUCCACGAAUUGAAGAGAGAACUUGUUGUUUCCAGAUUGUAUAAUUUGUGCGAUCAAGUUUGAUUGGUGUGGUAAAGGUAAAGGAAGUUCCAGAAAGGAUAUGAGCUGAAGGAUUCGAGCUCGAAAAAGCCAUCACUUUGUAAACAGAAUGGCUCUGAUACCAAGUUAAAGAAAAGAAAGUGUUUGGUUGAAAGGAAAAUUCUAAAGCUCGAGAGAGAAAAUAUUAUCAGACUGAAUUCAUUUAUUAUUAUUAAACUGAAAUGAGGAAUUACGUGCUUUAUAUAAUCGAGCCUAGAAGAUUCUACAGCAACAAACGUAUGGAAAUUAUCUUAACAGCUUGUAACAAACUAUUGGCGGGAAUCAUUAACAACUUCUAAGAGUUGUGCUGCACAUGUAACUAAUUGCUGAUAUGGUGAAUGACUCAGCAAUCUUUGCUGACUCAGCUGCUGACAUGGAUUCAUUCUUAACAGGAAAAGCUAAACCUAUCUAUAACAAUGAAUUUGUAUUUUUAGGGUUGACGGGGUACCUCACUGGUUUGUUGUGUGCGGUGUAUCUGGAAUUUGGGGGAGGUGAGAAGGGAAGAGGGAGUGGUAACAAUGGAGAAAUGUCAGAACUAAGAAAAAAUUCCUUCCAAAUGAGCUCCACGCCUGCAAAACAGUGAAAUAAAGGUUAGAGGUGAAGCCGGGGUACCCUGGCGUUCACACUCCGAUGCUCAAGUUAGCAAACUCAAGCUUUUUUAAUGGCAAAGAAAGCUUGCCAGCCCUCUGUAAAUCAAAGUUUAAGGUUGAAGAAAGCUUAUUUUGUGGAGUGUAAGUGAAUGAUAAAAACAUCAGGGAGAAUAAAACCUAGAUAUCUUUAUAUAUGGAGUACCUCAGUUGCCACGUGGCGUAUCCUUUUUGGCUAAUGUCUUUUUACCUUUUUAUGAUUUUUGGGUCGUUAUGUGCAUGUUCGCGGUGUCACUCAUCCUUUGAAAACGUGGCGCGCUCUGGAAAGUGGUCCAGGGUACGUCUGCAGGGGCUGUCGGGUAGGCAGCUGAGGACCAUUGUCCUUCACUUUUGGCAGAGGUGACAGGCGACUGUCCCCCCCUCUUAGUACGACGUUUUUGAUUCCUAAUUCUGACAAAAUCGAAUAUUAUCUUUUAAGAGGUGGAGACGUUUCUCAUGACAGACUUUUUCGAAGGGUUCUCUUGCAUCCAAUCUAUCGAGUACCUCGAAUUAUAUGGGGUAUCCUGAUCCAUGUAGGGUACCUCGAGUUACUCUAGAGUUAAAUGAGGUACCUUUAAUUAUAUGGGGUACCCUAAUCUAUGCAGGGUACCUCUGAUCGUGCUGGGUAACUCUAAUUAUCUUGGGUACCUCUAAUUACGUCGGGUACCUUUAAUCAUGCGGGGUAUCUCGGAUUACACUAAAAUUAUUCCAUUCGUCGACAUGUGGCAUUUUCCUAUCUUUCCUGUUUUUCCCUCCAACAAUAUAAUUUAGCUAGAACUUUAGACGAUCACCAGUAUAACGAUAUGUGUGGACUUACUUAUGUUAAUGAUUAUGAAUGAAUACUUUGUGCUACUGGGACUCCGAAAAUUAAGUUCCCCGAGCCCAAGUUUGAACAAUACAAAAUACAAAAUCCUAAUUAAGUUGAAUGACAAGGUUUCAAAAAUAAAAAUUAUAAGUAAUUAAAUUCUUCUUAUCUAUAAACACAGGUGUGAUAAAAGAUUGUAAAAGUCUCGUCACAGCUAAUUGAUGAAUACUACAAAUCCGUUUCAAUUCUAUAAUUUUUUUUAUAUUUUUAGUUGUAAUUUUAGUACAUGAAAGAUUAUUUUCGAAUAGAUAAAUUGUUACUAGAUUGAACAAAAUCCUUAUAGAAAUUGGAGUAGCUAGCGGCUCUCGGUUCACUUAUUUCAUAAAGAAAAAUUCGGAGACCCGACUAGAGAUAUAUGAUCAAAGAUAUUAUUGUCCCUGAGAUGGUAACCGUAUAAAGCGAGAAUUGGAUUGUGAUAUAUGUAAGUUGUAGAAUUUGCUAAAAACAGGAUAGUGAAAGUUACUAUAACGAAGAAAUCAAUGGACCAAAGAAAUAAUUUACAGCCACCAUUAUAUUAUAAGGAAGUUACUCCCAAAAUAAUGCUAAAACAGAGUUUUCAACGUCAAGGACUUUGGUGCCGUGGCCGAUGGCAUUAAGGAUGACAGUAAGGUAAGAAAAAUAAGAUCCGCAGCUUAGUAGUUAGUAGCCACAGCUGCUAAACAACAGCAUGAAAUGAAAGCCUUAUUUGAGAACGUCGUCGCUUUACUAAUUAAAUAGUAAGUAUUUGGUUCUUGUUUGUUUAAUAUAGGCUUUUGAAACUGCUUGGAGAGAAGCCUGCAACUGGGAUGGAAUAAAAAGCGCAGUAUUGGUUCCACCGGGAAAGUACUUAGUGAGUUUUGCCGAAUUUGAAGGCCCCUGCAAAGCUCCAAUUUCCUUUCUACUUCAAGGGUUUGCCCAGGCACCCGCUGGCCUAGCAAAACUACCAGAUAAACAAAGCUGGAUUUCUUUUCAAUAUCUCAGACACUUCACUCUCUCUGGCGAAGGAACAUUCCACGGCCAAGGCGAAACUGCAUGUCCACUAAAUCAAUGCCACAAAAACUCCGAUUGCCAGCUUCCCACAGUAAGUCUCGUUAACAAUGCUCUGUUCCUUCCUUCUUCUUUUUUUAACCCUGCUAAUGAAAACAAGAUGAAAUAAUUAGUUAAUAUUACUUUGGUGUCUAAUUGACAGUCUAUACGAUUCAAUUUCUUGAACGACUCAACAAUUACUGGAAUAAAAUCUGUUGAUAGCAGAUACUUCCACAUUAACAUUUUGGGUUGCUACAAUCUGAAGCUAAAUGACCUUAAAAUCACAGCACACGCGGAUAGUCCUAAUACUGAAGGAAUUCAUAUUGGAAGUUCAAAUGGGAGUGAGAUAUCACAUUCAGUUAUAGCCACCGGUGAUGACUGUGUCUCUCUUGGUCAAGCAGUAAAAAUAUUUUGGUGUCUGACGUCUUUUGCGGACCAGGACAUGGUAUCAGUGUUGGUAGCCUGGGAAAGGGUAUAAACGAUGAAGAAGUUGUUGGAUUGACUGUGAGGAACUGUACCUUCACAGGCACAAGUAACGGGGUUAGAGUUAAAACAUGACCUGAUUCUCACGUUGGAAUCGCUUCCAACUUCGCUUUUGAAGACAUUGUCACGCUGCUGUACGGCCAAGGCGGAUGUACGGUACAGCAGAUGAAUAUCUUACUUUACAUUUUUUUUUAAAAAAAAAAGUGAAUCCUUCCAAUAGAGUAGGGAAGAAAAAAAAAAUUUGCCUACUCUGUUGCAAUUUGUACAGUCAAACACUGAAAAUAUAUAAAAAUAUAAUAAAAAGUAGGUUUGAACCAUUGUCACCAAAUCCUCAUAUUCAUUUCUAAUCCAUACUUCCGUUAAAGAGGCUAGAGAAAGGUCUGAUAUAAAACAUUUUUUAAACUUGAAAUACUGGUGCUUUACUUUUCUGUGAGAUAUUACAAACUAUUAUGCUUCAGCUUAAUUUUUAAAGCAGACCGCUCAGUUAUAACUUGACAGCUAAUGAUUACAUGCCCUGCCGUUGAUAUUUUACAGGUUCCUUCGCAAGUGAAGACCAGCAAUGUGAGAUUCAAUAACAUCCGUGGCACUUCAGCUAACAAGGUUGUCGUUUAGUCUUGUGUGUAGCCAAUAGAUUCCAUGCCAAAAUAUUGGGAUUGGGAAUAUAAACUGGGUGUAUAAUGGCGUUAAUGUUAAGGUUGAGGGUCCUGAAACGACAUCUUUGUGUUCCAAUGUUAAACCAACUCUCUUCGGAAAGCAAAUCCCAGCUACUUGCGUCUAGAUCUCCAGACUCUUCAUCUUUUAUAUAUACACAUUUUGUUAUUUUUCAUUACUGUAUACUAAAUUUAGGAGUGAGUACAUAUUAAAUAUCAUAUCCCGCAUAUACCAAACGAGGGUCUCCAUUGAGAUUAAUGACUUCACUUGUACUUGCUUUACUUGAAAAUAGAUGAAUUGUUGUUCUUUUCCACUUUGCCAUCAACGUACGGCUCGUCUUCCUUCUAUUUUUUAAUGUACGACAUGCUUUUUUCAAACUUUAUUAUAUGGCUCUUUGGAAGCAUGUAGAGUAAAGCAUGUACAUAUGCAAUAAGAAGAAUGAAAUAUGAUUAGAAAAUUACUCUUAAUAUACGAAAAAAUCUCAUAACAUUCCAAAUAUACCUAAAAAGUUUGCUGUUUGAUAACGAUUUAGACUUGAAUGAGUGAUAAAAUUGGUGUUUGAUGAGUGCGUGUGAUAAAUUGUUUGAACUGUACAGAAGUAUAACACACAUGCCCCUUUGAUGCUGCUUACUUAGUGGUGUAUGCACUUACGGUGUGUUUACUAAUCAAUAAUCGAAAUGGGUUGGAAUAAGAAUGAGUUAGAAUCGGAAUGGGAAAUGAUAAUUCGAAUAAAUUGUUUACAUUAACUGUAGGAAUCAGAAUCGAAAUGAGUUGCAUUAUUAUUAAUGUGCUUACUUAAUUUGGAAUCGAAACGAAUUAUUUAAUAAAAUAUUAAAAUACCCUUAGUUUAUUAUUGUAAAUAUUAUUAUUUAUUACAAUAUUGGUUAUAUUAUCAAAAAAAAGAAUAAUAACAAAAAUAAUAUUAUCAUCAUUGUUUGUUCUGUUAUUAUUAUUCAAAAACUUAUUGCUAAUAACAAUAAGAAAUAAUAAAAAUGUUAUUUCAAUAAUGAUAGUGAUAAAAUUAAUAACAAUUGACAUGUCAAUUGUUGAAAUUGUUAUUAAUUUUAUCAUUAUCAUUAUUGAAAUAACAUUUUUAUUAUUUCUUAUUGUUAUUAACAAUAAGUUUUUGAAUAAUAAUAACAGAACAAACAAUGAUGAUAAUAUUAUUUUUGUUAUUAUUCUUUUUUUUUAAUAAUAUAACCAAUAUUGUAAUAAAUAAUAAUAUUUACAAUAAUAAACUAAGGGUAUUUUAAUAAUUUAUUAAAUAAUUUGUUUCGAUUCCAAAUUAAGUAAUCACAUCAAUAAUAAUACAACUCAUUUCGAUUCCGAUUCCUACAGUUAAUGUAAACAAUUUAUUCGAAUUACCAUUUCCCAUUCCGAUUCUAACUCAUUCUUAUUCCAACCCAUUUCGAUUCUGCACACAUACAUAUUAUAUUCCUUUUCUAGUGUGGGCAUCCUCAUUUUUUUCAUGCUGGUAUGCUGUUAAAUCGUACAGUUGAAUAAAAUCGGUGCAAACAUAGUAUUAACCGCAUGAUUUAACAACAUGUCCAUACUAAAAAAAAAAUGAGGGAGCUUGCACUUGAAAAUGAUAUAUAUAUAUAUAGUCUGACAAUGACAUUGACUUUACUGCUCUACUAGUGCUAUACGUUUGAUUGAGGAUAUUGUAAGCUUGUGUGCGAUUCCUUUUGAUUUUACAUUUUCUCAUUGAUGAUACUUUGCUCUCAGACCAGUAAAAGAAGUCAUUAGUGGAAUCUAAGUCAGUUCUUGGGAUAAAUGUUUGUUUUACCAUUUAGACCAUGGUGUACUUGAAUCAUGCUCUUCGGCAUUUUGAAUUCUUCUGCAGUUCUUUCUCGAAAUCCAAUUCGCGAAAUCGGCGAUUCUCUGCUCAAUAUGAAAUCUAUUAUAAAGGUAAGCAAUGCUUUGAUCAUCAAUUGUCUUUACCUAAUAUUUUGAAAGACUGUUGCUAAGGCUGUUAAUCUAAAUUGGACCCAACUCUCUCUCUUAAGUUGCCAAGUUCAGAUUAUUGGUUCCUCACUGAAGUAGUGCACUGAAUUAAAAGAACCCCGACUUGCUUAUAGUGACAAAAAGGUAAAUGAUGUUCCCAGGGGUCAUUUUAUUGAUAGCCAGCUGUCCUCAAAUUCAUUAUAUAUAUUCUUUUUAUUUGUUAAUAUUGUCAUUGAUAUCUUGUUCAUUUCUUAUGUUGUCUUUCUCCAUCUCACUCUCUGGCUUGCCUAGACUCUCCUAGCCGAGUUUCCUUAUUAUUAGAAGCUUCAAAUUUGGACUUGGGAAAUAAUUUGAUCACAAGAUCUCAGAAAUGAAAGUGAAGCAUGAAAAUUUUUUCUUUUAUAUUUCUUCAUUAAGUUUUUAUUUUAUUAUAUAUAUACAUACUUUCUUGCCAUGUAUAACGGCAACAUGCUUGAAUGGCAGGUGCUAAAUUCAUUAGUUAAUCCUCAAUCUACAAGGAACACUGUAGCUAAAUAUCAAAAAUUGGCAGAGAAGGUAAUGAUGGUUCUUCAAUUGUAGAUUUUUGCUCCUAACAGGACUAAUCUGGAAUCAAUCAAUAUUAUAGCAGGUAAAGAAAGCCACUCUUGCAUAUAUUCAAUGUUAGACCAAUAGAUAAAAUGAUGUGGUCCCAGUCAAAGCUAAUUAAGAUAGAUUUCUCUUAGGGUGAGAAUAACCACAAGUAAUUGAAUUUAAUUGAUACUGAACAAUUUUAUUCUUGCUGUUCGAGCUUAUUUAUACUCAGAACAAUAUUAAGCCAGAACAAUCUCAACUGAUCGUGAUUGUUGGCUGAUUCUAGGCUGACUUAUUCUCUUGAACUAACAGCUAAAUCAAAUAACAAUAAUUCAAAUAAUAAGAAAUCAAAUAACAUAAAAUCAGCAAGUGAAGAUUCUUUGGAGACCAAGUCCAUCCGCAAAACUAGUGGAGUGCACAUGUGUCCCUUCAGCUACCAAGAUCUCAUGCAGCAGCUCAUGUGUAUCCUUGAUACAGGGUAUUAGGCUUAGGUACCCUUGAUGAGCGUCGAGGCCUAUCAUAAAACACCAAAAAUGAGAAGGACGAUGUUGUUGAUAAGGUUAGUGAUUCCUCAAAUAGUAAGUGAAAAUCAAAUGACAAACUCUCAAUGAAAGAAAUUCUGCAGAGCGGAAUUGAUUUGCAGCUGGAAGAAAUUGGUGAGUGAAAAUCAAAAGAGAAGGAAGGGGAGCUUGAUGCUAUUGGUGAUGCAAAGAACUCUGGAGGCCCGUGCCUCGUCAAAACAAAGAUGGUCAUCCAAAAUCCAAAUGAUUCUAGAGAUGUUGAUCAUGGAGUUUUCUUUUUUAAGAAUCAUGAUUCUUAAUAAAAUUAGACAGCUACUUUUAGAAUGCAAAAUCGUAUGCUACAGUGGGUAAAGUUUUAUAGCUUGUGAAUAAUGCAUAUCUAUCGAGGUUUUGUUUGGUAUUACGACGGUGUAAAAAAAAUUAUAAUUAUAAAAUAAAAGUGAAUAGUAUAUGGUUAAAAUAAAUAAUUUUAAUAAAAAUAGUGAAGAUAACUAAAUUUUUCAUCAUAUAAAUGUGAAAUAAAAUUAACUAAACUUUUAUCCAACACUUUAAUAAUGUAGCCUUAUAAACUUAAAAUGAUGGUAGGUUUGUUCAUUAUCGAUUCCCCAAAUUCGACACCAACUUGCAUUCAACACUUCAAAAAGAUAGAAAAUAGAAGAAAAAAUAGUGAGGGAGAAAAAUGCAUUGUUAACCCGUUCGAAGGAUCUAUUAAAGGAGAGUGAACAUUAUUAUUAAUGAAACUAGUUGAAUUGCAAUCCUCACCAUUUGAAUUGUAAUCCUCACCAUUCAUUCUUUCUUAAUCGAAAGGUUCAAAAUUAGUGUUAAAAUUGUCUAUAAAAUUGAGGCUGCUUAACUUGUCCCAUUGAUUAAUAUAAAUAUAUUCAAUUCAAUAUUCAUUGGGAUAAAAUUAGUCACUUGAAAUGAACAAUGAAAAAAUUGUGGGUGCCUGCGCUUGACUUCGACGUGUAAAUUACUUUUUUUUCCCCCUCAAUACCAUUACUUCUAAAUAUUAGCAAGUCCUGAGGACGUCCAAUCUGUUUUACGCAUAGAUUACUUUAAAAUACCCCAGUUAAAAGAAAACUGUGAGAUCGAUUAUAUUCAUUCAAUGAUACAAACCAGAGUUAGCAUGUAAAAAAGAAAAAAAAAAGAAGUGGGACAAAUUAGUUCAUUAUCAUUCACAUUACAUGGCUGCAAAUUAAUUGAGUUAGUAAAUCUUAAUUAACGACCUUAAAAACUCCAGUUUUUCUCAAAGACUUAAUGAUCCUAGUAAUGAGCAUGUAAAUUGUUUGCAGAAAAUCGAAGUCAUGGAUACUUUUCAAACAUAAUAUUCCAAAUUAGAUUGAACCGAACGUAUCAAAUGGGCAAACAAAGGACGUCACGAACGUAUCAGAUGGGCAAACGCUAGUAAGGGAACUAAAACUGAAUUUUAUUGGCCUGCUGUACCGUACAUCCGCCGGCAAACAGAGGACAAUCAUGAACGUAUCAUAUGGGCAAAUGGAGGACAUUAUAAAUAUCAAGCAUAUAUUAACAUUCUCAGGAGCACACUUCCUUUCCCCAUAAUUAAUUCAUCACUAUCCACUGUAAUGAAAUCAACCAUCAUGAGUGUUUCUUUUGCCCUUGUUUUCCUUGAGUUGUUUGUUAUGGCUACCAUGAUCAACAUCAGCUUCUGCAAUGGCAACUCUUACGUGGGUUGCUUAGACGGUGAAAGAGAAGCACUUUUAAAGUUGAAACAAGAUCUCGAAGAUCCUUCCAGCCGUCUUGCCUCUUGGAAUAUUAGGGAUGAAGAUUGUUGUGCUUGGGAUGGUGUUGUUUGUAACAACUUCACCGGCCAUGUCCUUCAGCUCAACCUCAGAAACCCUAAUCCUGAUCCUAAUUUUGGCACGGGGUCAACGCUGGUUGGUAAGAUAAACCCCUCUUUGGUUGACUUAAAGCAUUUGAUUCACUUGGACUUAAGCGAUAAUGAUUUCCUGGGAAUUCAGAUUCCCAAAUAUCUUGGUUCUCUUAAGAACCUUAGAUAUCUAAAUCUAUCUGGAGCCGAAUUUGCAGGAGUGAUUCCUUACCAACUUGGAAAUCUCUCCAAUCUUCAAUAUCUUGAUCUCAGUAAGAAUUAUAAUGAGUUACAAGUUGAAAGUCUUUCAUGGCUAUCUGGUCUUUUCUUGUUAGAGCACCUCGAUCUGAGUCAGGUUGACCUUAGUAAAUCCUCUGACGGUUUACUGAAGGUAAACUCACUCCCUUCUUUAAAAGUAUUAAAGUUGUCCUCCUGUGAACUCCAUCACUUUCCUUUGUCAUCCUCUGCUAAUUUUUCCUCCCUUAAGGCCCUCGAUCUUUCUGGAAACCAUUUUAAUAACUCUCUGUUUCAAUAUAGUAGUUGGGUUUUUGGUCUUCGUAAUUUAGACUUUUUCGAUCUUAGCGAUAAUGAAUUUCAAGGUAGAAUCCCCAUUGGACUGGGAAACUUGACGUUUCUUAGGCAUCUUGAUUUAUCUUCUAAUGAAUUCAAUUCUGCAAUACCUGGCUGGUUGUCUAAGCUUAAUGAUCUUGAGUUCCUUUCUCUUAGAGGUAAUAGCUUGCGAGGUGCGAUUUCAUCGAUGGGUCUUGAACACUUGACUUCUAUCAAAACACUCGACCUUUCUUCCAAUACAGAACUUGGAGGGCAGAUUCCAACAUCAUUUGUAAGACUUUGUAAGUUAACAUCAAUAGACGUCUCAUAUGUCAAAUUGGGUCAAGAUUUAUCACAAAUCUUAGAUAUCUUCUCUUCAUGUGGUGCAUAUGCACUAGAGUCACUGGUUUUGAGCAGUUGUCACAUUUCUGGUCAGAUGACAAAUCAACUCGGGCAAUUCAAAAGUCUGCAUACUCUUGAAUUGAAAGAUAACUCUCUUUCAGGUCCACUUCCAUCUGCUUUAGGAGAACUUACAUUUUUGACAGAUCUAGAUCUUUCCGAAAACAGGCUGAAUGGCUCUAUUCCAUUGUCUCUAGGACAAAUUUUGAACUUAGAACAUCUAGAUUUGUCCAGCAACUUGUUGAAUGGUGCUAUUCCAAUGUCUUUGGGACAAUUAUCACACUUAAAACUUCUGGAUUUGUCGAACAACACGUUGAAUGGAACUCUUUCUGAAAUUCACUUCGUCAAUCUAACAAAAUUGACCUCAUUUUAUAUAUCUAAAAACUCUCUAAUCUUGCAAGUAAAUCCGAACUGGGUUCCUCCUUUUCAACUCGAUGCAUUGCUAUUGAGCUCAUGUCAUUUAGGGCCUCAUUUUCCAUCGUGGCUUCAUUCGCAAAAGCAUUUGUCUGUUUUGGACAUAUCCUACACAAGAAUUUCUGAUACUAUUCCUCGUUGGUUUUGGAAUUCCAUCUCCCAGUAUACGUACUUGAAUCUCUCUCACAACCAAAUUUACGGUGAGAUUCCAAAUCUUUCUUACCGUCAAUCGCCUCUUCUACCUAACUCACCUGACUUACUUGAUUUUUCUAAUAAUAGUUUUUCGGGGUCCAUUUUUCCUUUAAUAUGUAAUGGGUUAAAGAGCAUUUCUCAUCUGCAACUCUCGAAAAAUUACUUUUCUGGGGAUAUACCUGAUUGUUGGAUGAAUUGGCCUGAAUUGGAGAUGCUGAAUUUAGGUAAUAAUAACCUUACCGGUAGUAUUCCGACCUCAAUUGGAACUUCACGUUCUCUUCGGUCAUUGAACCUGCGCAAUAAUAGAUUGUCUGGAUUCAUUCCCGAGUCAUUUCAAAAUUUUUCAAGUUUGGUAACUCUUGACAUGGGUGAAAAUGAGUUUGUCGGGAACAUCCCAACAUGGAUGGGAGAAAGAUUUUCUGGAUUGUCAAUUCUCAUUCUUCGGUCAAACAAGUUUCACGGCUAUUUGCCAAUUCAACUUUGUGGUCUAACUUCUUUACAAAUUUUAGAUGUUGCACAUAACAAUCUCUCAGGGGCCAUACCCAGAUGCAUCAGUAACUUCACUGUUAUGGCGACGACGGACCCAUCUUCAAUACUGAUUGAGAUGGAUGCAUCCGUUGUGACGAAGGGGGUUUUGGUUGAAUAUAGCUCCAUUCUGAAUUUGGUAAAAAGCAUAGACAUUUCGAAAAAUAAUUUCUCAGGGGAAAUACCUAUGGAACUGACAAAUCUUAAAGGAUUACAAUCACUGAAUUUGUCCUACAAUUUUUUCACCAGAAAAAUCCCUGAGAAAAUUGGUGAUAUGAAAUCAAUUGAGUCCCUCGAUUUCUCAGCGAACCAACUUUCUGGUGAAAUUCCCCGAAGUAUGUCAAGUUUGUCAUUUUUAAGUCACCUGAACUUGUCCAACAAUCACUUGACAGGGAAAAUUCCUUCAAGUACUCAAUUGCAAAGCUUCGAUGCAUACUCUUUUGCCGGCAACAAUCUAUGCGGAGCGCCACUUCCUAAUUGUACUGAGAAGAAUCCUCUUGUACCUGAAGAUCCAAAUGGAAAUGGAAACGAAGAUGAAGAUGAAGAUGAAGUGGACUGGUUGUUGUAUGUAAGCUUGGCACUUGGAUUUGUAGUGGGUUUCUGGUGUUUCAUAGGUCCUCUACUUGUCAGCAGAAAAUGGAGGUUCAAGUACUGUCAUUUUUUGGAAGGCUUUAUGGAUGAAUUUUGCUGCUUUGUAAGAAGAUGUUACUAGACUUUUCCGUGUCUGAAUGUUUGUUAUAUUAUGUACUUUAGGACCGAAGAUGUAAUGUCACUCGAUCAUUACAAUAAAAGGGGGGAGUGGACAUUUGAGCCCUCUAAAAUUACGCAAUUUUAGAACAGUUUUAGAAUGACAUAUUGUUGUCCCUUCAUUAGUUCGAUUGCCCAUGAAUGUCCCUUCAUUAGUUCAUCCUACAUUGCUAAUAAAGAACAGUUUUAGAUAGUUUUAGACAUGUAGGAUGUCUAGAGUUAAUAUAACAUACAUACCUUUGGGCGAAGUUCGAUUGCCCAUGAAUGUCUUUUGUGCUCACAAUGACUCAAGUUCAAUUAAUAAUAGCAGGGUUAAGAGUAUGAUAUUUAAUGGGGAGACUUCUUGUUUCCAUUCAAACUUAAUAAAAAAAAAAUGUCUAACAAAAUAUAUUUUUGGGCAUUGUGAUCCGGACCAAAAAAAAAGAGAGAAAAAUGUUGAGCUAUUUUUUGUGAAUUGGCCUAAGAAUUGGAUCAUAUUUGUAAAUUUUACUAAAAUGAACUCCAUUUGGUUUCGACAAAAGAAUUACAUAGAAACGACGUGUCGGUUGACGUCAAACGAGAACGGUACAUACACUGAUUGAGAGUUUAGGGAUAAACCUUGCACUGCAGCAAGAGGUUUUGAAAGCAAGGGUUUAGCGAAUUCUCAAAGACUAAACAGAAGAAGCCAAAUCAUGACACGAUUGAGCACCCAGCAAAUUUUGAAGGACAACAAGACUUGCGAUCCCAAUUCCAUAAAAUCUCUGAGUCUCACUCACAAAGCUCUCUCCGACGUCUCUUGCUUGACCGAUUUCAACAACUUGGAGAGACUCGACCUUAGCUCCAACAACCUCACUUCUCUUGAGGUACCUACCAUUCAUUCAUUUCUCCGACACCCCAGUAACAAAUUUACGCCUUUAUCAUUUUUGGCUUGAAAUUUCUUUUUUUUUUUAAUUUUAUUUGUAGGGGUUGAAGCAUUGCGUGAAUUUGAAGUGGCUAUCACUUGUGCAAAACAAAUUGCAAAGCUUAAAAGGAAUCGAAGGACUCUCUAAGCCCACUGUAAGUGUCAUUCCCUUGCUUUGUUCAUGAUAUUUUACAUUUUUUACACUUUUAAAUGUUUGCUUAUGAGAGAUUCUUGUUUUCCCAUGAGAAGGUUUCAAUGCUUAUUGUUACUGGCGAUUUGGUCGAAAUCUUUUAUCCGUUUGUUAUGAUUGUCCAUUGGGACACUUGCUGGAACUAAACUAGUUGUUUGAAGUCGUUUAGGUUUGGAAAUGAUGAGCUAAUUGGAUUAUUUAAAUUCACCUUGUUCUGUCUUUGAAGUUCAGGUGUUGAAUGUGGGCAAAAAUAAGCUUAGAUCGAUGGAUGACGUGACGUCUGUUGUGAGCUUACGUGCUUUAAUUCUGAAUGGUGAGAUUUAGACCCUAAGUGCAGCACCCUCUUUGUAAGUUGAUGAUAUGAAUAUAUGGAAAUCAUUUAUUUUUUUAACCUUUUUUUUUUCUCUUUUUUGGAGUUGUGCAGACAAUGAGAUUGUUUCAAUAUGCAAGCUUGAUCAGAUGAAGGAAUUGAACACUCUUGGUAUGGAUUCUUAUUUCUUCAAGUUCACACUUCGUUGUAUUUGAUAAAAUUUAUUCAUUUGGCUGGUCGUUGUUGGUAGAUUGACAUUACAUGCUCUAGCCUAUGUUUAUUCAAGUGUUGUUGUCUAUAUAGAACUUUGGUGAAAAUGGGAGAGGAAUAAGAGCUGUAAUUCUUUGAGAAGUAACAAAUUACAUUUUUCUUAGAGCCAAUAUUCUUUAAUUCUAUUAAUUUUACCUGUUCUAGGAUUUGGUUUAAAGGAGUGGUGAAGGCAUGGUUGAACAUCUAUUCUAGGACUUUUCAGUAGAGAGAAAGCCUGUGUGAUUUUGAGGGGAUAGCAAACUCGUGUGCAAUUCCUUUUGAUUUUACAUGUUCAUGAUUGAUGAUACUUUGUUCAGAUCAAGUCAAUAUUGGAAUUUAAGUUGAUUCUUGGAUAAAAGUUUGUUUUACCAUUAAGACCGUAGAACCUGAAUCAUGCUCUUUGGCGUUGGGGAUUGUCCUGCAGUUCUUUCUCGAAAUCCAAUUCGCAAAAUUGGUGAUUCUCUGCUCAAUAUGAAAGCUAUUACAAAGGCAAGCAAUGCUUUGGUCAUUAAUUGCCUUUAGCUAAUAUAGACUGCUGCUAAGGCUGUUAAUCAAAACUGGCUCCAGCUCUCUCUGUGUCAAACUGCCAAGUUCAGAUUAUUGGUUCUUCGCUCAAGUCUUGCACAGAAUUGAAAGAACUCCGACUUGCUCACAAUGACAUUAAGGUAAAUCAUGUACCCACUGGUCGUAUUAUGAUAGCACGCUGUCCUCAAAUUCAUUAUUAUUAUUAUUAUUAUUUUUGGUUUGUUAGUAUUGUGAUUGAUAUCUUGUUCAUUUCUUAUGUUGUCUUUCUCUGUCUCGCUCUCUUAAUUGCCUAGACACUUCCAGCCGAGUUGGCUUUUAAUAAGAAGCUUCAAAAUUUAGACUUAGGAAAGAACUUGAUCACGAGAUGGUCAGAAUUGAAGGUGAGGCAUUGAAAUAUUUGCUUCUUUUAUAUUUGUUUUCAUCAAGUUUUUUCUAUAUACUUUCUCACCAUGCUUAAUGGCAACAUGCUUGAAUAGCAGGUGCUAAAGUCAUUGGUUAGCCUGAAUAACCUCAAUCUACAAGGAAACCCUGUAGCUGAAUAUGAUAAAUUGGCAAAGAAGGUAAUAUUGCAAUCAUUUUAUCAUGUUAAUACUCUUUCAGAAUUCUGCUUCUAGCUGGAUUAAUCUAUGUCCAAUAUUGUUGCAGGUCAAAACUCUAUUGCCAAACUUGUGUAUUUUCAAUGCUAGACCAAUAGAUAGAAUCACCAAAAAUGAAAAGGACAAUAUAGUUGAUAAAGUUAAUGAUUCCUCAAAUAAUUCUGAUGACACGAUAAAAGUUCGUAUGGGAAAGAAAAGAGGUGGCACAAGAGAAACAAAUGACAAACUCUCAAAUGAAGAAAUUCAGUGGAGCAAAAGUGAUUCAGCAGCAGGGAAGAAAUUGAAAAAGAAGUCCAAAGAGAAAGAAGGGGAGCUUGAUGCUAUUGACGAUGCAAAGAACUCUGGAGGCGUUGUGCCUGGUCAAAACAAAGAUGCCAAUCUAAAUGGUUCUGGAGAUGUUGAAAUGGAGAAAGAUCUGAAGCGGAAGGGAAGAAAAACUAGUGAAAAUCUCUCAAACAAAGGCAUUCAAGUUCACGAUGAUGAUAAGAGAUUUAGGAAGAAACAGAAGAAACGGUCAAAGGAGAAACAAGGAGAACUUGACAUUAUUGACAAUGGAGAAACCGCUUUCUCGGAGCUCUUCUCUGCCAAUAUUGCAGGAAAUCCCGGAUUUGAUGGUGACAACAAUAUGGUUAAUGAAGCUUCUAAAUUCAACUCAGUUGAUGGCUUAGUUACCUCUUCUGGUAAGAAGAAGAAAUCUAAAAACAGGGGUAUGGGUCUGACAGUUCAAUUGUCUCAGGAACCUGAAGUUGGAUUGGGUGGACCAUCAACUUGGGGUGAUGAGUGAUUGAUUAUACUGUGAUGGAGCUGCGUGAAUUAUUUGAAACUCUUUCAGUUGAGCUACUCUUCAUCUCUUAUUGAGUCUGAUAACUAUUCUUUGAGAAGCUUAACUCUCAGGUGUACUCCAUAAGUUUUGACGGUGAAACUUGCUUUUCUUUUAAGAAGGUUUCUGAUGCUUAACAUUCCAUUUUGCUUCUCGAGUCCAGCCAUCUCUAGUCUUUAAUGGAAUGCUAGCCUGGGUUGCAAUUUAAUGCUUGCCAUUGUUGCUAUGUGCUGCAAUUUCACAGUGGCCAAGACCUCAAUUGUANNNNNNNNNNNNNNNNNNNNNNNNNNNNNNNNNNNNNNNNNNNNNNNNNNNNNNNNNNNNNNNNNNNNNNNNNNNNNNNNNNNNNNNNNNNNNNNNNNNNNNNNNNNNNNNNNNNNNNNNNNNNNNNNNNNNNNNNNNNNNNNNNNNNNNNNNNNNNNNNNNNNNNNNNNNNNNNNNNNNNNNNNNNNNNNNNNNNNNNNNNNNNNNNNNNNNNNNNNNNNNNNNNNNNNNNNNNNNNNNNNNNNNNNNNNNNNNNNNNNNNNNNNNNNNNNNNNNNNNNNNNNNNNNNNNNNNNNNNNNNNNNNNNNNNNNNNNNNNNNNNNNNNNNNNNNNNNNNNNNNNNNNNNNNNNNNNNNNNNNNNNNNNNNNNNNNNNNNNNNNNNNNNNNNNNNNNNNNNNNNNNNNNNNNNNNNNNNNNNNNNNNNNNNNNNNNNNNNNNNNNNNNNNNNNNNNNNNNNNNNNNNNNNNNNNNNNNNNNNNNNNNNNNNNNNNNNNNNNNNNNNNNNNNNNNNNNNNNNNNNNNNNNNNNNNNNNNNNNNNNNNNNNNNNNNNNNNNNNNNNNNNNNNNNNNNNNNNNNNNNNNNNNNNNNNNNNNNNNNNNNNNNNNNNNNNNNNNNNNNNNNNNNNNNNNNNNNNNNNNNNNNNNNNNNNNNNNNNNNNNNNNNNNNNNNNNNNNNNNNNNNNNNNNNNNNNNNNNNNNNNNNNNNNNNNNNNNNNNNNNNNNNNNNNNNNNNNNNNNNNNNNNNNNNNNNNNNNNNNNNNNNNNNNNNNNNNNNNNNNNNNNNNNNNNNNNNNNNNNNNNNNNNNNNNNNNNNNNNNNNNNNNNNNNNNNNNNNNNNNNNNNNNNNNNNNNNNNNNNNNNNNNNNNNNNNNNNNNNNNNNNNNNNNNNNNNNNNNNNNNNNNNNNNNNNNNNNNNNNNNNNNNNNNNNNNNNNNNNNNNNNNNNNNNNNNNNNNNNNNNNNNNNNNNNNNNNNNNNNNNNNNNNNNNNNNNNNNNNNNNNNNNNNNNNNNNNNNNNNNNNNNNNNNNNNNNNNNNNNNNNNNNNNNNNNNNNNNNNNNNNNNNNNNNNNNNNNNNNNNNNNNNNNNNNNNNNNNNNNNNNNNNNNNNNNNNNNNNNNNNNNNNNNNNNNNNNNNNNNNNNNNNNNNNNNNNNNNNNNNNNNNNNNNNNNNNNNNNNNNNNNNNNNNNNNNNNNNNNNNNNNNNNNNNNNNNNNNNNNNNNNNNNNNNNNNNNNNNNNNNNNNNNNNNNNNNNNNNNNNNNNNNNNNNNNNNNNNNNNNNNNNNNNNNNNNNNNNNNNNNNNNNNNNNNNNNNNNNNNNNNNNNNNNNNNNNNNNNNNNNNNNNNNNNNNNNNNNNNNNNNNNNNNNNNNNNNNNNNNNNNNNNNNNNNNNNNNNNNNNNNNNNNNNNNNNNNNNNNNNNNNNNNNNNNNNNNNNNNNNNNNNNNNNNNNNNNNNNNNNNNNNNNNNNNNNNNNNNNNNNNNNNNNNNNNNNNNNNNNNNNNNNNNNNNNNNNNNNNNNNNNNNNNNNNNNNNNNNNNNNNNNNNNNNNNNNNNNNNNNNNNNNNNNNNNNNNNNNNNNNNNNNNNNNNNNNNNNNNNNNNNNNNNNNNNNNNNNNNNNNNNNNNNNNNNNNNNNNNNNNNNNNNNNNNNNNNNNNNNNNNNNNNNNNNNNNNNNNNNNNNNNNNNNNNNNNNNNNNNNNNNNNNNNNNNNNNNNNNNNNNNNNNNNNNNNNNNNNNNNNNNNNNNNNNNNNNNNNNNNNNNNNNNNNNNNNNNNNNNNNNNNNNNNNNNNNNNNNNNNNNNNNNNNNNNNNNNNNNNNNNNNNNNNNNNNNNNNNNNNNNNNNNNNNNNNNNNNNNNNNNNNNNNNNNNNNNNNNNNNNNNNNNNNNNNNNNNNNNNNNNNNNNNNNNNNNNNNNNNNNNNNNNNNNNNNNNNNNNNNNNNNNNNNNNNNNNNNNNNNNNNNNNNNNNNNNNNNNNNNNNNNNNNNNNNNNNNNNNNNNNNNNNNNNNNNNNNNNNNNNNNNNNNNNNNNNNNNNNNNNNNNNNNNNNNNNNNNNNNNNNNNNNNNNNNNNNNNNNNNNNNNNNNNNNNNNNNNNNNNNNNNNNNNNNNNNNNNNNNNNNNNNNNNNNNNNNNNNNNNNNNNNNNNNNNNNNNNNNNNNNNNNNNNNNNNNNNNNNNNNNNNNNNNNNNNNNNNNNNNNNNNNNNNNNNNNNNNNNNNNNNNNNNNNNNNNNNNNNNNNNNNNNNNNNNNNNNNNNNNNNNNNNNNNNNNNNNNNNNNNNNNNNNNNNNNNNNNNNNNNNNNNNNNNNNNNNNNNNNNNNNNNNNNNNNNNNNNNNNNNNNNNNNNNNNNNNNNNNNNNNNNNNNNNNNNNNNNNNNNNNNNNNNNNNNNNNNNNNNNNNNNNNNNNNNNNNNNNNNNNNNNNNNNNNNNNNNNNNNNNNNNNNNNNNNNNNNNNNNNNNNNNNNNNNNNNNNNNNNNNNNNNNNNNNNNNNNNNNNNNNNNNNNNNNNNNNNNNNNNNNNNNNNNNNNNNNNNNNNNNNNNNNNNNNNNNNNNNNNNNNNNNNNNNNNNNNNNNNNNNNNNNUACAUGCUCUAGCCUAUGUUUAUUCAAGUGUUGUUGUCUAUAUAGAACUUUGGUGAAAAUGGGAGAGGAAUAAGAGCUGUAAUUCUUUGAGAAGUAACAAAUUACAUUUUUCUUAGAGCCAAUAUUCUUUAAUUCUAUUAAUUUUACCUGUUCUAGGAUUUGGUUUAAAGGAGUGGUGAAGGCAUGGUUGAACAUCUAUUCUAGGACUUUUCAGUAGAGAGAAAGCCUGUGUGAUUUUGAGGGGAUAGCAAACUCGUGUGCAAUUCCUUUUGAUUUUACAUGUUCAUGAUUGAUGAUACUUUGUUCAGAUCAAGUCAAUAUUGGAAUUUAAGUUGAUUCUUGGAUAAAAGUUUGUUUUACCAUUAAGACCGUAGAACCUGAAUCAUGCUCUUUGGCGUUGGGGAUUGUCCUGCAGUUCUUUCUCGAAAUCCAAUUCGCAAAAUUGGUGAUUCUCUGCUCAAUAUGAAAGCUAUUACAAAGGCAAGCAAUGCUUUGGUCAUUAAUUGCCUUUAGCUAAUAUAGACUGCUGCUAAGGCUGUUAAUCAAAACUGGCUCCAGCUCUCUCUGUGUCAAACUGCCAAGUUCAGAUUAUUGGUUCUUCGCUCAAGUCUUGCACAGAAUUGAAAGAACUCCGACUUGCUCACAAUGACAUUAAGGUAAAUCAUGUACCCACUGGUCGUAUUAUGAUAGCACGCUGUCCUCAAAUUCAUUAUUAUUAUUAUUAUUAUUUUUGGUUUGUUAGUAUUGUGAUUGAUAUCUUGUUCAUUUCUUAUGUUGUCUUUCUCUGUCUCGCUCUCUUAAUUGCCUAGACACUUCCAGCCGAGUUGGCUUUUAAUAAGAAGCUUCAAAAUUUAGACUUAGGAAAGAACUUGAUCACGAGAUGGUCAGAAUUGAAGGUGAGGCAUUGAAAUAUUUGCUUCUUUUAUAUUUGUUUUCAUCAAGUUUUUUCUAUAUACUUUCUCACCAUGCUUAAUGGCAACAUGCUUGAAUAGCAGGUGCUAAAGUCAUUGGUUAGCCUGAAUAACCUCAAUCUACAAGGAAACCCUGUAGCUGAAUAUGAUAAAUUGGCAAAGAAGGUAAUAUUGCAAUCAUUUUAUCAUGUUAAUACUCUUUCAGAAUUCUGCUUCUAGCUGGAUUAAUCUAUGUCCAAUAUUGUUGCAGGUCAAAACUCUAUUGCCAAACUUGUGUAUUUUCAAUGCUAGACCAAUAGAUAGAAUCACCAAAAAUGAAAAGGACAAUAUAGUUGAUAAAGUUAAUGAUUCCUCAAAUAAUUCUGAUGACACGAUAAAAGUUCGUAUGGGAAAGAAAAGAGGUGGCACAAGAGAAACAAAUGACAAACUCUCAAAUGAAGAAAUUCAGUGGAGCAAAAGUGAUUCAGCAGCAGGGAAGAAAUUGAAAAAGAAGUCCAAAGAGAAAGAAGGGGAGCUUGAUGCUAUUGACGAUGCAAAGAACUCUGGAGGCGUUGUGCCUGGUCAAAACAAAGAUGCCAAUCUAAAUGGUUCUGGAGAUGUUGAAAUGGAGAAAGAUCUGAAGCGGAAGGGAAGAAAAACUAGUGAAAAUCUCUCAAACAAAGGCAUUCAAGUUCACGAUGAUGAUAAGAGAUUUAGGAAGAAACAGAAGAAACGGUCAAAGGAGAAACAAGGAGAACUUGACAUUAUUGACAAUGGAGAAACCGCUUUCUCGGAGCUCUUCUCUGCCAAUAUUGCAGGAAAUCCCGGAUUUGAUGGUGACAACAAUAUGGUUAAUGAAGCUUCUAAAUUCAACUCAGUUGAUGGCUUAGUUACCUCUUCUGCUAAGAAGAAGAAAUCUAAAAACAGGGGUAUGGGUCUGACAGUUCAAUUGUCUCAGGAACCUGAAGUUGGAUUGGGUGGACCAUCAACUUGGGGUGAUGAGUGAUUGAUUAUACUGUGAUGGAGCUGCGUGAAUUAUUUGAAACUCUUUCAGUUGAGCUACUCUUCAUCUCUUAUUGAGUUUGAUUAUUAUUCUUUGAGAAGCUUAACUCUCAGGUGUACUCCAUAAGUUUUGACGGUGAAACUUGCUUUUCUUUUCAAAGGGUUUCUGAUGCUUAGCAUCCCAUUUUGCUUCUCGAGUCCAGCCAUCUCUGGACUUUAAUGGAAUGCUAGCCUGGGUUGCAAUUUAUUGCUUGCCAUUGUUGCUAUGUGCUGCAAUUUCACAGUGGCCAAGACCUCAAUUGUACCUGUAUCAUCAAUGUGGGAAUCACCCUCGUGUUACACGUUUCUCGGAAGUAAAUUUGCUCGAAUGAUUGUCAAUAAGCCAGAACCACAACUUUAUGUAGAACAUAAUUGUUUUAUCAUACCAAUUAUGUUGAAAUCAUUUGGUUUUGCUUUGCUUGUCUCAGUUCAUCACUUUGGAUGUGUUUGAAUUAUAGGAUUAUGGGGUAAUUAAAAGACUGUACAUAUUAACUUAAUAGCAAGACUAUAUUUGAAAAGAAAUUGUAAUGGGUUAAAGGGGGUGUGCUAAUGCAAAGUCGAGGUUUAGUGAAUGCAGCAGUUGUUGCAUUACUGUUUUGCUUUUACUUUUUUUAAUAAAUAAAUAUAAUUUUUUUCAUUUAAUAUAAUAUUAUAUAAUAUUAACUGCUNNNNNNNNNNNNNNNNNNNNNNNNNNNNNNNNNNNNNNNNNNNNNNNNNNNNNNNNNNNNNNNNNNNNNNNNNNNNNNNNNNNNNNNNNNNNNNNNNNNNNNNNNNNNNNNNNNNNNNNNNNNNNNNNNNNNNNNNNNNNNNNNNNNNNNNNNNNNNNNNNNNNNNNNNNNNNNNNNNNNNNNNNNNNNNNNNNNNNNNNNNNNNNNNNNNNNNNNNNNNNNNNNNNNNNNNNNNNNNNNNNNNNNNNNNNNNNNNNNNNNNNNNNNNNNNNNNNNNNNNNNUGAUAUUAUUUAGAUAUUAUUUGAUUAAAUUAUUUACUUCAAUCUUUGUUUCACAUGUUAUAUAUUUAGAAAAUACUAAAAAAUAAAUGUUAUGUUGCGGAAAAUGUAAGGCUAUAAGUUUUAAUCUUUAUGAAAAUUAUGAUAUUUUUUAACAUUAUACUAAAAAAUAAUGUUAAAUUUUUAAAAUUUGAGACUUCUAUAAUUUAAAUUAAUUACAAAAAAAAUUAAUAUAAUACAGUAUAGCACAAAACGUUGUACAAUAUUAUUAUAAUACAGUGCUAAUGUAAUGUAGAAUAAUACAAUAUACUUACAUUAAAAAUAAUAUAAUACAAAAUAUUAUAAUACAGUAUGUUAAUCGCGCCAUUUGAAUACGAACAAUGUAUUAACGGCUUUUAUCCCAAUUAUGUAACUGUGGCAUCACUCUUGCAUAGAAUUGUUUAUUCACUAAAUUUAAGCCACGUCAUGGCAAUGAAUACCUUGCACCAGAGUACUGAAAGAAAAACAACACUAUAUUUCUCAUUGUUUCUUUUUUAAUGGAAUUAUUACAACUCACACGUUAUGAUGUCUUACAGGUAGUGACAAUCAAUCACGAUGACUUCAUUAGACUUCCAAUUUCCAAACCAGAAAAAAAAAAAUGAAAGUAGUUUUUUUUUUUCAAACCAGAAAAAAAAAAAUGAAAGUAGCCAAUUUCCAAACCAGAAAAAAAAAAAUGAAAGUAGUUUUUUUUUUUUUAUAAUUUUGAAAAAAGGUUUUAUUCUAAGUUUUCAUUUUAUUAUUUAUUGACAAGAAAAGUAGAUCCCUGACAGAUAUUUUUAAAAGAAAAAUAAAAAAGUCUAUAGAUUCAUGACUUUUUUAGGCUUUUAUCUCCCCAUCACAGAAAAACUACUUGAAAAUUAUUCAAAGAGUGCUCUAAUCUUAUGAUUGUACUUUGUAUUUAUGGAAAAAAAUUUAAAACAACACGAAAUUUUUGAUAAACUGCAAUAUCUCUUUUUUGCAUCUUUUAAGAGGUAGACAGUAUGAAAAAUCUCAUAUCGUUUUUUGAUUCUCUACUUUUUUUAGGGGGUGGAACAAAACCUAAGUCAAUGUUUAGCCCUCUACUUUCUCAUUACUUGAAUUCAAGUGAUUAGGUAAAUAAAUCUACUUAAAAAACACUCAGACCACACGCCUCAAGGCUCAUAAAUCUUUUCUUUUUUAAAUCUAAAAGAUUGAGAGAGAAAAAAAGAAGAAGAAAAACGUCGACUGUUUUCAUCCACCGCCUGGAAAUUCCCCUUUUCUAUCUUUUAUGCAUUUGUCUAUAGCCUACCAACCUUGACUUUUAGAAUUUAAUUCAUAAAUCUUGCUCAUUACAUUAAAGCGAAUCAACAACUUAUCCUAUGAUUGGAUUAACCAAAGAAUAACAUUUUCUAAAACUGAUCCAUCUUUUGUCAUAUACACAUAUUUGUUUCAACAUUUUUAUUAGACCAAUUAGGCCUAACGCUUUUGCUUAUAAAUGAACCCAACAUUCAAACUCCAUUUUGAGGUAACAAAUUAAGAAGCAAUGGCUUCUUCUCCUUGUCCCACAAAAUUUACAAGCCAUCAAGGCAUCACAACGUUGCUUCCCGACAUCAUCGAGACUCAUAUCUUAACCCGACUCGACGGCCAAACUCUUGCUGCCGCAGCUUGCACUUCAUCUCAUCUACACUCUCUAUGUGCACAAGAAAAACUCUGGCAACAUAUCUGCUCCUCCACGUGGCCUUCCUCUAACGACCCACGUGUACGAAACCUCGUCUCCUCUUACCCCGGAGGUGGUCACCGGUCUUUUUUCUCUCACUCAUUCCCGCUUCUUGAUUGCCAAAAACAACCCGCAAAACGCAUUCAUGAUGAUGAUUCCUUACUUGUCACCGAAGAGAUAAUCUCGGCCGUGGAUCUUUACUACAGAAACGAUCCCGUCUUCUCCAGGGUUGCAGAAAAUGAGCCGGCGUGGUGAUUGAGGCUCGCCAGCCGAGAUCCAAACGGGACGCCGGAGAUGUCGUAUUGAAUGAGACGAUAGACGUCGACAACGGUGGCGGCGUCACAGAGCUCGACGCAAGCGACAAGUAUGAAGACGAGGGCUAGCAUCGAGUAGACGGAGUCCAGCAUGUCGCGCUCUCGAGCUUUUCGAUGAGCCAUUUGUGAAUUUUGAUCUAGGGUUAAUAAAAGGUAACGAGAUUGUUUCUUAAAUCGGUGAAUAAAUAUUAUGGCUCCUUUCGAUUUGAUCUGGUGAUUAUAAUAAUUAAAAUAGAAAAUUAAUUGCGAUCAGAGAGACACUUGACAGAGAGUGUUUUGUUUCCUUUUUGUUUUGUUUGGUUAAUAACAGUGCGACUCACUCUUACUGAGAUUCCGAUGCUUGUUGCUCUAUAAUUUUCUCACGUUAAUUUGGAGACGUCACUUGUUCGUUGGAUUCACACUUCAUUUUAUUUAUUUAAAUUUUACAGUAUACGGGUGAUCUAGUGGGCGUUACGUUGUGGACUUGUUGCGAAAAACGCCUCAAAGUGAAGAAGGUCCAAUGUCCAAACAAGGGGAACUGAAGAUUUUGGCUCUAAAGGGCUUUCGUAUUGCUCGAUUUUACAAGUUAUCUGUUAUUGUAUUUGUUGGAAGUACCAAAUAUAAUUGAGGGAGAUAAUUCAAAAGAGUUAAUUUAUUAUAUAGCUCGCACGGGUUAAUUGCACAUCAGCAUUUGAUGAAGUUAAGCCCAGGCAUCUCUACUGCACUUUCUUCUCUUUAAGAGUUCAGUAGGAUCACAGUAGAUCAAUGAAGUGUCUUUUUUCUUUUUUUUAGAAAUUAUCAUUCAUAUGUCUUAAAUUUAUUAUAUUAUUAAAAAUAUUAUAACACUUUAAGGGUGUAUCAAUCGUCCACUUUAAGUUGACAAAAAUUAUCUGUCAACCAUUAAUCCGUUAGUUGCCGUUUGUAAGUGCUGACAUCAUAAGGGUAAUCUAAUCUUUUAAGAUAAAAGAAACUCCUAUAAAGAAUGACAUGUUGUUCUAUAUAAAACUACAUGUCAUCCCAUAUAAAACAAUAUGUCAUCCUAUGUAGAACGAUAAAAAGGACAUGUCGUUUCUAGAUCAGUGAAACGACAUCGUUUCACAAUAUGAAAUGGCAUCAUUUCACUAGAACUUUAAAAAAAAAAAGGUGUGGACAGAGGGGAUGCAGUGUAGGACCAACGAGGGCUCAAGCCCCCACUGAAAAAAAAAGAAAAAAGAAUUACCCCUUUUUGUUUAAAAGAAAAAUUAAUAAUUUUUUAAAUAAUCCAUGUCAAAUUAUCAAAUAGCCUCAUUCUUCCAGUUUCUACAGCCACAGUAGAGAGAACAUUUUCAGCAAUGAAAUUUGUGAAGAAUGAACUUCGGAAUCGGAUGGGAGAUGGAGCCGGCGUGGUGAUUGAGGCUCGCCAGCCGAGAUCCAAACGGGACGCCGGAGAUGUCGUAUUGAAUGAGACGAUAGACGUCGACAACGGUGGCGGCGUCACAGAGCUCGACGCAAGCGACAAGUAUGAAGACGAGGGCUAGCAUCGAGUAGACGGAGUCCAGCAUGUCGCGCUCUCGAGCUUUUCGAUGAGCCAUUUGUGAAUUUUGAUCUAGGGUUAAUAAAAGGUAACGAGAUUGUUUCUUAAAUCGGUGAAUAAAUAUUAUGGCUCCUUUCGAUUUGAUCUGGUGAUUAUAAUAAUUAAAAUAGAAAAUUAAUUGCGAUCAGAGAGACACUUGACAGAGAGUGUUUUGUUUCCUUUUUGUUUUGUUUGGUUAAUAACAGUGCGACUCACUCUUACUGAGAUUCCGAUGCUUGUUGCUCUAUAAUUUUCUCACGUUAAUUUGGAGACGUCACUUGUUCGUUGGAUUCACACUUCAUUUUAUUUAUUUAAAUUUUACAGUAUACGGGUGAUCUAGUGGGCGUUACGUUGUGGACUUGUUGCGAAAAACGCCUCAAAGUGAAGAAGGUCCAAUGUCCAAACAAGGGGAACUGAAGAUUUUGGCUCUAAAGGGCUUUCGUAUUGCUCGAUUUUACAAGUUAUCUGUUAUUGUAUUUGUUGGAAGUACCAAAUAUAAUUGAGGGAGAUAAUUCAAAAGAGUUAAUUUAUUAUAUAGCUCGCACGGGUUAAUUGCACAUCAGCAUUUGAUGAAGUUAAGCCCAGGCAUCUCUACUGCACUUUCUUCUCUUUAAGAGUUCAGUAGGAUCACAGUAGAUCAAUGAAGUGUCUUUUUUCUUUUUUUUAGAAAUUAUCAUUCAUAUGUCUUAAAUUUAUUAUAUUAUUAAAAAUAUUAUAACACUUUAAGGGUGUAUCAAUCGUCCACUUUAAGUUGACAAAAAUUAUCUGUCAACCAUUAAUCCGUUAGUUGCCGUUUGUAAGUGCUGACAUCAUAAGGGUAAUCUAAUCUUUUAAGAUAAAAGAAACUCCUAUAAAGAAUGACAUGUUGUUCUAUAUAAAACUACAUGUCAUCCCAUAUAAAACAAUAUGUCAUCCUAUGUAGAACGAUAAAAAGGACAUGUCGUUUCUAGAUCAGUGAAACGACAUCGUUUCACAAUAUGAAAUGGCAUCAUUUCACUAGAACUUUAAAAAAAAAAAGGUGUGGACAGAGGGGAUGCAGUGUAGGACCAACGAGGGCUCAAGCCCCCACUGAAAAAAAAAGAAAAAAGAAUUACCCCUUUUUGUUUAAAAGAAAAAUUAAUAAUUUUUUAAAUAAUCCAUGUCAAAUUAUCAAAUAGCCUCAUUCUUCCAGUUUCUACAGCCACAGUAGAGAGAACAUUUUCAGCAAUGAAAUUUGUGAAGAAUGAACUUCGGAAUCGGAUGGGAGAUGAAUGGAUAAAUGAUAAUUCGAUUGUUUAUGUAGAAAAAUAUGUAUUUAAUAGUGUUGAUAAUGAGUCUAUUGCACAACGUUUUCAGAAUAUGAAAUCGCGUAGAGAACAAUUGUAAAUGUGUUAUCAAAAAUUUUAUAUAUUCAAGUUUCAGUUUUUAUAUUUUGCUGUUAUUUAAUUUAGCCAUUGGUGAAUUAUUUUUCUAAAUCCGCCACUGGGUGUGGAGAUGUGAUUAACUGAUUUUGGGGACUAAAGUGAAAUCAAGUGAGAGUUGUGUGGUUCAUUGUGCAGAUUGCAUUCAGUUGAAGGAUGUGUUUGUAAAUAUCUGCUGACGUGGCCUGAUUGUUAAAGUUCGUUAUAUGGUUUCUGGAAAUUUUCCAGGUGAAGCUGGCUUGUAGCAUCUUAUAUAUAAGCUCUUUCUCACUCAUUUCUUCUCCAAUUAGAAUAAUUAUUCUACACACAUAAUUCUUGUAAUCUUCUCUUCAUUUAUGAUUGACUUUGUACUCAGUUUUAAUGAAUGAAAGAGUGUGAAUUUUUCCUUCAAAUCUGUUAUCUAGUUCUCUGAAAUCUUGUUCUGUUUUUCUGCUCUUUACUCCGAUCUUUAUCAAUCUUGUUUCAAUUCCAUCUUGAUUAAUUAAAUGUUGAAGUGUUGAGUUAGUUCUUGUAAUUAGCCAUUCCAAAAUAUAACAAAAAACAAUCAAAUUGAAACACGCACAGCACACACGACUACGAACAAAUCUCUUCUUCUUUCACACACACAAUGCAAAAGAAAAGUGGUAGCUGACAGCACUAAUGAUCGAAGACGGCACGGUAGACAUAGAGGCAGCCCAUAGUCACCAAUGCAGCCACAACCAUUGUCAUCGACGCAGCUCGCAGCUCACCCAUCGGAUCUGCUGUUUUGCGACUGGUUUAAGCUUUAACCUCAAUUUGACUGAAUUUGAGUUAAGUAUAAGACGCACAUGAACUUCUUGCAUGAGAUGGUGACAGUAUUUACAAAGUGUCCGCAUUAAUUUGGUUUUUAAGAAUUCUUUCCUUUAUUGUUUCUUACAGUAUUUGGAGUUAUACUUGGUUGCACUUGAAAAUCUUGUUAAGUUAGUGUAGUAUGUGAUCCUACCCAUUUUACCCUUCAAUAUAUUCUCAGGAUGCUGUAGUUCGCAUAUGCACAUAGUGAGGGAUUCCUCUAUUUAUAAUUAAAAAAUUCCUAAUUUUUUCUUUCAAGCAAGUUCAAUAACGUUUUCGUUUCGUGACUGAACUUUUGAACAAGAGCAGCAGCCUUAUGCACAAACCUGGCGGGAACAAGCUGGGAAUAAGAGGAACCAAUAUGCAUACAAAUGAAUAAACACUAGUACUGUUAGUAGUUUGAGGGCUUCAUGUCUUGACAAUUUCUAUUCAUUGUCUACUUAGCCUACCAAUUAGACCAAAGUUAAUCGCAUGGGCCAAUGAAAUCUCUUGACCAACAAAAUAAGAAAGUCUCUGCUGGAUCAGAAAGUCUCUGCUGGACCAGCAGCACAAUUUUUUUGUACAAUAUCUUUGAUUCGCAAAACGAAUAACUCAAUUUCAAAUUAAAUAAAUGGAAAGUGAAGAAACGUAAUUUGUUGUCCUUGCACAAAGUAUUUUAGGCGUCGUGAAAACUAUAAAGAAAUUUUUUUAUAGAGAAAAAUUUUCAGACAGGCAUUAAAAAAAUUAAAUCUAGAAUGAAGAUACUUUGGCCUGUGGAUUUUAACAUAUUUUUUAAAAUGUAAAAAAAAGAGAAGUGGAAAGUGUAAUUUAGCUAAUUAAGAUACUUACAACUUGCUAUUGGAUCUCUGACAUUUAAUAUAUAGUUGUAUGAAGUUUCUUUUUAUUAGAACUGUUACGUUUUAUUUAUCAGAAAAUUUUGUUACCCCCUAAUUUACAGUAUUUCAUUUUAACCAUCUAACAAUUUUUUUUUUUUUUAACCACUGCUCUCGUCCUUUCUUUCUUCCACUUUUUUUUUUUUCUAUUUCUUUUUCUAUUCUUCUUUAUCUAUUUUGCCUCUCUAUAAUUUCUCUCGACCUCAAUUUCUAUUUAUUUCCCUCUUCUAUCAUUUCUAGUUUGCUCUCAGGCUCUCCAUUUUCCUCCCGAGGUUAGUUUCUUGCCGAAAGGGAUAGGUGUUGUCUUAUAUACUUUUUUAGUUCUACAAUUAUGAAUUAAUUACGUUGAAUCUAAUUUCUCAUAAUUAUCCUGGCAUAUUUCUGUUAUCAGAAAAAAAAAAUUGACAGCUAAAAUUAAAGACUAAAAAUAUAAAUAAAAAAUCAUUUCAGUAUUACCUAUUUAUUAAUAAUUUUGUUAACCGAUAAUUUAAUAUAAAAUUUUCUACAAAAAUAUGGGUGUUUAAAGAAAUUUUGUGGGCUUAAAUAACCCCACUUUAAUGAAAAUAAUUUCGUGGACCAUUUUAUGUUUUACAUAAACAAAUCUUUGUUACUUAAUUUUUUUUCUCUCUUUCAUUUUGAAUAUUUUUCCCCGUUAUUUUAAAUGGGCUCAUAGAAGAGAAUUGUGCAGUCUACAUGAUUUUCAUUAGAAUUUUAUUUGUCUUUUAAAGUAAUUUCAUAUGUGGUUUAAGUUGUAAGAACCAAAAAAAACAGGGGUCUUAAUAAGGAUUAUUGAAGGCCCAAUAGUGCUACUCAAAAUGAAAAAAUAAAAAAUAAAAAGUGUAUCGCUCUUGCAACCGAAUCUUGAAUAAUCACGGAUUGAUUGUUUUAAAACUUCUCCAUAGAGUUCAAAAUUUAACAGUGAGAACUAUAACAACUAAAUUUUCAAAAUUUAUAAAUCUAUUACCCUCUAAUUUACGAUGUUAUUAUAACCAUCCAAUACAUAUUUUGAUAACUUCUUUUUUUCCUCUUUGUCUCUCGGUCUUUAUUUCUUUCAUUUUAAUUUUUUCCUUUCCUUCUCUAUCUAUUUUACUCUUUAUAAUUUCUGUCGACCUCAAUUUCUACUUUCUUCCUCUUUUAUCUUUUCUAAGUUGCUCUCAGUCUCUCGAUUCUUUUGAAUGCUUGAAAAUGAAAUAAAUUUCCAUUUUUUUGAUACGCAAUCAAACAGGAAAACAGGUCGUCAAUUCGCAUGAAGUAGGUAGCUAAAUUUAUUUUCCUCCAAAAUUAUCCACGAGUUCGACUUAUAUUAAUGUGUCACAAUCUUCCAAUCUAAUAAUGCAAAUUGAAAGUUCCGAUGAUAUUUUUAUGAUUAACUUGGGGAAAAAAAAAUCUUGAGAGUCUCCACUCGUUUGAUUCUGACUCUUCCAUGGAUUCUUUGCUUUGCAAACUUUUCUUAAUUGUAUGGUUAAAAGAUUAACAGUUAGGAGUGAUAAAAGAACUUAUGUCUGUACUAAAAGCUAAAGAUGAGAUUAUUUGAAACCACUAAAUUGUUUUUUACACCCAUCAUAAAAAUAUAAUAAUUAUUAAAAUUUUAAAAUCUUAAAAUUGCCCAUUAAUUUUCUUCUCUUUCUUACAGUGCUUGUUCUCCCUCAACAUCACUUUUUGCAAAUUAAAAACUUAUGGUUUCACUCUCUUUGGCCAUGGAUUUUUUUUUUUCAUAAAUUCCACUACAUUUUAUUUGUGGCAUUUGAAUUGCGAUUUUUUAAUUUUAUUUUCAAUUUGAAGCAAAGAUUUGUAACUUUACACAGAUUUAUAGGAAAACAAAAAAUUUGUUGCUUUCGUGGUUACUUAAAAUUCUUGAUACUCAUUUUUGGAUGGUGGAUUUGUUCCUAUAAAUUGAAGAAAGAGUAGUUAUUAACUUAUUAUUAUUAAGCUGUUGGUCAAAGAGCUUUUGAAUAAGAUCAGUGAGCCAAAUGGUUUGCUGAGUUUAGUAAUUCAGCCUCUAAAAUUUCUAAGCGAAGCAUGCAAACCCCUUUGGCCCUGAGAACCCUAGUCUUGAAGCGGUUCGAGCCACUAAGCCUUGAUUUGACAUUGGUUAUAGCCUAUAGGAAAAUUAAUUUCAAUUAUUUAUGAGAUUUCACAUUCAUUUGUAGACGAGAAAAUCGAAAGAAUUGAUUAGAGCUGAGAGAGAGAGAGAGAGAAUAGAGGUUAAUUAGGUAAUUUUAUCAAAAUUAAUUUGAUAAUUAAUAUUUUAAUUAAACAAGAAGGCAAAGAGAAGAAAUUGGUGAGUUUAAAUAACUCCACUCAAGGCUAAAACAUAAAUUCUCGAACGUCAAAAAAUAUUUUUACCCUCUAAUUUACAUUAUUUCAUUUUAAUCCUCUAAUGCAUUUUUGUUCUCUAGUCUUUUUAUUUAUUUUUAUCUCUUUUCUCGGCCUUUUUUUCUUCCAUUUUAAUUUUUCUAGCUUGUUCUUUUCCGAUUCUUCUUUAUCUAUUUUACUCUCUAUUUCUCGGGACCUCAAUUUCUAUAUUCUUCGUUUUCUACAGUUCCGAGUUUGCUCUCAGUCCCUGGAUUCUUGAAUGAUUGAUAAAAUGAAACAAAUUUUUGUUUUUUUUUCCCACUCAAUCAAACAAGCAAACAGGUCACCAACUCUUCCCAUGAAGCAGGCAACUAAGUCACGUUAUGUGAUUUAGUGAUAAAUGCCUAGUACUUCAGGCUAAUUGCAAGUCCACUUACGGAACCAUAGCAGUCAAUGACACGGAAAUUUCAAAUGAUGGUCCAGAAUUCGAAAUGAUCGGGCACGGAAAAAUUGCCAAAAGGCAAAAGGUGUGGUCAUAAAUACAUUUCAAUUUUAAAUUAAUUAGAUUGGAAAUAUCGUAUGAAUAAACAGCGGACCUUAUAGCAACCAAUAUGAUAUCAUUCUCUUAUGCACAUUUCGUUUUCUUAUGCAUGUUUGCUGCUUUGCCAUAUCAUGCCAAAAUCAAGAAAUUACCCAUUUGUAAAUCUUUGACAUAAGAAUUAGUUAAAUAAAAAUAUAAAAUAAUAAAAAUAUAAAAUAAUAAAAAUAAGUUUGGUGAUGUAUUCAUUUAACCACUCAUAUAAUGUCACAUCAAUUGGUAGUUUGGUACAAAAAAAUUAAUAGUUAUAACAUUGCCCGUUUGCUUUAUUCAAUCACAAUUUUCAUACCACAUCACUUUAUAGUUUGUGCGUAUUUAUGCAAAGUUUCUUUUUUUCAACCAAGUUUCUUUUUUCAACCCCCUGAUUACUUUAAUUCAAAAAAAAGAAGCUUGGAUUAGUUUAAUUUUCUGUGUUGGGCGCUAUUUGAACUUAUUUAUACGACUUUUAUGUGUUAACUCUCUUUAUAUGGACAUGUGUAUUAUGGGUGAUGAUGUCCACCCCACUUUUAGAAAAUAAUUACAAAAAGUUUUCAUUAUUUUUAAAAAUUUCAAAUAAAGAAGAAUUCAAAAGAAUUAAUCAAUUAAAUCUAUCUUAAUUUAUUUUGUUGUAACUUAGUUUUUUUUAUAUGGGACUAAUAAGAUUACUUAAACCUAAAUUUAAAUUGACUAUUUUUAAUUAAACUGGCAUAAUGUCUUUAUGAGAAAAUACUCAUUAAAUUAUUAGGCUGUCAAAUUUAUGUCAUUUACAUGUAAAAUGUUGAAAAUUAUUAGGCUUCAUUUAAGAAGCUAGAUUAUAAGUCACAAAAUUAAGUAUCUAAAGUAUUAGAUACAAGAACAAAUUUUUUUUUGGCCCAAUGGGUCAUUUUAUGUCAUAAAGCAAAAUAAUUAAAUAGAACUUAUAUUAAAGCUCCUUUAAUGGUAAAAAACAACUAAGAAAAAAAAUAUAAGAACGAUUUAAUUGAUUAAUUACAUUAUUUUUUUUGUUGAUUUUUAUUUAUUAGAAAAAUGUGUAUUUAUUAUAAAUAUUUUUUAGAAGUGGGAUGGGUUUAUACAAAUAAUUGGGUGGAAAUAUCCCACCCUUGUACUAUGUUGUAUAUAAUAUAUGGCCCCUCCAAAAUCAUCUUAAAAUUUUUUUCCAAUUAUAUUGCCUUUAAUGCCAAAAAUACAUUUUUUUUUAAAUAAUCUCCUUUUUCAAAUAUGCUCUCUCAACAAAAAUAAAAAACACUAGCUUCCAAAAUUAAAAAUAAUCAAAUUUAAAAAAGAAAACAAGUUUGAGCAAAUUAACUGUAUAGAUGAGACUACAAGAGAGAGAGAGAGAGAAACAAAUUUGAUUCAAUUGGUUUUGUGCUAGUAAGGGAACUAAAACUGAAUUUUAUUGGCUUUUCUUGAGUUGCAGCAAAUGAUUCAACCUUGGCAAAUCUUUCUUUUGACUAUAAUACCAUUAGUAAAUAGUAAUUAAAAAAAUUAGCUUUAAUUUUUUUAAUAAAUAUAAAUAUAAUUUAAAUAGUUUAACUUGUCUAUUAGUCAAAUAAUAUUAAAAUUUUUUAAUAUACAAAAUAAUUUUCAACAUAUAAAUUAUGAUAUAUUUGAAUCAUAAUUUGUAUUUAUUAUAGAAGUUCUAAAUAUAUCUUUGGUUAAAUAAAUUUUACAAUUAAUAAAAUGUAUCUAAUUUAUUAACAAUAUUAAAAUUAUUUUAUAAAAUAUUGAAAAUAACUUAAAUUUUGAUUUAUUUAUUUUAAUAUUAUGCUUCUAUUUAUUUGGCUUAAUAUAUUAUAAGAUUGUAAAGUAUUCAAAUAUUUUUUAAAUAUUGAAAUUAUUUUAAAUGUAUAUAUUAUACAUUUACUUUAAUAUUAUUCUUCAAUUUAUAAUGAAACAUUGGAGUUAAUUUUUUUGAGUUAAUAGAGCACCUUAGUCAAAAUGAAGUCUUGGUAUCCUUAUUGAAAAUAUGAAGGUUAGUAUGACCAUUUCUUAAAAUCUUAAACGAGUAGGUGCCUUUUUCCUAAAUGUAAUUAUAAUAAAAUAAGAGUUUUAGAAUAAUUUUAGAGGGUCUUAAUAAUUCCACUCGUUUGCCAUUAUAAAAGAGUAGAAUGUUUAAAAAAAAAAAUGGUGAAUCAUUCUCAAACUUUAUAAAUCUAUUAUCCUCUAAUUUAUUUACCGGAUAUGAUUAUCAGUCAAACAAGCAAACAGUUUAUCAAUCUGCACGACGUAGACAGCUAAAUUGAUUUUCCUCGAAAAUUUUCCAGGAGUCCGCGGAGCUUAUGUUAAAUGUGACACAAUCUUUCAAUCUAAUAAUGCAAUUUGAAAGUCCACCUGCCUGGGGGACCAACCCCAAGCAGUUAAUUAAUGACUUUGAAGAUUUGAUGUUUGAAAGUGAUGAGCACGGAGAUUUCUUGCAGAGAAAGUGAGGUCAUUAAUAAUUUUCAAAUAUACUAUUCCAAGUUGAUUAUAUAUGGGCAAACAGAGGAUGACAAUAUAAAUAUCAAGCAAUAUUAUAACAUAUUCUUGCAAAGCAAACUUCCUUUUCUUAUAAUUAAUUAAUAUAACUUCUAUCGACAGAAAUGAAAUCAACUAUCAUGAGUGUUUCGGUUGCCAUUCUUUUCCUUGAGUUAUUUGUUGUAGCUGCCAUGAUCAACAUCAGCUUCUGCAACGGCAACUCUUACGUGGGUUGCAUAGACAGUGAGAGAGAAGCGCUUCUAAAGUUGAAACAAGAUCUCAUAGAUCCUUCCAACCGUCUUGCCUCUUGGAAUACUGGUGAUGGAGAUUGCUGUAAAUGGGCUGGUGUUUUUUGUAGCAACAUCACCGGUCAUGUCCUUCAGCUCAGCCUCCAAAAUCCUUUUAGUUAUCUUGGAGGUGACUUACGAGAGGUCAAAGCUGGAUCUAAUUACGAGAGGUCAAAGCUGGGUGGUAAGGUAAAUCCAUCUCUGGUUGAUUUAAAGCAUUUGAUUCACUUGGACUUGAGCGGUAAUGAUUUUGAAGGGAUCCAAAUUCCCAAAUAUCUUGGUUCUCUUGAGAACCUAAGAUACCUCAAUCUCUCUGGAGCCAAAUUUGCCGGAAUGAUUCCUCUCCAACUUGGAAAUCUCUCUAAUCUGCAAUAUCUUGAUCUCAGUGGGACAUUUUUGAGUAAUUAUGAUUUACACGUUGACAGUCUUUCAUGGCUAUCUGGUCUUUAUAUGCUAGAGCAUCUCGAUCUGAGUCAAAUGAACCUUAGUAAAGCCUCUGAUUGGUUACUUGUCACAAAUUCACUCCCUUCUUUAAAAGUAUUAAAGCUGACCAAAUGCCAACUCUGUCACUUUCCUCCGCUGUUAUCCGCAAAUUUUUCCUCCCUUAAAGCCCUUCAUCUUGCAAUCAACAAUUUUGAUAAUUCUUUGUUUCAAUAUGGCAGCUGGGUUUUCGGUCUCCGUAAUUUAGUCUUUAUUGAUCUGAGCUCUAAUCAGUUUCAAGGUCAAAUCCCCAUCGGACUAAGAAACUUGACAUCUCUUCGACAUCUUGAUUUACGUUUCAACUAUUUCAAUUCUACAACACCAGGCUGGUUGUCUAAGUUCAAUGAUCUCGAGUUCCUCUCUGUUGCAUGGAAUUCCUUGCAAGGUACGAUUUCAUCAGUUGGUCUAGAAAACUUGACUUCUAUCGAAACACUCGACCUUUCUGGAAACUCUAAACUUGGAGGGAAGAUUCCAACCUCAUUUGCAAGACUUUGUAAGUUGACAUCAGUCGACCUCUCGUUAAUCGAUUUGAGUCAAGACUUCUCACAAGUCUUAGAUACUUUCUCUUCCUGCGGUGCAUAUGCACUAGAGUCACUGGAUUUGAGCAUUUGUCAAAUUUCUGGUCACUUGACAAAUCAACUCCUGCAAUUUAAAAGUCUGCACACUCUUGAAUUGGGACACAACUCUCUUUUCGGUCCACUUCCACCUGCUCUAGGAGAGCUUUCCUCUUUGAAAAAACUAGAUCUUUCUAAUAACAUGUUGAACGGUUUUAUUCCAUUGUCUUUGGGAAAACUUUCACACUUAGAAUAUCUAGACUUGUCUAACAACAAGUUGAAUGCGAGUCUUUCUGAAAUUCACUUUGUCAAUCUAACAAAAUUGACUUGGUUUUCUGCAUCUGGAAACUCUCUAAUUUUGAAAUUCAAUCCAAAUUGGGUUCCUCCUUUUCAACUCGAAACAUUGCAAUUGAGGUCAUGUCAUUUAGGGCCUCAUUUUCCAUCGUGGCUUCAUUCACAAAAGUAUUUGUCUUUCUUAGACAUAUCCAACACAAGAAUUACAGAUACUAUUCCUCGUUGGUUUUGGAAUUCUUCCCAUUAUCAGGAGCUGAAUCUCUCAAACAAUCAAAUCUACGGUGUUAUUCCAUAUUUUGAUCACCGUCCAUUGCCUUAUCAACCUUUCGAGUUUGGUUUACUUGAUCUUUCUAAUAAUGCUUUAUCGGGGUCUAUUAUUCAUUUAAUAUGUAAUGGGGAUAAUAAGUCGGUGAUCAUUUCUCUCAAACUCUCAAAAAAUUACUUUUCUGGAGACAUACCAGAUUGUUGGAUGAAUUGGCCUCAUUUGCAGGUGCUGAAUUUAGAUGACAAUUACUUUACUGGUAACCUUCCAAUCUCAAUUGGAACUUUAAGUUCUCUUAGGUCACUGCACCUUCGCAAUAAUCGAUUGGCUGGAAUAUUUCCCGUGUCACUUAAGAAUUGUUCGAGUUUGAUAUCUCUUGACAUUGGAGAAAAUGACUUUUUCGGCAGCAUUCCGACAUGGGUGGGAGAAAGAUUUCCAAGAUUGUUGACUCUCAAUCUUCGAUCAAACAACUUUCAUGGAUCUUUGCCAGUUCAACUUUGUCAUCUAACUUUUCUACAGAUUUUAGAUGUUGCACAUAACAAUCUCUCAGGGACCAUACCGAGAUGUAUCAACAACUUCACCGCUAUGGCGACAAUAAACUCAUCUAAUCAGAAAAACGCUAUAUAUUACUUUGUUACGAGAGGCAAUAUUGUCUUUGAGGACGCAUCCGUUGUGACAAAAGGGCUUUUGGUUGAAUACAACUCCAUUCUUAAUUUGGUAAGAAGCAUUGAUAUUUCCAAGAAUAAUUUCUCAGGAGAAAUACCUAUGCAAUUGACAAAUCUUGAAGGAUUGCAAACCUUGAAUUUAUCACACAACUUUUUCGUAGGAAAAAUUCCAGAGAAUAUUGGAAAUAUGAGAUCAAUUGAAUCCCUUGAUUUCUCAACAAAUCGACUUUUUGGUAGGAUUCCUCAAAGUAUGUCAAGUUUAUCAUUUCUUAAUCACUUGAACCUGUCAGAAAAUGACUUGUCUGGGCAAAUUCCUUCAAGCACUCAGUUGCAAAGCUUUGGUGCAUCUUGUUUUUCCGGUAAUGAUCUCUGUGGAGCGCCACUUCCUGAUUGUACAGAGAAGAAUACUUUUGCACCUGAAGUUCCGAAUGGAAAUGGAAACGAAGAUGAAGAUGCAGAUGAAGUGGAUUGGUUGUUGUACGCAAGCAUGGCACUUGGAUUUGUGGUGGGUUUUUGGUGUUUCAUUGGCCCUCUACUUGUCAACAGGAGAUGGAGAUACAAGUACGGUCAUUUCUUGGAUGGCUUUGUGGAUAGAUUUUGCUACUUUGUAAGAAAAUGUUACUAGAUUUUUUCAUGUUUUCCCUUGUGUUAUUUUAUGUAAUUUUUUAAAAUUAUUGUUCUAUAUACUGCAGAUAAGAAAUGAAGUGUUAUACAAUAGAGGGGAAGGAUUUUACAUUGGCGGCCUCUAAAAUUUUACAAAUUUUCAAACCAAGUUUCACAAAUUAGCUCAACUUAGCAAGGGUCCAGAUUUUUGAAUUAAAUGCAAAAGUAAUAGAACUAAAUGGGAGAGCUGUUGAUUUGAUAGUUCAGUCUUUUAUAUAAAAUUUAUGUUUCUUCCUCUUAAAGAAAAUUGUUCUUUCAUCAGAUAAACUUCAUCCUGCAUUGCUAAUUUGUUCGUGCAAUCAGAGAAACAUAGAGCUGAAUCUAAUGAAGACUAGAUCAAGGUGAAGGAUGCUUUCAAGAGGAAUCACAGUUGAGUCACUAAAAUCACAGUUGAGCCACAAAAUUUGUAAUUCAAAUUAUUGCCGCAUACAUGCUAAUAGUUUACCCAUACUCUCGCAAACAAUUUUGAGGACUGACAUCCCAUUACAAAUGAUUACUGAUAACUCAAAUUUAUCAACCUUAUCUUGCUAAAAGGCCCUAAACUGUGCAAGUAUUACAAACUCGGAUGGUUCCAUAUCAUCUAUCAUAACAACAAUUUUUUUUUUUUUUUCAAGCAGUCAUCAUCUCAUGGCAAUUAAAAGAUUGGCAUAAAAGUUGUAGGAGUUUGGAAGACGUGCCUGAUAGUAGCCUACAAGUCUCUGAAGUUCAAAUUUAACCAGUCAAAUUGGCCCAUAGAGCUAUUCGAGAAACUGAAUCAUUCCACUUAGAUUUUUUGGGCGCUUUUUCCACUAGAAGCUUGAUGGUAGCCCAUACAAAUUAGUCUUUGGGAAGUACUUUCUGCUUGAAAAUAUUUCAGAAUCAAGAUGAAAUACUCCAAGAGAAUACUAAUAUGGAUAAUUUCAGUCACUUGAAGUUUCCUCAUUUUCUGGAAAUACCAAUUGCAAGUCUUCAUUGUCUCUGUAAACUUGAACAAGUGCGGCAGCCUUAUAUACAAGCAUGCCAAACAUGGCUGCAACAAUCUGCGAUAAUGGGAAAAUUAAUAAACACAAUUUAUGUUAGCAAUUUUAGGGCUUCAUGAUCAAUUUGAAAACUUAUACAAACAGCCGCAGACAACACUAAAAAUUAUUUUAAUUGCUACCUGGAAAUCAAAGAAGGCAUUGGCAAAAUACCGAUGAGACAGAACCCACAAACCAUAUAUUGUAGCCGGGAUUACAAGCCUUGGAGAUGAAAGAGCAAGGCUACUUCCCUUGAAUGAUCUCUCUAAGAAGUACUUAAGGUCCUCGCUUCUUAUUCCAAUUCUACCAAAGAAAAAGAAAUGUUUGCUUAUGCAAGGAGGAGACAGAAAACAACUUAGCUACAAAGAUGCCAUUAAAUUUAAAAAAAAAGGGGGGCAGAAGAUUUAAUCUGUACUCCUUGGACUUCUUUUGCAUGAAAAUCUGAGGAACCAUUUCCUUGGACAGACGGUCUGCAUGUUGGAAUAAGAGCUGAAGGUACAAGCAACUGCACUGGAAAUGAGGUUUGUUAAACUACCAGAAUUAGGAUCAGUAAUAAGAACAGAUGGUCUCCUGCUGUUAAUAAACCUUUUUUUCAGUUUUCUGUCAAAAAAGUUGCUAAAAGCACUGCUCGAGUUCUCGGAGUUUUUCGCUUCCCUAAACUAGAAAAUGAGUUAUAUCUUUAAAUUCUUUGAGCGCUUUGGAGUCCCAAUUAGACCAAAUAAAGAUAACUCCUCCACAAAGAAAACACUCAAGGGAGUCUACUAAGUUGAGAAUACUUUAUAGAAGAUAUCUAUCCCCAUGGACCAUUUCUCCAGCUAUUGAUUUUUUAGGCCAAAAAAUCCUGUGGACGACUAACAGUAAUUUUUGGUGGAAACUUUACAUCUUACAUUAUCAUGGCUUCCUUGCAUUAUAAUAUCUCUAUACACUUAUUUUUACAUUAUUGGCAGGUAAAAGGUUGGAUCAAAAAGUUCCGUCCAAAUCACCAGGUAUAUUGGUAUUAUUGGCAGCAGAAUCUACCAUUCUUUUAGAUAACUGAUUGCACUAUUUACUAUUGCUAUUAUUCAUAGACCUUUCAUUUGAAUCAUAGCUCAAAAACUAGGACUCAGCACCGAGCUUACAAUUUGACAACCGACUCACCAACAUAUUAAUUUAACAGAUAUUAACCUUCUUCUAAAAAAAUAAAAAACAGAUAUUAACCUUAGUGAAAAUAGAUCAACUUACCCAGUGAUUCGGAAUGCUAAAGACCCUAAUAAAAGUUCCACUUUCUGUCUGGUCCUUGGCUUCAGGUAAACUAUAUUAUUCAAAGACGAAUCCUAAUGUGUGCUUAUCUGGGGCAAAGAAAUGGCAAAAGUACAAAUCAUCUGUUUUUGCAUUGUCACAAUGGUGGUCAUUUUUUCAGGCAGCUAGAAUUUCUUAAGUUAUUCCAGCUUCUAGCAUUUUUCAGCUUUCAGAGAUUAUUUAUGCUUUUGGGAGGAGGGGUGGUGGGGGGUGGGAGAAGCUAGAGUGUUACAGAAAUGUUCAGUUAUGUCCACUUAUUUGGUGAAUUGGCUUGAAAGAAAUUGAAGGAUGUUUUGAAGAUUCUGAGGAAGACAUCAUCUUUUUGUGGGAAAGAGUAGGAUUACUAGCUUUUCUUUGGGCGUCAUUAGAAAGGAAUUUCGAGAUUCUUCUUUCUUCUUCAUUUGUCUAAACUGGAAGCGGUGUUCACUUAGCUCAGUGCUUUGGAUUUGUUUUUGUUAUGAGAUCAUUUAGUCAUAUAGAUCCUAUAAUUAUUUGGUCAUAUUAUCAGCAUUGAACUGUAUAGACUUUUUGUGAUCUUUAGGGGUUCUUUCUUUGUGGACUCCUUGUUCACUUUCUGUAAUGUUUUUCUUUUUAAUAAAAAGUUUUAUGUUUCCCAUCAAAAAACACCAUAAAUAAAUAUAUGAAAAAUAAAAACAUCAGCUUACCUGAAAAGAACUCCAACCACAUAGCUAAAAGCCGCCUGUAAAAUUAACAAAGUCAUUUCUAUGUAAGCCCAAAAUUUACAAUAUUUCAUGAAUAUCUUACUUUACAUUUUUUUUUAAAAAAAAAAGUGAAUCCUUCCAAUAGAGUAGGGAAGAAAAAAAAAAUUUGCCUACUCUGUUGCAAUUUGUACAGUCAAACACUGAAAAUAUAUAAAAAUAUAAUAAAAAGUAGGUUUGAACCAUUGUCACCAAAUCCUCAUAUUCAUUUCUAAUCCAUACUUCCGUUAAAGAGGCUAGAGAAAGGUCUGAUAUAAAACAUUUUUUAAACUUGAAAUACUGGUGCUUUACUUUUCUGUGAGAUAUUACCUGGACUGAGAGCGUUAUCAAACAAUACCCACUCCAGGCAGUUCCAAUGCCAACUGACAAGAGCAUCAGUUCCCUCUUCAGCUGCAAGAUCAAAGUACGAAAAUCAGCAUCGUAAACAGCUUUUGUGGUACUAUGUUGCAGAAGCUAGCUUUUAGGUAAUAACACAACCUAAAAGUUCAAGCUGAGAGAUAAGAGCCUAAGACUACAGAAUCUAACACGUACCUCGCAUGCAAGGCAUGUAAAUCAAACAUAACAGGAACAUUGCUAUAACAAGAAGCAAACUCAAUGUUCUAAUAAUGAAAGUAACACAUCAGAAAAUCCAAAUACAAGACAGCUUGAUCAAACUAGCUCCACUAAAAGUUAAGCAGAUAGGUAGGACUCCAACAGUAGUUUUCAAAACCAACAAAUAUAAAUAUAAAAAUAAAAGCAUCCUGGAACAUACCCAGUCUGCGAACCCUUAGUUCUAUUACUGACUUUAACAUAAAACUGAAUCCCUUAGGUCCUAUCCUGGUUACUUGGAGAUCCAAUUGGAGAAAUAUUGGUUUCAAAACAGAAGCUUAGGUAACCAAAUUUGCAGCUUCAUUUGAAAACAGACAUCUCUUGAAAUGCCAUUUGCCAACAGAAAAAUAUGAACAACCUUUAACCAAAAUACAUUCACAUGGUGAGCAUCAGCUCAUUCAGCUCACAAGAUUAAAGUUACAGAUUUAAAUAUAAUGAAAUCAUAGGCCUAGAACCAAAAGGAGAGAAACCAGUCCGCCCUUGCACAUAUUUAUACAAUAUGUUCAUUUAUUAAUCAGUUUUUUCAAAGUUAGUUAGAUAACUACAAACAAUUUAUAUUUCAAAUGUAAAGAGAAUCUAACUUUAAAAGAAAUAAUGGAGCUAGAACUGAACAGAAAGAUCCCAAUUUCAGGCAUUGACAUCACAUCAACAACCAAUUAACCAUGAGAAAUACCGAUUUGAAGAAAGGUAUCAUACAGCUUCAUAUUUAAGAAGGUUCAGUCUCUUCCUUCUUUCACUGUCAUCCUGCAAAGCCUGUAUUUACAUGCAUUGGUUAGCAGUAUGAAAUUGCAGAUAUAAAACUUAAAACAAAUUCCCAUACUUUGCUGAAAUUGGGAGAAAGGGAGGGAAGAAGGAUGAAGAGAUGGGAAAGAGUGUUUACAAGCAAGCCCAUUAUAAUAAAAUGAUAGCCAAGAAAAAGCAUACCUUAGCAGAAGGUUUCUUAUUUAUUGGUGCGGAGUUGUCACCUAAUAGCCACUCAUGGGUUUUCAGUAAUUUCAAAAAUCCAUCAUCAUUGUCACUUUCUAUGACCUACAAAUAUUAGUACCAUCAAUAAAAGCACAAGCAAACUAAAUCACCUAAGACACCAGAAUAAAACAAACAGAAUGUCAUACACUUAGCAAUUAAAUUGAGGAGCCUUAAAGCAGAGAGUAGCUAAAACCAGUAUGGAAAUAUGUACACACUUUAAUUCAUAAAUGCGUCAAGAGUGGAGUUGAUGCCACAGUUUAAUGCUGAAGAGGUGAUAUAUGAGAGAUCAGAAUAAAGCAUCUGCAUCGUCAACUGCUUGAAAUUUCAAUGGAGCUUUUUAACAACACUGGGACCGAAUGAGUCCUCCUUCUAUAAACACCAGUUCUACCCCAGUCUAAGCCUCAAUUGUAAUAAGGAGCUGCACCUUGGGCGGUAAUUUAUUUCUCAUAAAAGCCUAGAAAGGAGAGUAUACAAGCUACUGCUAAUUCUAACAGAACACAGGCUUGGCGAAGUUUGAAAAUCCUUCAAGAUAUUGAAUGAAUCAAUUUGUUUUUUUCCCCCCAACUUGGCAUAACUACAUUAUUCAGUAACUUCUUAUUUGACACUCAUGAAACUAAAUAAAUAAAUAAUUUCGGAAGAUUUCUCAUUGAAACAGCUAAAUUGCUGCAUUAUUAGUGACAGAACCAUUCCAGAGUCCAUACUCCAAAGUCAGAACUUAAGAGACUCUAAGAACCACAAAAAGUACCGAGAAAGAUGCUCUAUAAACCAGAAUUGUUUGAAAUUAUCAUACUUCUAUACCACUACAGAGAACACGAAGCGAAAUUCUAAUUGGCAAUUGCAUAUCCCAAAAAAAAAAAAAAAAACAGAAAGAAAGAAGAAUACGAUACAUUCUUAUGAAUCAGAAUCAAGUAAGCCCUGGUGAGCUUGUUCAGAAUUGUCAGCAAAUUUCCCAGCAUCAGCAUCAAAGUCAACAAAUUUCAGAGCCCCCAUCAGCCAAAACAUAUCAGAAGUUUUGGAAAUAAAGUCACCAUUCAAUUCUCUAUCUUUAAAGAACAUUUGCAGAACAUCCUCUUCAGCAACUUCACACACUGAGAAGUAAUAAAAACAUAAAAACUGGAAUGGGAAUUGACUGGGUAGCAUUAGAAGCGUCACAAAAAAGGGGUGGUGACUGACCUGGACUACUGCUUGUUCUUAAGAGAGAAGAAGAGAAUGUUGGUGAUGUUUUCUUGGAAAGCGGCUUCUGGGUAUGAGGAAGUGGAGAGAAUAUUGGGAAAUGAGAGUGAGUGUAGUUUGUUAAGAAGCUAAUUCUUGAGAGAGCCUCCAUUUUUGUUGGGACUUUCUGGCUUGUUGCUUGGCUAAGCCCCACUCUGGUUUGAUGGAGAAUGGUUUGGAACAAAAGAGGCGUCAUCGCAUUCUCCUGUCGAGCACCAGCACCGCCGGCCGCUCGCUAUUUUUCUAUUCAUAUAAUUAAUUGUGAGGGAUAAUUUCAUGGGAAUCCGUGAGGUUCACUUAAUAUCAAUAAUACCAUAUAAGUUCUCAAUCAACAUUUGAACUUGUACAGUCAUAAACUCUCCAAAUUAAUAAAGUCCCACAUGUUGGUUUGUAAUUUUAUGAUUCUUAUAACUUUGUGACAAUUUAUGUCAGUUUGCACCAUGGUGUAAUAUUUCAACAAAAGUGAGAAAAAUGUGAAUAACCUUUUAUAAUUUUUUUUAUUUUAUUCAUCUUUAUAAUUAACCUAUUUAUUAAGUCAUAUGUCAUUUAUCUAUUAGAAUGAGAAAUUUUAUUUUACCUUUACUUAGAAUACCACCAUAUUACUUAGAAUGAAAUCUUUAGGGAUAUUAUAAACUAGAAAGUAUUGUAUUAAUAAUUUUAAUAUGGUUAAGUUUUCAAAUAUUCUCUUGUGAAAUAACAAUCUUUAAAACACUCCCAAACUGAUAAGUGAAAAAUGAGAGUGGGUUAACGAAAUUGUUUUUGCUUUCUUUAGAAAAAUAGGAGGAAAGUUGAGAUUUACAAUAAAUUUGAGAAUAUUUCGAAAAUUAUUAUUUCACAAAAGAGUAAUCCAAAAUUAACCACCUCUUACAAUAUAAAUAAAAGAAAAUGCAUCAAGAUGGUAAAUAUAAGCCAUGUGGACUUUUGUGAUUCAUAGAUUUUAUGUAGAAUCUGAUUGUAAUAUCAGUAACGAAAAAAAAAUACCAACAAAGUGUUGGCUCCACUGGCAAUGGAGUCCCUUUAAGUGGUUUGACUGAGUUUGCUACCCAGUUCGAGUCACAGGGAAGUCUCAUUUGUUGAGAGAACUUGUGCCUCUCAGUUCGAGAGGAGACUUCUAAUCUAGAUUGUGGUACAGGCUUAAAGGUGACUUCCACAGUUGGGGCCCUCCCCAGGAUACUUUGUGAUUAAUAUCAAAAAAAAAAAUCAGUAAAGAAAAAUAUUAUGUAUUAAUAUUUCUAAUUGAUUACGGGAAGAACAACGAAGGAAAAGCUUUCCAGAAUAUUAGCAACAAUAUAAACAAAUAUUAUGCUAAUCAAUGAUUAUCUUCGCUAUCAGAACCGUAUGAAACCAGACUUACUGUUACAGGGCAUUUAUUAUGAUCAGCAUCACCCCUAUUUCUUUUCAGCACUGCAGGUUCCGGAGAUUUUUCUGCCGCAUCAAUUUUUUUCAUCGUAUCUGAAGACGAUUCUGCUGCCACAAUCUGAACAUCUUUCUUCGGUUUCUUUGCCAGCGGCAUCACUUUCAUAAUCGAGCUCAAGGGACGAGACGCUGGAUUCUUCUUCCCAAUAAUUACUCUUUGUUGAUGAUGAUCAUCGUCAUGGCUUAUUAAUGUUUCCUUGGAAGCAACACAUUGUGCUGCCACGGCUGCCCUGAAACGCCGAAGCUCCAGGGCCUCUUCGUCAGCAAGCCGCCGCUCUUUUUCCUUCUUAUACGACUCCCAUCCGUCAAGAAACUGGGCCUCGUCUUCGUCCAAGAAUUUCGGAGGCUUGUGCUUCCGGCGGUCCUCGAGAUCCUUUUUCUUUUUGGCUUUGUUCUCGUUCAGUAUCUCGUGAAGAGGCCUGUCUCUCUGUGCUGUCCCUCUUCAACUCUUUCGCCUCUUGUCUUUUUGGCUUCAUCCAAUUGUUCUUCUGAUAUAAAGUUGAUCCUCAAUGCAUUAGUGCUGGUUGCUGUUGAUUGUUCAUCCGCCAUCUUCAAGAUCAAUCGAAAUCAAAAUCCAGUAUACCAAAAUCGAAGUAUCUAGAGAGGGAGUUAAUUAAAUAUAUAAUUUAGCUAGAACUUUAGACGAUGAUCAGUAUAACGAUAUGUGUGGAUCCGACUUACUUAUGUUAAUGAUUAUGAAUGACUACUUUGUGCUAGUGCUACUGGGACUCCGGAUAUUAAGUUGCCCGAACCCAAGUUGGGAAAGUACAAAAUACAAAAUCCUAACUACGUUGAAUUCCAAGGUUUUAAAAAUAAAAAUUAUAUGUAAUUAAAUUCUUUUUAUCUAUAAACACACGUGUGAUAAAAGAUUGUAAAAGCCUUGUCUCAGCUAAUUGACAAAUACUACAAAUCCGUUUCAAUUCUAUAAUUAUUUUUUUAUAUUUUUAGUUGUAAUUUUAGUUAUAAUACAUGAAAGAUUAUUUUCGAAUAGAUAAAUUGUUACUUGAUUGAACAAAAUCCUUAUAGAAAUUGGAGUAGCUAGCGGCUCUCGGUUCACUUAUUUCACGAAGAAAAAUUAGGAGACCCAACUAGCUAGAGAUAUAUGAUCAAAGAUAUUAUUGUCCCUGAAAUGGCAACCGUAUAAAGCGAGAAUUGGAUUGUGAAAUAUGUAAGUUAUGGACCAAAGAAACAAUUUACAGCCACCAUUAUAUUAUAAGGAAGUUACUCCCAAAGUUGUAACAUUUGUGGGAAAAAAAAAAGGACCCAAAGUUGUAAGAUGUGUGGGGAAAAAAAAAGGGUGAGGCGGUUAAAAAGUAAAUAAAAGUAAAAGAUGCAGCUGGAAACAGAGGAACAUAUAUACACGUGUGAGAGAGUGAAAGAAGCUGUAAACCGACCUGAAACCCGACCCGACCCACGAACCUGACCCGAUUGCAUCUCACGAUUCCGGCCACCUCACCGGUCUAGCAAGCUAUCAAUCGGAAGCCCGUGAGACGCUGAUCAUACCCAAGCCGUCAUUACCGCUUAUCGCCGCCGUUUCAAGUUUGAGAAAUCGCAGCCAAAACUCGUCACCACCGCCGUUGAUUCUACCGGAAUUUGACCACGCCACCACCUCAGUUUUGUUCCUCAUGACGCCUUCUUUAAUUCCCGACCAUCCACAACCACCGGGAGUCAUUGUUUCGCCGCCAGCCAAUUGUUAGAGUUUCGCGGUUGUUGAGCUAAGUUCUGAUGCCGUCACCGCGCGUUAGAGUUCACUGCAGGUACCACUGAACUCAGCGUGGCCAAAAGUGUCUAACAUGUGCUUCUUGGCCAACGUUGACUGAAUUCCAGUCACCGUUGACCCACGAGGGUAAUUCGGUAAUUUCACAUUUUGAGGGUGAUUUUGUAAUUUCUGAACCUGUAGAUAUUUUAGUAAUUCCUAAAAUUGAGGAUCAGGUGUAAUUACGAUUCCGAGAGUAAUUUGGUGAUUUAUGAUUUUAGAGUAUUUUAAUGAUUUACAGACUCGAGGGUAUUUUAGUAAUUUUAUCGACGCAGGAGUUGUAAAUUAUGGGUAGAUGUUCGUUUCGGUUUUAUUGCAUAAAUUUAGUCAUAAUUUCGAUUUAUGGAAAAUAAUUAUAUUGUUUCUUUGAUUUGGGAGGAUCCGUGAGCGAGAACCAGUCCGCGGGCGUGGACGAUAACCGAGUGUGAGCAUCGUCACUGUGAGUUGAAUAUACAAAACAUAUUUUCAUAGUUAAUUAUGAUAGUAAAGCAUGUUUGCGAAAUAAGUAUUUUAAAUGUUUUGAUUUAAUAAUUUUCUCGAAAUGGAUUUUAUUCACGCAUUGAUAUUAUAUUAAAAUGUUUGGUUAAUGGUUUUCUGUAUCAACUUGAAUAAAAUAUGAUAGUAUCUUAAAGAUGAGAAAAGUGGAUUUAGAUGUGACAAUGAAAAGAAAGGUAUGAUUUAAAGUAUUGAUUAGAAUGUAUAUAAAUAUGAGUAUAGAGAUUGUUUUUAAAAUCAUUGGACAAUACCCUUCCCUCUAAAUACUGUGAAUCUGUGAUACAGAUGAGAUGAGAGGCCUUUGGGGCCCAUCUGAACACACAUAGAGGUUUUGGGUGGUGUGUUUGGGAGCUUUUGCUUUUUGGGGGCUUAUGCAUGCAGUAUGAUGAUUACAGAGAUACGGAUAUUGAGAUACAGAUAGAUAUUGAGAUACAGAUAGAUACUGACAUACAGAUGAGACAUAUGAGAUAUAGGCCUUUGGGGCCUGUUUGAGUACACACAGAGGCUUUAGGCCGUGUGCUUGGCGCUUUUGUCAUUUGGGGACUAGAUUAUGCAUGCACAUGUAUGAUGAGAUAUGAAAUGGUAUUUCCUUGUCUAUUCGUGUAGCUCCGAGGCAUGACGGUACCUAAAUAAUACAUCAUUGCUCGUCCGUUGAGGUCUAGAUACGACGAGAUUAUUCCCUUGGGUACUUGUUUGGUGACGAUUUUUAGAUUUAUAUAUUCUAUAUGAUAUUGUGAUAUGAUUCCGUGGUUAUUAGGUACGAUAUUAUAUAUGUUUUUCAAGGUUAGUAAUAUGAUUUAAAUGUUAAAUUAUUUAUUAUUGGUUUCUCGCAUAUGGUUUGAUGAAAUUGUGUUUGGAAAUGAUAUGAUUAUUUCUUUUAAAGUAUGAGUUUAUUUUCAAAAAUUACUAUCCACUCACUAAGCUCAUUGAGUUUUAUACUUAUCCAGUUUUUAUUAUAUUUUCCCCCACCAGGAGGUUGCAAGUACACCCAACCCACCCAUCAAGUGUAAAUAUAUUUUGAGUCUUGCCCAUAUGUGAUGGUGUUAAAAGAUAUAGAUGAUUUUUGUUAGGACAUCCUGAUCAUCUCACUCUUUUGGGAUUGUACAAUUUUGUUAUAUUAUUCUUUUGGGAUUAAGAAUAAACUGAUGUAUAUUAAUAUUAGUUAUAAUAUAAUCUUUUGACACUUUGGAGAUAUUUGGAGUAAAAUUCAGUAUUUUUGUUGAGGAUGUUGAUCAUUGAACUUGGUUGUAUAUUGAAUUUUUUUGGGCAGUGUUAUAUUCAUAUUUGCAGAUUGAGAGUGUUAUAUUUAUAAAGGAAACUCUAUUGAAUUUUCAGCAGAAUUCUCACUAAUUAGAUUAUUAUCAAGUUCGUUUUCAUAAGACUAGAUUGACUUGCCCGGGUGAGCUUUGGGGCGGGUCGUUACAAAAGUAAUACUAAAACAAGACAUGUUUAUUUAUUUCUUCCUUUUUUUUUAAAAGCCUAAAAUCCUAAAUAGAAGAUUCAAAAUUAGUGAAGGAACUGCAUUCGCACUGCCUUAUAAAUUUCUCUACAAUGAUCGAUCUACCAUUAAAAAAAAUAAAAAAGUUUGCUCAAAUUUAUAAGAAUAUACAAUCACUUUCACUUCAAUCAGUCAUAAAAUGGGCUUCAGCUCCUACUCCUAGCAAGCAUUUUCAAUACUAGUUUUGUUCAUUACUUCGGUAAAAGGUAUCGAUGCAACCAACUGAGUUUUCAACGUCAAGGACUUUGGUGUUGUGGCCGAUGGCAUUAAGGAUAAGGGUGGCAAAACGAAUAAACGAAUCGAAUUCGAGUCGAAUUGUAAAUGAAUUGGGUUAAAAUUCUACAGAUUCGGAUUCAAUUCGUUUAUUAAACGAAUUGAAAUUUCAGGAUUCGGAUUCGAUUCGUUUAUUAAACGAAUAUUCGGUUUGAUUCGUUUAUUAUUCGUUUAUCCUUAACGAGUCGAACCGAAUCAAAUCGAAUCAGGAUUCGUUUAGAAAAAUAUAAUUAAUAAACAAAAUUAAGCAAAAUAAAAUAUAAAAAAUCACAAUUUUAACAUCCCACAACAAAAUACAAGUAACUCAAACCAUAUUAUGCAGUCAUCUAAAUACCAAAUUACAAAUCCCUAAUAAUACAAAUAACAAUAAUUAAAAUUCAUAUGAUAAAAUAAGGUAAUUUCUUUAAUUCUCUUCAUUUGUUUUUUUCACCUUGAAAACAAAAAUCCUACACCAAAAAGUAAAUAAAAAUGUUAUUAACAAUUUAACAUAUUGCAAUAUUGAUAAUAAUCAUUGUAAAAUUUCAAAAUUUCAAAAUAUCAAAUAUAUACAAAUUUGUAGUAUUUUUAAGGAAAUACUAAUUAAAUAAGACAAAACUUUACCUAUCACACUCACACAAAUCCAAGGAUUUGGAGCAGUGGCAAAACGUAGCACUUGCUGGAUGUAAAAAUUAAAAAGAAAAAGAAAAGGAUUUGGAGAAGGAAAUGAAGGGAAAGAGAUUGCAAAAUGUAGUUGUGGCGCCUGAGUUGCUAGGAGAUGAGGGAAAAGUGCGUGUGAAGUGUAAAAUUAGGGUUGGUCUUUUGGCUUUAUGUGUUAUGCUUAAAAUUACAAUAUUAACCUUCAUAUUUUAAAAAGUUUUCAAAUAAAUUUAAAGAUAAAAAGGUAAUUUAAUUAAACGAAUAACAAACAGGUCGAUUCGUUUAUGACCCAUUUAUUAAACGAAUCCUGAACGAAUAAACGAAUCAAAAUCUUCAAACCCGCAUUCAAUUCGUUUAAUUAGCGAAUCGAAUCGAAUUCACCCAUUUAUUAAACGAAUCAAUUUUUUCAAACCCAAACCCACUUAAUUCGCAUUGAAUUGAAUCGAAUAAACGAAUUUUGACCCAUAUUGCCACCCCUAAUUAAGGAUGAUAGUAAGGUAAGGAAAAAUAAGAUCCGUAUAAAAUAAAUAUUAAUGUACUACUUACGUCAUUUUGAUUAUUUUCAACCAUCAUCAGGUAAAUAAAUAAGUUAAUCAAUGUAUUUAGAAUAAUAUAUUAUAUCUUUCCUGUGCAAAUUUAAAGCAAUCCAACUCAUAUAUCCAAAAUUAACUGCGGUUCAAUUUUGACUCACAUGGAUUCUUUGUUUUGGAAACAUCUCUUAAGGGUUCAAAAAUUAUCGGCUAUGAGUGAUACAAAAAUUAACACAUAUCUAAUUAAAACAUAAAUUCUCAAACUUCAGAAAAUUUUGUUACCCUCUAAGUUAUAGUAUUUCAUUUUAGAUAUCCAAUACAUUUUUGUUCUCUAAUUUUUUUUUUUUUUUGGGUCUCUCUCUAUCAUCGGCCUUUGUUUCUUCCAGUCUCUCGAUUCGUGAGUAGUGCUUUGCUAAAAUGAUACAAAUUUAUCUUUUUCACCUAAUCAAACAAGCAAACAUGUCAACAAUUAUUUGCAUGAAGCAGGCAACUGAGUCCAUUUUCCUUCCGUAGGGCUUACAUUAAGUAUUUUAGGGUGUGUUUGGGAUUGAGGUGCUAUAGCUUUUAAGCUACAGCUGCUGUGAAAAAAAAAUUGUAAUUAUGAAACAAAAGUUAAUAAUAUAUAGUAAAUAUAAAUUUUAAAUAAUAAUUUUGAUAAAAUUAUUAAAAAUAUAAUAAAUUUUAUAUUAUACAAGUGAAAAAUCAUAUCAACAUAGAUUAAAAGCUACAGCAGUUAGUGUUUACCAAACACUUUAGUGCUAUAGCUUUUAAGCUACAGCUGACCAACCUCAAUCCCAAACGCACCCUUAGUGACAAAUGCCUAAUAAUGCAGACUGCUACAAGUCCACUGAGCAGUCAAUGACACUGAUACUUGAACCAAAUUUAAAGGAUUUGGCACCGAAAUUUCUUGCCGGAAGGGAAAAGGCGUGGUCAUAAUAACUACGUUUCAAUUCUACUAUUCUAUAUUAAUCAGAUUCGAAUAUCUUAUGUGUAACCCAGUGGACCUUAUAGCAACCAAUAUGAUAUCAUUCUCUUGUGCACAUUUCCUUUUCUUAUAAUUAAUCUAUACCCAUAUCAAUGAAAUCUAACAAUAAGAAAAAUAAUUAUUGGGGUAAACUAAAGUUAACCCCAAAUAUUUUCUCAAUAUAAAUUAUCCGUAAUUACUUUUCUUUUUAAUUAAAAAAGGGUGUUCAAUAACUUUUUUUGUUUUAAGUUAAAUAAAGAUGUUAAGAGUAUUCCUUUUUUAGUAUGAAAAAGUUAAAAACCCACCAUUUUUUAUUUUUAUUUUUUUAAUUCUCCCUCUCCUCGGCCUUUCUUCCUUAUCCAUUUUAAUUUUUCUUUUUCUUUUUUAGUUAUUUUCCUUUAUUUCUCUCAACCUCAAUUUCUUAUUUUUGCUCCUUUUUUUCAUUUCUAAUUGGCUCUGAUUCUUUGAUUUUUGAGUGAACUCGUGUGUCAUGCUAAUACACCACGUGGCAAAGAGCAAUAAAAGGGGGGAAAAAAUAACAUCUUCAGAGCUUAUAUAAAAAAAAAGUUCUCCCAAAAACAUGGAUAAGUUGCGGGGUUGGAUUUAAUUUUGGGACUAAAAAAUUAAUCUUAUCCUAUGUCAUGUUUGGCUAUUAGAAUUAGUAAAUAAGUCCAAAUCUAUUGGGAUUAUUAGUCCUUAUUUUCAUGUGGAUUUAAGGGCUAGUUUGAGAUUGCGGAGAAUGAUGAAAUAACCUGCUUGUGUUGUGCAGUUAAAAUCAAUUGCUGAUUAGCUUAGUGUUUAGUAAACUGUAUUGUUGCGGUUGUUGUGAGUUUGAAAAGUAAAAUAUAUGCGUUUAGUAAAUUUUAUUACAAACGUGUUGUUUUAUUAUAUAAUGACUAAAAUAGACAUAAAUUUUAAUUACUUAUUAUUUUUAGAGUAUGUUUAAUAAAUUGUUUAGACAUAUCUUUUUUUUUCAUAAACAUAUAAAAUUACAUUAAAAAAAACUCAAUUAAAAAAUCUAAAGAACUUCAUAAUCUGUUACAUAAAUAUGAUAAAAAUUCAUACUUAUACAUAAUCCAAAUAAAACCAAAAGCAAUAUGUAUUACAUUUACAAUAAUUUUUUUGCAAUAAAGUUUCUCAAAUUUUUCAUUUCUUGGGAUCCAGAGCCAUUAGUAUUGUGAUGCUCUUCGUAAGUAUUAUUGCCUCUUUUUAUUCGUUCAUCAAAGAUUGAAGUAGGAUAAUUUUCAAUAUUGUCAAAAUGAAGAUCACGUUGCACAUGUCUCCUUAUAUAAUUGUGCAAUGUCAUGGUUGCAAUGACUAUUUUCACUUGUUUGGAAAACGAAUAGCUGGGCAUAUCUCUUAAAAUCUUCCAUCUUUUCUUCCAUACUCCAAAUGCGAGUUCAAUAAUGCUUCUAAGUGAUAAGUGAGCAUGAUUAAAUAUUUCUUGAUAACCUAUGGGUUUAGUAUCUUGGCGAAACUCUGGAAGGUGGUAUAUUUCACCUUUAUAUGGACCUAAAAAACCACUAAUUUGGGGGUACCCCACAUCCACUAAGUAAUAUUUUCCUGUUGAAUAAAAAACAUGUGAAUUUGUAUAAUAAUAUUUUAAAAGAUUAAAUUUUAAUUCAACUUAAAUACUUUGUAAAGAAAAUAUUAAAUAUUUAAGAAAUAAAAUUUAAAAAAAAAAAAAGCAAAACACCUUUGGGAGGCUUUGGAAAAUUCAUUGUAGGGUUGUUAGAAAAAUCCUUGCAUCAUGUGCACUACCUUCCCGACCUACAAGUGCAAAAAUAAAUUGCAUAUCAAACUACAUGCAACCAUUAUUUUUUGAGUCGGUAUUCCUUUUCUACCAAUAUAUGGUACUUGAUCUUCUAGGAAUAUUGUGGCAAGAACAUGCACACCAUCUAUAGAACCAGUACAAUCUUGAUAAUAGCAUGAAAACAUAUUCAUUGCUAAUAUGUAACUUUGUAAAACAAAAAUUAAAUACAUUUUUUUAAUUACCUCAAAGUGGGGCAUGUAUCUUGAAUCUCUCAGUAUUUCUUUAGGAACUUCCUUAAACUCAGGAUCUUCUGCCUUUAUUAUAUCAAUUGCCGUUAUACAUACAACAUCUAAUGCUUGGCUAAAAUAUCUACUGAUAGUUUCACCUGAGUGUUGAAAUCGUUCUUGUGCUAACCUGUUUCCAACCCCAUGUCCCAAAGUGUGCAAAAACAUUCCUAAACUCUCAGCAGCGCCCAUUCUUCUUGAACCUUGUGGCCCAUAAUUUGUUUCCAGAUCAGCAAAUAAUUUUAAAAAAUACAGCCUUUUCCAUUUUAAACAUCCUGUAGCAUAUUUUAAAAAAUACAGCCUUUUCCAUUUUAAACAUCCUGUAGCAUCGAUUAUCAUUUCCUUCUAAUACUUCCUUCAACCACAUAUUUCCAGUUUGUAUAGAUUUCAUACAUGGUUGUUUAUAAAUAUAUUUGAGAUAAUAGUCUUCUAUAAGAAGUGCAGAUACGCAUACAAUUUGGUCGAACACCUCAUCAUCAGAUGUAUCAAUUUCUAAAAUAAACCUAUAAACAAUUAUUUAAAAAGUAUCACUAAACAUGCAACAAUUUUUUUUUUUUAAAAGUAAAGAUAAAAUGAUGUUAUAAACAAUUACAAAAAUCAUUCAUAAUUAUUAUUAUAACUAAUGUCUGAUGAAAAGUAGUAUGAAAACAGUAUCAUAAAAUUAAUUGUUCAUAAAGCACCUUAUUCCUAAAAGAAACUAAAAUCUAAAAGCCUAAAGGAAAAUCUAGCAUUAUCUAAUAAGAUUACUACAAUAACAUGUUUCAAAGAUUAUAAGUCGGUGAUUUCUCAAAAUGAAGCCAUUUAAGCAUCGUCUCUGUCUUUCGUGACAGAAAACAUCUCUCUCUUCUCUUUAGAUAAAAAGAGUAGAGUGGUAAAUAACCAUAAGUCGCUUCCAACUUCCACUCCAGGUAAAGAUUCAACCAUUUGCAUCACUUCAAGAGUACUACAGCAGACGGUAUCAUUUUUUUUAUCCUCAACAACAUUUAUAAGGCAGUCAAUAUGUUGUGAUAAUUUCGUAUCGUCUCCUACCUUUGCCCCUCCUAAUCCAACCUUUUUAACUUUCUUCACCCUUUUAUCUGUUAUCUUACGUAUUUCAACAUUUCUUUUAUCCACCAAUUUCUCAAAAUUUUCAAUACCUUUGUCAAAUUCCAAUUGAUCAGUGAACUCAUAUGAAUCACCAUUACUUUCUAAUGGAAUGACAUUUUUGUCUAACUCUUCAUUAUUUUCAUAUGGAAGGAUGUCAGCUGAAAGUGGCCAAGCAUGCUCUCCGGUGGCGGCAGUGUUCAUGAACAUCCUGUCCAACUUCCCUUCUAAUUAUUAAUCAAUGCCUCUUUUACGAAACUUGCUUGCCUUGGGAUACAUCUGUAUAUGUACAUUGUAUGAAGUUAAACACUAAUUUUAUAUAUAGUAAAAAAAUAUUGUGGCAAAAUAAUCAGCAUUCACCUUUAUUUUCUUUUGCCACCACUCUUCAGAAGCAUCAAUAGUCUUUAAUAUGGGAUUCCAUCCUAGACCAUUUUCUUUCCCCAUAAAAUCUUUCCAUAAUUUCCAACACUAGUAAAAUGAGUUCCAAGGCAACGUCCUACCUCUAAUUCCGAAAUACACAAAUCACAAAAUAUAACUAGAGUAUUUGCAUCCCAAUGUGCCUUAAUAAGUUGUGCAUUACUGGAAGUUUCAGUAGAGUUGGCAAUAUUAUUGUUCUUCAUCUAUAAUAAUAAAAUGUAAAAUCCAACUCAAUCAUUACAGUCAUGACAAACAAGCAAUAAUAGAUAUCAAACACUCAAGAAAUCAAGCAAUUAUAUCAUUAAUCAGCAUAUCACAAUCAAAAGCCACAUUCACACAAACAUGGCUAUAGUGAAAUAUAACUAUAUAUUUGUUGAUGCAGAAAUCUGGUCAUGUUGUAGGGCUGAUCAGGUUGUCUCUUCAACGAUCAAGUUAGCUCUGGUUGGGGCACUAUGUUGCUCGUUCCUUCCCCUGACGAGCGAAUUUUGCGACCACAACCAACCUCGUUCCUUCUCUUAUGACCUAUACUUAUAGAAAUUGAUCAGAAGCGCCAGUAGUUUUUUCGGCGAAAACCCUCCGAUGCUUAAGUCAGUAUGUAGGGUUUCAGGAAAAACGUUGGAUUAUAAAUCUAUGCAAGCUAACAAUUGUUAAAUGAAGGAAAAUUUUUUUAAAGGCUUUAUGAAAAUGAGUUCUGAAUCCAAAAUAGCAGAGUUUCCCCUUAUUUUUUUCUUGUCUUUUUCCCUUUCCUGUCUUUUUUUGGGGUUUUAUAGGCAACGACCCUUUGUGUCUUGAACAUCCCCCCAAGUCCUCCAUAUUCGAGCCAUCAUAGAUCAAAUGGAUUGCGAAAAUCGUGCAUGGGUUAUCGUGCCUCCCUCGAAUGGUUUGGACGUGGCGAAGCUGCCGCCUUAAUAUGGCAUCAUGCCCAAUUUUUAAGUACAUUUGUCUUGUUGACCUAUAGCUUACACCGAAGAGGGCUAUGGUGCCAUUGUAUCUACUCAUCAAAACAUAGUAGAGGAGAUUCCACCCAACCAAAUGAAUCAUGUACGACUGGUGCUCUUUUAAUCACCUAAACAUCAGUCCCCCUAGUUUCUAGUAUUGUGAGUGGAGCGAGCUAAGACUAGAAACUAGGAGACAAUUAUGGUAAUAAUGCAGGUUAAGUUAUCUAGCUCUAAUCAUGAUCUGGCGAAGUCGAGGUGGCGUUCUCAAAUUAUUUGGUUGCCCGGGUGGUAUAUAGCUGCAAGAGCAAUGUGUAUAGAGCAGACACCUAUGUUCUCAAGUACACUACCAAUCUGACUUCUUGUCAUAUCAUUUUAAAUGCUUGCGACGUGGCACUUCCUACACCAUGUAUUUAAAAUUUGAAAUGGUGAUUUCUUUGCUCUCGAUUAAACUGACACAUGCGUUACUUAAACGCUUCUUUUCUCUUUCCUUCAUAAAAUCCAUAAAUCGAGGACUUCAUUAAACUUGUUCUUCCACUUUCUACUGAGAUUUUUAACUUGAAAUCAAGCACCCUUUUUACGCCGGAGACUCUCUUUCUUCUGCUGUUUUCGCUGUGACAGUGACUCUAUUAACCUUAAACCAUCCCAGGUAUUGCCCUCUGAACUAACUUCUGGUUGUUAUUAUUUUGUCUUGUAUUGUGCUUUCUUGUUCGAGUAUUUGGAUUUGUUUUUAGUUUUCUCCAUGUUAAAAUGAAAAGGAAAAAUUAUCUAUAUUAAGAUGAUGAAGAAAUAGAUUCAUACCUCUAUAUGCUAAGAGAGACUCUCCUCGACCCCUAGAUUUCCCCGAGUGAUGUAGACCCCUCUAAUACUAAGAGCACUCUUAGGUAACCAUCGUUAGAGGUUACUCCACCACCUUCUGGUCACGAACCUAGUGGGAAUAAAAGUGGACAAACGUCGAGCUUCGACGAAAGUCCUAGCUCGAGUGGGGUAGAAAGUCAUGAUGAAGAGAGUGAUAAUGUGGAAAGUGGCACCGAGCCGAUCUAACCAGCUAAAAAAAAAAACCUUGGCCACAGGAUAGAAGCUAAUUCUUAUCCCAUCGAUUUUAUAAAGUACAGCACCACACAAAAUGAUCUAUACAAAUUGAAAAACCUUUAUCGUAUUCCCAACAACAUCCAUCUCGUUAUUCCCGAAAAAGUGAUGUCCCUAGUCAACUUCCUCAAGGCUACGUGACCUUAUACUUGAAGUGUUUCAAGUUAUGAGUUAAAUUGCCCCUCCAACCUUAUUUUGCGAAGUUAUUGAGUGACCUACAUUUGGCUCCUAGUCAAUUAAACCCAAACAGAUGGAGGGUACUUUCAGGCUUGUUUGUGCUGUGGGCUAGGUGUGAACCUUGAAAGCUUACCACUGAUGAAAUAAAGAAUUUACAUCAACUAAGAAACAACCCAAAAGACGUGGGCUGGUAUUAUUUCAUGUCGAGCUCUACAAAGAGAAAAUCCAUCACAGACUUUCCUACCUCAUGUAAAAAAUGGAAGACCAAAUUCUUCUUUGAUGAGGGAAACUAGGGUCAGGUGAUUCAAUUGGGUGGCGGUAGUAUUCAUGUCCCCACGCGUUUUUGCACCCCAGGUCAUUUAUUAUUUUUCACGCCUCAUGCCUUCAUUCUUACCAUUUACUGUGUUUUUUAGAUUAUUGGAGCAUGAUUUACAACAUCAAGGAGGAAUUGUUACUCAAAGUUCAGACUGCCCUAGUCAACGCUUGUACGUGCAAAAGCCUUUUGACGUCAACAAGUCUCAUCGAGUCCCACCUAAUCGAUAUAGCUACGGGGAUAGAUAACAAGAUCCUUGGUGCCAUGGCAAGGAAACAUGCUCGUGGUUCAGGCGACUUUGCCCCUACCCCACAAAAGAAGAGCAACGUCACCCCGACCAGCGCUCCUCCACCAACUCUGCCGCCCUCUCCGGCCUAAAAGGGUGGUGGUGAAAAAUCUCGCUAGAAGACCCCGAGAGUGCUACCCCUUCUACCAACCGAACUUCGUCACCUCUAUCCCGAGACCAAAACAAUUACUUGGCCAUAUACCAAAGGGAAUAUGCCAGGGUGAUGGGGUUCACGUUUGUAAAAGAGUUUGAGGGUAUAACCCUUACUGAGAUGGGAGGCUCCAUCCAAAAAACUACCUUUUAGCCCGCUACAACAGCCUCUUAUUAUAAGUUCAAGGCUUCUCGCCAUAAGAAGAGAUGACAAGUAGAGAUUUAAGACUUGAAGAAAAAAAGUUGAGGCAACUGAUCGUUCAAAGGAGCGAUUGCUUGAACUGCAUAAGCAGAUUCUAGACCUUGAGGAGAAAAUUGCUCUCACUGAGUCCAAGUCCAUUCAACUCGAUCGUGAGGUUGUAGAGAUGGAAUCUGAUCUUGACAUUGCAUGAAGUGAGUGAGAUACUCAGAAAUCAGCGCAUGAAGAGCAAAUUAAAUCUUUGAAAUUGCUUAUAACUAAGUUGAAAGAUAAGGUCAAUAACAUGGAGGACCGGAUGGAUGAGGAGUACGACUCUAGGCUUGCUUUUAGCUAUAACUGCAUUAUGUCUGUCCUUAAGAAGGAAUAUCCAAAGCUGAAGAUAGACAAGCUUGAAGCAAGUGUAAACAAGUAUAUGGCUUAGCAAAAUCAACCAAACAAAGGCCAAGAUGGGACUCCUCCGGGUGCUGAGAGUAGGAAAAAGGAAUAAGGGACAAAACGCCAGAUGCAGCUGUGGAGGUAGCCCUUGCCCUUGUUGGGAUCACUAAUCCUUCCUCGGCUAUGAUUGUUGAUUCCUCCCUUGCAGAAGUAGUUGAGCCUUCCUCCCAAAAUCCAUGAAUUUUAUUUCAUGUUUGAACUGCAAACUUUCAUUUGUUCACAUAUUUUGAAACAUUUAUAAAUUCUGUUUUCUACUUUUCAUUUUAAUACUUUGCUCAAGAAGACUUGUAUGAAUUGUUGUUUUGUCUUCUGAAUGUUUAACUUCUUUACCAACUCCGAUAUUCUAAAACUUAUUGUUGGCCCUAAUGAUUAUUUCAUGGGCUUUGUCCGCUCAUCUUCGUUUGAUAGAAUAGAUUUUUUACCAAUUUUUUGCCUGCUCUGCCUCGAGAAGGUUGUGAGUCUUUUAAGCCCUCAUUUGCCCUGGAAUAAUUUUGGUAAACUUUGCCUGCUCAUUCUUGCCUAGCAGAGCAGGUUAAGGCAAACUUUUAACUUGUAUCAUCUCGACAGGCUUCGAGCCUAUUUAGCCUUUACUUGCCUUAGAAAUAAUUUUUGCAAGUUUUGCCUACUCGUCCUCGCUUGACAGAGCAGGUGUUGAGUGUUAGAAAAUGCAUAUUUAUAGAGGAGAAAACCGUCAUUUUACAUUUCAAGUCUUACUAACAACCCUUAUUUUUAUGUAUUUAACCUACUUGUGAUUUAAUUACAUGUGUUUUAUUUUAAUUAAGUAUUUUAUGUAUUUUAGGGGCAUUAUAGUCAUUUCACAAUAAACGAGAAAUCAGAUGGCAAAACGGACAUCACUUUUGAACUCAGGACGGUCGAAAACCUUAGGAGGAGCAUAAAAGGAAAAAUGGCACUGUUCACAUGUACGGUACUAUUCACGUGUACGGUACUGUAUACGUUACUGUUCACAUAGACGGACCGAUGAUGUGGCAUUGACUGAUCGUCCAAACUAAUCCUGUUGGACUAAAAUUCUUAUAUACUGUUGAUGGUGACGUGGCAGCAUAUCAGUGGACGAAAAAUCUCGCAUACGGUGCAUGCAUCACACAGGAUUAUUUUCAACCAAACCGCAUACUGUUCAUCCGCGUGGUCAAACCGUGGAAUGUUGACUGAUGACGUGGCGCAAUCCUGAGCGUCCAAACUAUUUUUAAUCCGAUGGCCAUGAUUUACUCCAUGUAUCUAUAAAAAGGGGGCCUCCCCCCCCUAAUUUGAUAUCUCUGAAUCCAUUUUUGGGAUCCAUUUUCUGUAAUUCCCUCUCCAUCUUGUAUUUUCUUCGUAUUUUAAUAAAUUUUCAUUUUGCCCCUAGUUCAAUUAAGAGUGGCUAAUUUUCUUGCAAGCUUGGGUUGAUGGUAAAGUUUCAACAUGUGUCAUGGGCUUAAUUUGGUAAAUUUAUUUUCUCUUCCCCUCUAGUUUUUGUGGAUGUUUUGACUUCUCGUCGACAAAUAAUAAUAAGCUUGUCUAGAUACCGUCUUGGUUACACCGGCUCUCUAGUAGAAGUUUAUUAUUAUUUGGUACGGUAAGCCCUUAGCACCAUAUUGAUUAGAGCGUGGUUCAUGAGGUGUGGAUUCCCCCCUCAUGAUUUAAUUGACAUUAAUACGGAUUAUUUAGCCCAUGAUGCAUGUUGAUACGGAUCCAGAUACCCAAGUACGUCAAUUUAAUAGAUUUUCUCUUCAAUUUAUUCUCUCAAUUGCAAUUCCAAUUUUAGAAUUUAUUCUCGCCAUUUUAAUUUAAUUAUUAGCAUAUUCCAAAUCAUUUCCACCAUAAAUCCAACUACCCAUUUACAAAAUUAAUUCUAACACAAUUAAAAUCCACCUCCUCGUGGGAUCAACACUCAUCACCAUUGAUCUAUACUACAAUAAAUUCGUGCGCUUGCGAGUACAUUAAAAUUUGCACAACAAAUUGCUUGACAGCAAUUGGAGAAAGGCUCAUGAAGAUAACUGAUGACAAGUGGAAUGAGAUAGACGACAACACAAUUGAUGAUCUACACCUAGCACUUGCAGAAUGAGUGUUAUCCAGUGUGGUGGAGAAAAAAAACAUCUAAGGAAAUAUGAGAUACUCUCACAAAAUUAUACGAGACCAAGUCAUUGCACAACAAGAUCUUCUUAAAAAGAAGGCUCUAUACUCUUCGAAUGGUUGAAUCUACAUCAGUGACCUACCAUAUCAACAUCUUGAACGCUCUAUUUUCACAACUCACAACGUUGGGUCAUAAUAUAGAGGAAAAUGAAGGUGCAGAACUUUAACUUCAAAGUCUACUAGAUUUAUAUGAUCAACUCAUCAUCAAUCUAACAAACAAAAACCAAGUAGACAAUUUAGUCUUCGAUAAUGUUGCAGCCUUCGUAUUAAAUGAGGACAGCAUGUAGAAAAAUAAGAAAGACAAUCAAGCAAGUUCGCAGCAAGCAGAAGCACAAUCAGUGACGAGAGGGAGAUCAACGGAACAUGGUCCUAGUGGGAGUCACAACCAUGGCAUAUCAAAAUCGAGAAAGUAAGAAGAAUGUUAAAUGCUACAAUUAUAGCAAGAAAUGACACGUUAAGAAAGAGUAUUGUAACAACCAGAAGAGAAGAGAUAGUAAAGAUCUUGAAUCAUAAAAUACUCAGGGAUGUGUAGCAAGUACCUCAGAUUAUGGAGAAAUUUUCUAUAGCGAGGCAACAAUUGUUGCAGAAGGCAAAAAGCGGUUAGCUAACGUCUGGCUCAUAGACUAAGGAGCUACCUGGCACGUGACCUCUCAGAGAGAAUAGUUCUAUACAUAUGAACCUAUCUCAGAAGGAUCUGUAUAUAUGGGUGAUGAUCAUGUCUUGGAGGUCGCUGGUAUUGGUAUUAUCAAAAUAAAAAUAUCUAAUAAUACAGUUCACACAAUUGAGGAGGUACAACAUGUCAAAGGUUUUAAAAAGAAUCUAUUGUCUUUAGGACAAACAGAUAGUCAUGGGUGCAAAACUCAUGUGGAAAAUGGGAUCAUGAAGAUUGCUAAAGACGCGUUUGUAAUGAUGAAGAUAAAAAAGAUUGAUGAUAAUCUAUUCAUGCUUAAAAGGGAAAACACUACAGGAAGCUGAUGCAUGUGUUGCGUUAAAUGGAGAAGAGUCGGCAAUGAUGUGACAUCUCAAACUUGGCUAAUGUCGGAACAAGGUUUGAAGAAUCUCUCUGAGUGAAAUUAUCUUCCAGGGCUCAAAUCGAUGAACUUACCGUUUUGCAAGCAUUGUGUUAUAAGUAAGUAGAAUAAAUUGAAGUUCAAUAGAUAUGUUGCCAGAAGUAAAUGCAUUCUACACUUGAUUCAUUUUGAUGUUUAAGAAUCACCAGACAUAUCUAUGGGAGGUGCAAAGUAGAUGGUGACUUCUAUUGAUGAUGAUUUCAGGAGAUAUUGGGUGUAUCCAAUCAAGAAAAAGUCGGAUGUGUUUACAGUGUUUUAAGAAUUCAAAGUGCAGGAUGAACUUGAAUUUAGGAAAAUGAUCAAGUGUUUGAGGACCGAUAAUGGUGAAGAGUAUACAUAUGACAAGUUUCUUGUAUACUAUAAGCAAGAAGGUAUCCAGAGACAAUUCACGGUAGCAUACACUCCUCAACAAAAUGGAGUGGCGGAGUAGAUGAACAUAACUCUUACAGAAAGAAUAAGAGUUAUGUUGAGGACUAUUGGUCUACCCAACUCAUUCUGGGCAGAAGCAUCCAAUUAAAGAAGUCAAAGCGAUAAUUGAAGGUCUCUCUCGACAAAUAGCAUCGUUAUCGACUGCUAAAUCAACAGAGCCACAUGACCAUGACUCAUACUCAAAUCAAGCCAACGCCAUAGGUGUAAUGAGAAAACCAUCUAAUUACAACCCAUACUCCAACACAUAUAACCUUGGAUGGAGAGACCACUCCAAUUUUUCAUGGUCUCAAGGACUCCAACAGAAUGGACCAGCAACUCCACCAAUGCAACGAAUUCCUCAAAAUCCUUAAGCCUCUCAGCCACCAUUCAGACCAUACAAUCAGAACCAGAACUACUCUCAACCUAGACCAUGGGAGGAUUCAUUUCAGAAUCUCAAGAAUCUUACUCACUCUACGAUUGAGCAACAGAACCGCACCAUUGAUGGACUACGAAAUGAAUUGAGAGUGGGUUUCAACUCACAAGCCCAAUCAGUUUCAAGCCUCGAGAAGAUGGUGGGACAACUUGCUUCUUCAGUUCAGACCUUGGCAAUGACCGUUGAGAAAGGUAAGUUUCCAAGUCAACCAGUGCCUAACCCUAAAGGAGUGCAUGAAGCAAGUACCAGUUCACCACAGUAGCAUGGAGAGGUCAAAGCAGUCAUGACCUUACGAAAAGGAAAAGAAGUCGACAACAAAGUGGAGAUGCCGGUGACAAAAGAAAAUCAAAUUGUACCUAUAAAUGUUGACGACUCAUCACCGGAGGAGAAAGAAGAAACCAACCCACGAGAAUACGUUCCCAAAGCUCCAUUUCCUCAGAGGUUAGCGAAAGGAAAAAAGGGAAAAUCUACAGGUGAGAUUCUCGAAAUCUUCAAACAGGUAAGUGUUAACAUCCCUUUACUUGAUGCUAUUAAACAAGUUCCAUCUUAUGCCAAGUUUCUUAAAGACCUUUGUACUAAAAAGAGAAAUAUGCAUGUUCAAAAGAAGCUGCUGUACGGCCAAGGCGGAUGUACGGUACAGCAGNNNNNNNNNNNNNNNNNNNNNNNNNNNNNNNNNNNNNNNNNNNNNNNNNNNNNNNNNNNNNNNNNNNNNNNNNNNNNNNNNNNNNNNNNNNNNNNNNNNNNNNNNNNNNNNNNNNNNNNNNNNNNNNNNNNNNNNNNNNNNNNNNNNNNNNNNNNNNNNNNNNNNNNNNNNNNNNNNNNNNNNNNNNNNNNNNNNNNNNNNNNNNNNNNNNNNNNNNNNNNNNNNNNNNNNNNNNNNNNNNNNNNNNNNNNNNNNNNNNNNNNNNNNNNNNNNNNNNNNNNNNNNNNNNNNNNNNNNNNNNNUGUCCCAGAAAGUGAAAUUCAUAAUAUCCUUUCAUUCUGCCAUGAACAAGCUUGUGGAGGCCAUUUCAAUGCUAAGAAAACCGCGACUAAAGUUUUACAAUGUGGUUUUUAUUGGCCAACUAUAUCUGCUGUACCGUACAUCCGCCUUGGCCGUACAGCAGUUGGACUGGGAGAAUUACACCCAACUCCAGUGGUGUUACAGCUUGCAGUUCGGUCCACGAAAAUACCUCGUGGUAUUGUGGAGGACGUGCUUAUUCAGGUAGACAAGUUUUAUUUUCCUGUUGAUUUUAUUGUAAUUGACACUCAACCAAUACAGGAUUUAAGGAAGCACAUCCCCAUUAUCCUAGGUCGACCUUUCUUGGCAACUGCGGAUGCUCACAUUCAAUGCAGGACUGGAAAUAUGCAGUUGUCCUUCGGCAACAUGACUAUAGAGCUAAACAUUUUCAACAUUGCCAAACAACCUCACAGUGCAGAUGAUGGAAUUGUUGAUGUGGAUUUAAUUGAAGCAUUAGUUGAUGAUACUUUUGUUUCAAACCUUAGUGAUGAUCCUUUACAAACAUGUUUAACUCACUUUGGUUUGGAUUUUGAUAUUGACAGAUCAGUCGAUGAGGUCAACGCCCUGCUUGACUCCGCACCAUCCUUGGACACUAAUAAAUAGAAGUCAAGAGUUGAGCAAUUAGCACCAUCAGAUAAGCAACUCAUUCCAUCAUCAGAAUCACCACCGAAACUCGAGCUCAAAUCAUUGCCCAACACUCUGGAAUAUGCAUUUUUGGGAGAAGAAAGUACUCUGCCGGUAAUCAUCUCAUCAUCCCUAAAUGACGAACAAAAAGGUAAGUUGUUGGAUGUUUUGAAAAAGCAUAAAGGGGCAUUAGGAUGGACCAUAGCAGACAUAAAAGGUAUAAACCCAGUAGACUGCAUGCAUUACAUUCACCUUGAUGAAAAUGCUAAAUCUACUAGGGAAAUGCAACGUCGGUUAAAUCCUAAUAUGAAAGAAGUUGUUAGAACAGAAGUCCUUAAGCUAUUAGACGCAGGUAUCAUUUACCCAAUUUCUAAUAGUUCAUGGGUCAGUCAUGUACAAGUUGUCCCCAAAAAGUCAGGAGUCACAGUAGUUACAAAUGCUGAUAAUGAAUUGAUACCCACUAGAGUAACUACAGGAUGGCGUGUAUGCAUUGAUUAUAGAAAAUUGAAUUCUGUCACACGUAAAGACCAUUUUCCUUUACCAUUUAUUGAUCAAAUGCUUGAUAAAUUAGCAGGUCAUGAAUUUUAUUGCUUUCUAGAUGGCUACUCAGGAUAUAAUCAGAUCCCCAUAGCACCAAAAGAUCAAGAGAAAUUAUAGAAAGUUGAAUUCUGUCACACGUAAAGACCAUUUUCCUUUACUAUUUAUUGAUCAAAUGCUUGAUAGAUUAGCAGGCCAUGAAUUUUAUUGCUUUCUAGAUGGUUAUUCAGGAUAUAAUCAGAUUCCCAUAGCACCAAAAGAUCAAGAGAAGACCACUUUCACUUGUCCUUUUGGCACAUUUGCAUAUAGGAGAAUGCCAUUUGGAUUAUGUAAUGCACCUGCUACAUUUCAACGAUGCAUGUUGAGCAUUUUUUCUGAUAUGGUUGAACGAUUCCUUGAAGUCUUUAUGGAUGAUUUUUCUGUCUUUGGUGACUCAUUUGAUCAAUGUUUACAUCAUCUAACUCUAGUUCUGCAGAGAUGUAUCGAGAAGAAUUUGGUCUUAAAUUGGGAGAAAUGCCAUUUUAUGGUAAACCAAGGUAUUGUUCUCGGUCACAUCAUUUCGAGCCAAGGUAUUGAGGUUGACAAAGCCAAGGUGGAUCUGAUUUCUAAUCUUCCUCCACCUAAAACAGUCAGAGAAGUAAGAUCUUUCCUUGGGCAUGCUGGUUUUUAUAGACGUUUGAUUAAAGAUUUUAGCAAAGUUUCUAGACCCUUAUGCAAUUUACUUGCUAAGGAUGUACCUUUUAUCUUUAAUGAUUCAUGUCUUAUGGCGUUUCAAAAAUUAAAACAGUUGUUGACAUCAUCACUCAUCAUUCAAGCCCCGAACUGGAGCUUACCAUUUGAACUCAUGUGUGAUGCAUCUGAUUAUGCAGUAGGAGCAGUAUUAGGACAAAGAGUUGAUCGAAUUCCCCACGUUAUUUACUAUGCUAGUAUGACAUUAAAUGAUGCACAGUUGAACUAUUCAACUACUGCAAAAGAAAUGGUAGCAGUAGUGUUUGCAUUGGAAAAAUUUUGAUCAUAUCUCAUUGGUUGUAAAAUAAUUAUAUUCACGGAUCAUGCUGCUCUUAAAUAUCUUCUCACAAAGAAAGAUGCAAAAGCCAGACUAAUUCGUUGGGUGUUACUUUUGCAGGAAUUUGACUUGGAAUUCAAAGAUAAAAAAGGGACAGAAAAUGUUGUGGCGGACCACCUCUCUCGUCUCCAUUUUGACACAAUAAUAGAACAAUUACCAUUAAAUGAGUCAUUUCCAGAUGAACAAUUAAUGAAUGUCGAAGUAUUACCUUGGUAUGCUGAUAUAGUUAAUUAUCUUGUUACAGGUAAACUUCCAGAGCAUUGGACCAAGCAAGACAAGAUCAAAUUCUUUGCGGAAAUAAAGAAUUUCUUUUGGGAUGACCCAUAUUUCUGCUGUACCGUACAUCCGCCUUGGCCGUACAGCAGAAAGCCUGUCUUAUGGCGAGACAGAAGCCGAGCAUGCCGGGAUCUACUCGGCCACGAGAAGGCAGCAGAAUCACAAUCCUUGAAGAAUCAAAGGCAUGCAAAGGCUCGUCAAGUCUCAAAGCCUGUCUUAUGGCGAGACAGAAGCCAAGCAUGCCGGGAUCUGUUCGGCCACGAGAAGGCAGCAGAAUCCCAAUCCGUGAAGAAUCAAAGGCAUGCAAAGGCUCGUCAAGUCUCAAAGCCUGUCUUAUGGCGAGACAGAAGCCAAGCAUGCCGGGAUCUGNNNNNNNNNNNNNNNNNNNNNNNNNNNNNNNNNNNNNNNNNNNNNNNNNNNNNNNNNNNNNNNNNNNNNNNNNNNNNNNNNNNNNNNNNNNNNNNNNNNNNNNNNNNNNNNNNNNNNNNNNNNNNNNNNNNNNNNNNNNNNNNNNNNNNNNNNNNNNNNNNNNNNNNNNNNNNNNNNNNNNNNNNNNNNNNNNNNNNNNNNNNNNNNNNNNNNNNNNNNNNNNNNNNNNNAGAAGACUUGAUGAUGCAUUAUGGGCAUAUAGAACGGCUUUCAAGACCCCGAUUGGGAUGUCACCCUACAGGCUAGUGUAUGGAAAAGCCUCCCACCUAUCUGUGGAACUUGAGCAUCGUGCAUAUUGGGCCAUCAAGAAAUUCAACUUUGACAUGCAGCAAGCCAGCUCAAAAAGAAGAUUACAACUGGCAGAACUUGAAGAAAUUCGCAAUGACGCAUACGAAAAUGCCAAGAUUUACAAGCAACGAAUGAAAGUCUUCCAUGAUAAGCAAAUUAUGAGAAAAUCGUUCACUCCAGGUCAGAAAGUGCUUUUAUUCAAUUCUCGCUUGCACCUAUUCCCAGGUAAGUUACGCUCUCGUUGGUCUGGCCCAUUUAUUGUACAUACUGUUUUUCCACAUGGGGCAAUUGAAAUUAAGGACCCAAAGAACGGUGUCACGUUUAAAGUUAAUGGUCAAAGAUUAAAGCCAUAUCUAGAGUACCAACCACAUGGAGAAGACACCGAAAUAAAUUUGAGUGACCCACCAAAUUUGAAUUGAAUUUUUUUUUUCUUUUCGAUUGAUUUGAUUUUUCUUUAUUUCUUUUUAUUAUUAUUCUUUUGCUAAUUGAAAUUAUUUUUGCAUAAGUGUGUUUGUUUAACUAUUAAGUUUUCUCUUAUCAUUUUUAAUCAUGAGUCUCAUACUUAGACCGUUCCUCCUGAACAUUCUUAAACCACUUCAACGUGUCAAAACUCAUCUCAAAAGACAGAUUCAAUUUUGUAAAACACAUCGCAUUUGGGCUCUACAACCACCAGAGUUAGUAACCUAUGUUGAGGGUUUAGAACGCCAACUCCGAGAUAUUGAGAGAAGUGUUUACGACAUCCAGUUGGAGCUUGAGGUAAAUUCAAUAAGAGGACGAUUUUAAUUUUCUUUGUGUGUUUUAAUUUGUUUUUCUAUUUGUGUGCUUUAGUUUAUUACCCCGGUGAAGUGGCGGAUAACGGUACUCCGUGACAAUCAAGUCAGUUACUUCAGUUUCCCAUAAUAACUGAUAUUCUGAGGCGAAAGUAUGGACAGAAACGAGACUCUAGCGAAGCUUCACAAGCGAUUCCCUUCACUCCCUCAGAAUGCCCUCCUUACGAUCUAUAAAGCCCGGUCUGAACGCAUGCGAUUGCUCAUGAGGAAUAACAUACCUGCAGACAUCCGUUGGUUAAUCGAGGCUAAAGUACGAUCGGCAGGUGAGUUACCUCCAAAAUUUAUUGCAUUCAUGCCUGGUUGUGGUAAAGGAAAUUAUGCAAGAAAACGACGAGCUCGAAGAAUUUCUGUUGCUUGUCACAAGUGUGCCAGAAUGAGUUGCGAUAGAAACCCAUGUUCUUUAGGAAUGGUGUCUGAUAACAGAGAAGAUAAGAUUCAAUUCAUUAGGGAUGGCUUGAAUAAGGAGUCAUUGGAUGAUAUCCUUUUGUCUCUUGAAACGCAUCCCAGUGGAUAUGUACAAGGAGCGAUUCUCCAGUUAUGGCCAUUAUUCCAGAAAGAGCAUACACGAUAUAGUCUUGGGAAUCUGACUAUAAACGACCCUGUUUGCCAGUUUAUAAGAAAACUGGAUAGGAAGCCUAUCCUCGACCCAUAGAGGGCGUUCAAGCCGUUUCUGGACGUAAAACCAGAGGAAGAUGUGAGCCACAGUCGCAACUACAUGUAAAUAUCCUUUUACUUUCUGUUAUUUUAUUUCACUAUUGUUUUAUCGUUUGCAUUAUUGCCUUUAAUAAUUUUAUUACUGUUUGCUUUUUCCUUUUUACUGUUUCCUUUUUGACUCGCAAGCCAUGUGCUUCACGCGUUAUUUCACACUGACAUGUUACCUCAUUCACAGCUGUGACCCACUAUCACCAAGACUCUUAAAUGUGAUUUCUUUUGUCAAACACUCACAAAUUGUUUUUGAGAAAUAUUCCAAUGGCAGCUACUCCCAAUAGACAAUUCAAGAACAUUUGUGUGCUUUCUGGAUUUACAUAUGGCAAACAUAAAGAGUUCGUUGAGGCAGCCAUAGAUCUUGGUCGAAGCAUAGCAGCGAGAAAAUUACACUUGGUGUAUGGAGGAGGUAACCGAGGAUUAUCAAAAAUGGUCUCAGAAGCAGCUUUUAUCAAAGGAAGUCAAGUGUUAGGCAUCAUCCCAAGAGCCCUAAAACCUUUGGGCAGUUCGUCUGACUCAUCAACUGGAGAAGAGUUAGUCAUCUCAGGUAUGCAAGAAAGAAUAACUGAAAUGCUUAAUUAUGCUGAUGCUUUUAUUUUCCUUCCAGGAGAUCUUGCAACACUAGAGGCACUUAUCACACUAACAUUUUGGGCCCAUCUAUACAUUCACCAGAAACCCAUCGGUUUGUUAAAUGUCAAUAACUUUUAUGAUGGCUUUAUCGCAUUUCUGCUGUACCGUACAUCCGCCUUGGCCGUACAGCAGGNNNNNNNNNNNNNNNNNNNNNNNNNNNNNNNNNNNNNNNNNNNNNNNNNNNNNNNNNNNNNNNNNNNNNNNNNNNNNNNNNNNNNNNNNNNNNNNNNNNNNNNNNNNNNNNNNNNNNNNNNNNNNNNNNNNNNNNNNNNNNNNNNNNNNNNNNNNNNNNNNNNNNNNNNNNNNNNNNNNNNNNNNNNNNNNNNNNNNNNNNNNNNNNNNNNNNNNNNNNNNNNNNNNNNNNNNNNNNNNNNNNNNNNNNNNNNNNNNNNNNNNNNNNNNNNNNNNNNNNNNNNNNNNNNNNNNNNNNNNNNNNNNNNNNNNNNNNNNNNNNNNNNNNNNNNNNNNNNNNNNNNNNNNNNNNNNNNNNNNNNNNNNNNNNNNNNNNNNNNNNNNNNNNNNNNNNNNNNNNNNNNNNNNNNNNNNNNNNNNNNNNNNNNNNNNNNNNNNNNNNNNNNNNNNNNNNNNNNNNNNNNNNNNNNNNNNNNNNNNNNNNNNNNNNNNNNNNNNNNNNNNNNNNNNNNNNNNNNNNNNNNNNNNNNNNNNNNNNNNNNNNNNNNNNNNNNNNNNNNNNNNNNNNNNNNNNNNNNNNNNNNNNNNNNNNNNNNNNNNNNNNNNNNNNNNNNNNNNNNNNNNNNNNNNNNNNNNNNNNNNNNNNNNNNNNNNNNNNNNNNNNNNNNNNNNNNNNNNNNNNNNNNNNNNNNNNNNNNNNNNNNNNNNNNNNNNNNNNNNNNNNNNNNNNNNNNNNNNNNNNNNNNNNNNNNNNNNNNNNNNNNNNNNNNNNNNNNNNNNNNNNNNNNNNNNNNNNNNNNNNNNNNNNNNNNNNNNNNNNNNNNNNNNNNNNNNNNNNNNNNNNNNNNNNNNNNNNNNNNNNNNNNNNNNNNNNNNNNNNNNNNNNNNNNNNNNNNNNNNNNNNNNNNNNNNNNNNNNNNNNNNNNNNNNNNNNNNNNNNNNNNNNNNNNNNNNNNNNNNNNNNNNNNNNNNNNNNNNNNNNNNNNNNNNNNNNNNNNNNNNNNNNNNNNNNNNNNNNNNNNNNNNNNNNNNNNNNNNNNNNNNNNNNNNNNNNNNNNNNNNNNNNNNNNNNNNNNNNNNNNNNNNNNNNNNNNNNNNNNNNNNNNNNNNNNNNNNNNNNNNNNNNNNNNNNNNNNNNNNNNNNNNNNNNNNNNNNNNNNNNNNNNNNNNNNNNNNNNNNNNNNNNNNNNNNNNNNNNNNNNNNNNNNNNNNNNNNNNNNNNNNNNNNNNNNNNNNNNNNNNNNNNNNNNNNNNNNNNNNNNNNNNNNNNNNNNNNNNNNNNNNNNNNNNNNNNNNNNNNNNNNNNNNNNNNNNNNNNNNNNNNNNNNNNNNNNNNNNNNNNNNNNNNNNNNNNNNNNNNNNNNNNNNNNNNNNNNNNNNNNNNNNNNNNNNNNNNNNNNNNNNNNNNNNNNNNNNNNNNNNNNNNNNNNNNNNNNNNNNNNNNNNNNNNNNNNNNNNNNNNNNNNNNNNNNNNNNNNNNNNNNNNNNNNNNNNNNNNNNNNNNNNNNNNNNNNNNNNNNNNNNNNNNNNNNNNNNNNNNNNNNNNNNNNNNNNNNNNNNNNNNNNNNNNNNNNNNNNNNNNNNNNNNNNNNNNNNNNNNNNNNNNNNNNNNNNNNNNNNNNNNNNNNNNNNNNNNNNNNNNNNNNNNNNNNNNNNNNNNNNNNNNNNNNNNNNNNNNNNNNNNNNNNNNNNNNNNNNNNNNNNNNNNNNNNNNNNNNNNNNNNNNNNNNNNNNNNNNNNNNNNNNNNNNNNNNNNNNNNNNNNNNNNNNNNNNNNNNNNNNNNNNNNNNNNNNNNNNNNNNNNNNNNNNNNNNNNNNNNNNNNNNNNNNNNNNNNNNNNNNNNNNNNNNNNNNNNNNNNNNNNNNNNNNNNNNNNNNNNNNNNNNNNNNNNNNNNNNNNNNNNNNNNNNNNNNNNNNNNNNNNNNNNNNNNNNNNNNNNNNNNNNNNNNNNNNNNNNNNNNNNNNNNNNNNNNNNNNNNNNNNNNNNNNNNNNNNNNNNNNNNNNNNNNNNNNNNNNNNNNNNNNNNNNNNNNNNNNNNNNNNNNNNNNNNNNNNNNNNNNNNNNNNNNNNNNNNNNNNNNNNNNNNNNNNNNNNNNNNNNNNNNNNNNNNNNNNNNNNNNNNNNNNNUUGGAUUAAAUAGAUUUUACAAUUAAUUAAAUAUAUCUCAUGUAUCAAGUAAUAUUGAAAUUACCUUAAAAUUUUAUUUAAAUGAUAUAUAUAUAUAUAUUAAUUAACAUUAUGUUUUUAUUUAUUAUAAAAUUUAUAUUAAUAUAUAAAAUAUAUGUAAUAGAUUGUAAAAUAUUAAAAUAUUUUUUUAAUAUUGAAAUUAUUUUAGAAUUUAUAUUAUUAUAUUUAUUUUAAUAUCGUAUCUCCAUUUAUUAUAAAAUAUUGGAGUCAAUUUUUUUUUGAAUUAAUAGAAUCAAAGUAUAUUAUGGUCAAAAGAGAGUUUUGGUAUCUUUUAUUAAAAAGUUAGUGGUCUUCAUGAUUAUUACUCCAAACUUUAGGGGUGUCAGUGUCUUUUUCCCUAAUUAUUAUAGUAAUAUAAAUUUUUUUUUUCAUAUUGAUCCUUAACAAAAUUUUGUAUAACCUUUGUCGAAACAACAGUUAAUAUUCAUAUUAAUUUAGAAACAUUGAAUUUUGUAUUAAAAAAUUACUCAAGUUAAAAUAAUGUGGUGAGAAUUUUUAUAGUAACUAAAAUUUCUGCCAAACAUAAAAUUUAAACAGAAAUAAUAUUUUCUUUUUACACAGCACCUCUUAAGUUUGGGGGGAUUGUGUCAGUGUAUAAUGUGAUUGUAAGUGCAUGUGUUUGUGUUGUGUGAAUCUAUGUUAUCUAGUAUUUGUGUAUGGAUUGGAUAAUCUAAUGAAGAUAAAUUGAGUGUCAUUUAAUAAUUGUAAUUGCUAAGUAAGAACAGUGUAUAGAUGAAGGUUGAAUUUCUGUCUUGACAAUGAAGUUUUGAUUGAGUUUUAUAAGUAUGUUGUAGUAGAACCAUGAAAACAUAAAAAAGGUAGAAAAUAUCUCAAGUUUGGGAGGAAACUUUUUGUUGAACUAUGCCUGUUAUGAAAUAAAUUCCGCUCCAAUGGCUUAAGUUGCUGAGUAACCAGAGCUAAGUAUGCACCAUAUAUACAUACUUAAGUCAAAAAAACAACAAGAGCUAUGACCAUUGUUGAGUGUUAGAAAAUGCAUAUUUAUAAAGGAGAAAACCGUCAUUUUACAUUUCAAGUCUUAUUAACAACCCUUACUUUUAUGUAUUUAACCUUCUUGUGAUUUAAUUACAUGUGUUUUAUUUUAAUUAAGUAUUUUAUGUAUUUUAGGGGCAUUAUAGUCAUUUCACAAUAAACGAGAAAUCAGAUGGCAAAACGGACAUCACUUUUGAACUCAGGAUGGUCGAAAACCUUAGGAGGAGUAUAAAAGGAAAAAUGACACUGUUCACAUGUACGGUAUUGUAUACGUUACUGUUCACGACACUGUUCACAUAGACGGACCAAUGACGUGGCAUUGAUUGAUGAGGUGUCACGAUCCUGUUGGAUGUGGCGCAAUCCUGAGCGUCCAAACUGUUUUUAAUCCGAUGGCCAUGAUUUACUCCAUGUAUCUAUAAAAAGGGGGCCUCUCCCCCCUAAUUUGAUAUCUCUGAAUCCAUUUUUGGGAUCCAUUUUCUGUAAUUCCCUCUCCAUCUUGUAUUUUCUUUGUAUUUUAAUAAAUUUUCAUUUUGCCCCUAGUUCAAUUAAGAGUGGCUAAUUUUCUUGCAAGCUUGGGUUGAAGGUAAAGUUUCAACAUGUGUCAUGGGCUUAAUUUGGUAAAUUUAUUUUCUCUUCCCCUCUAAUUUUUGUGGAUGUUUUGACUUCUCGUCGACAAAUAAUAAUAAUCUUGUUUAGUACCGCCUUGGUUUCACCGGCCCCCUAGUACAAGGUUAUUAUUAUUUGGCACGAUAAGCCCUUAGCACCAUAUUGAUUAGAGCGUGGUUCAUGAGGUGUGGAUCCCCCCCUCAUGAUUUAAUUGGCAUUAAUACGGAUUAUUUAGCCCAUGAUGCAUGUUGAUACGGAUCCAGAUACCCAAGUACGUUAAUUUAAUAGAUUUUCUCUUCAAUUUAUUCUUUCCAUUGCAAUUCCAAUUUUAGAAUUUAUUCUUGUCAUUUUAAUUUAAGUAUUAGCAUAUUCCAAAUCAUUUCCACCAUAAAUCCAACUACCCAUUUACAAAAUUAAUUCUAUAUAUAAUUAAAAUCCACCUCCUCGUGGGAUCGACACUCGUCACCAUUAGUCUAUACUACAACAAAUUCGUGCGCUUGCGAGUACAUUAAAAUUUGCACAACAGCAGGUUCUGGCAAACAUUUGACUCGCCUCGCCUCGACCAGGCUUUGAGACAUUUGACCUUUUAUUUGCCUUAGAAAUAAUUUGGUAAGACAUGUCUGAAUGGAAUUCAUCACCUUAUCAUUACUGAAUGCUUAAAUAGUUACAAAAAAGUGGAAAACAUAAGCAUGUGGUAACUAUUACUACAUUAAACAUAAACAACUCAAUUGAAAUAUUAUAUGAAAUGGCUUGCUUGUUGGAAAUAUUUCCUUAAGUGCUCCGUGUUCCAUGAUUUCUUUACUUCUCGACCGUUUGGGUAUGCCAAUUUGUAAACUCCUGGACCAGUUAAACGCAUUACCCUGUACUGGCCUUCCUAAUUAGAGCCAAAGACGCCUUGGCUGGGAUAUCUCGUGCUCUAAUUCACUUUCCUAAGUAUCCAGUCCCUGGCUCGGAAUUAGCUCAUGUGCACGUUCUGGUUAUAGUAGCGCACGACCCUAUGCUGAUAUUCAAUCGUCCUCUGCGAGGCCUUUUCUCUUUUCUCAUCUAACAGGUCAAGAUACAGACACAUCUGCUUGUCAUUCUGUUCCCAUCAAAGUACUCAGUUUGGUGUGUUCCUACUCCAAUUUCUGUUUGGACCACAACUUCAUGGCCAAAGGCCAGGGCAAAUGAGGUUUCUGCUGUUGCGGUUUUGUGGGUUGUCCGACAAGCCCAUAACACACCAGGCAACUCAUCGACCCACGCUCCAUUCUUUUCCCCCAAUCUAGUUUUCAAAAGCUUUUUUAUGACCUUAUUAGCAGUCUCUAUCUACCAAUUUGAUUGGGGAUGAGUCGAAGAGCAGAAUUUCAGCUCAACACCCAAAUUUUGGCAAAAUUCCCUAAAGUUGUGGUUGUCAAAUUGCCUUCCAUUAUCUGUUAUGAGUAUAUAAGAGAUCCUAUAUCUACUUAUAAUAUUCCUCCAGAUGAACUUGGUUUUUCUUUUCCAUGAUCUGGCUUAGAGCUUAAACCUCUACCCACUUUGUAAAAUAAUCUAUCGCCACAGUAGCAUGUGUAGCAACUCCUCGUCCUUUGGGUAGGAGGCCAAUUAGGUCAACCCCCACUGUGCAAAAGGCCAUGGAGAGGACAUAACAGUAAGUUUCUCUAGAGGUUGAGUAGGGACAUUUGAGAAACUUUGGCAACUGCUGGUCAUUUCCCUUGCGUUCUGGUGCAUGGUCGGCUAGAAAUAUCUUUGCCUUAACACUUUAAAUGCCAAAAUUCUUGCUCUGGAGUGGUUACCACAUAUUUCUUCAUGUAUUUCUCGUAGCACAUAGUUUGCCUCUUCAUCAUCCAAACACUGCAAAAAAGGUAAGGUAAACCCUCGGCAGUAAAGUAUCUUAUCUAGCAGCGUAUACCUAGCCGUUCGACACUUUAGUUUUCUCACUUGCUUCAUAUCUAUCGGUAAGCUUCUGUCAUGGAUAUAUGAAUAAUUGGAUCCAUCCGGGACCCUUGAGCAUCCACCCUUAUUAUUUCUGCUUCUUACUCGAUGUUUGGAAAAGUUUUGACCUUCAUUGGGACUGACAUUGGCAGUUUUAAAUCUGCUGUUGCAGUCAUUCUAGCUAACAUAUUUGCUCGGUAAUUCUCUAUUCUUGAUAUCUACUUUAUCUCUAACCCCUGGAAUAUUCCGACCAUUUGUUUAGCCCUCCUUAAAUACAGCUCCAUUUUUUUGCCUCUUGCUUAGAAGUGUUCGUUAAGCUGAUUACAGACCAGUUGAGAAUUUGUUCAAAUCUCAAUUCUUUCAGCUCGUAAGGCAUGCGCUAGCUUAAGCCCAGUUAUGAAAGCUUCGUACUCUACUUGGUUGUUGGUCACCUGAAAUUCAAAUUUUACAGCAUAAGAAAUUUCGACCCCUUCUGAACUGCGUAUAACUAUUCCUGCUCCGGCCCCCUGCUCGUUGCAUAACCCGUCAAUCAUAAUCAACCAGACCUCGAUCGGCUCUGCCUCUCUAACUGAUUAUCCUUCGCAAGUUCUCUCACCCGGCUCGGUGCAUUCUGCCACGAAGUCAGCCAAGGUUUGUACUUUGAUGGCUGCUUAGGGUUGAUAGGUUAUAUCAAACUCACUCAACUCUACUGACCAUUUAAGCAAGCGGCCAAACGCCUCUGGCUUCAAGAGUGCUUGUUGAAGAGGCUGGUCAGUCAUUAUGAUCACUGGAUGUGCCUAGAAGUACGACCUCAGCUUGUGUGUUGCUGUUACUAAAGCCAAUGCCCAUUUCUCCAUCGUCGGGUAUCUGGUCUCUGCAUCUACUAAGGCUUUGCUAGUAUAAUACAUAGGAUGUUGUAUUCUUUCUUCUUCUCUCACGAACACUGAGCUGGUAGCCCAUUUCGAAACAGCUAAGUAUAAAUAAAACAAAUCACUUUCCCACGAUGUAGACAAUAAUGGGGCUUUAGUAAGGCAUUCUUUCAACUGCCCAAAUGGUUCCUCGCAUUCUUCUGACCACUCUAUCUUUCCCCCCUUUCUCAUAACCUAGAAGAAUGCGUGACAUUUAUCUGUUGCCCCUGAUAUGAAUCGAUUCAGUGCUGCUUGCUUUCUCGUAAGGCUUUGCACCUCUUUGAUUGUCCGAGGAGAUUUCAUCUCUGUUAUUGCGCUUAUAUGCUCUGGGUUAGCUUUAAUUCCCCGAUGGCUCACUAUAAAUCCCAUGAACUUUUCUGAGCAUACCCUGAAUGCACAUAUCUUUGGGUUAAGUUUCAUUAUGUAUCUCCUCAGUAAUUCGAAGGUUUCUUCUAAAUGCAGUAUGUGUUCCAUCGGCUCUUUAGACUUUGUAAUCAUAUCAUCCACGUACACCUCCAUAGUACACCUGAUAUAUGGCCCCUGCAUUUUUCAGACCAAAUGGCAUUUUUCUGUAACAAAACAAACUCAUGUUAGUAAUAAAUGCAGUGCUCUCCUUUUCCUACUCAUCCAUAUGUAUUUAAUUGUAUCCGGAGAGUACGUCUAUUAAAGCUAAGCAAGGUGUGGCCGGCUAUUGAGUCAACUAGCUGCUCUAUCUUUGGCAAAAGGAAGCUAUCUUUUGGACAUGCCUUGUUGAAAUCCGUGAAGUCCACACAUAUUAUCCAUUUUCCAUUUGCUAUCUUCACUAGCACUACAUUAGAAAUCCACUCCGGCUAUCUGGCUUUCCUUAUGAAUCAUACUCGUAGUAACUUCUCUACUUCAAUAUUUAUGGCUUCAUACUUUUCCUGAUUGAAGCAUCCUUUUUUUUUCUGUUUCACUGGCCUUGCCCAUUUCCUGAUUGCUAACUUAUGACAAGCGAUCUUUGGAUUAAUUCCCGGUAAAUCUUCUGUUAACAUAAAUAUUUCUUUAUUAUUGAUUUUGAUGAUAACAAACUUGAUUAAGAUUGAUUAAUCUUUUAAAAGCUCAAAAUAGUUUUCAUUGCUUUUAAAUCAUCAUUUUGACUUUAUAAAGGCUUUAUAUUCUAUGAAAAUAUUUUUGGUUAUUCUCAUGUUAAUGGUUUCAAUUGAAAAGCUUUGAGAUUUUUUAUAAUAACAAGUAUUGCUUAAAAUCCUGAAAAUAGACCUAAUUGACAAGUUUUAUAAAGUUUUGGGUUAUAGUAUAAUUUUAUAAAGUUUUAGGGUCAAAUGAUAAUUUUAUAAAAAUAGUUCACUGUAGCAGUUACUAUAGUUAACGACGAUCUGACAAUUUGAAAAUUCAGCCCAACGGUCAUAUUGACCAGUCAAACAACGAUCCGACAUCUAGUUAACGGCGAUCCGACAGUGAGCAGAAAGUCAAUAACGGCUAGUUUUCAGCUCCAACUAUAAAUAAGCUCAUUCAAAUUCAAACAAGGUUGAUCACAACACGACCAUUGAGCUUAUAUUCGAGAAUACAAUCUUCAUAGAGCUUUAAAACACAUUCUUACUUCAUCUAUUCACACAUUGGGCAUUGAUUUGUAAUCUUAAAUAUUGUGUGAGAGAAAAGCAAUUUUUUAUCUUUUACUUUUAAGUGAUUGUAAGUGUUGGGAUACACUUGGGUUAAGAGAUUGGGGAUAAUCUCUUGUUGUAAAGGUUCAUUGAUACCUUGGAAGUCAAGUGUAAGCCUUUGAAGCCUUAGAGGCUUGCUUAGUGAAAUCCUCAAGCCCAGAAAGCUUGGAGGCGUGGACGUAGGAGAUGUUGGCUGAACCACAUAAAAAUCUUCGUGUUUGAAUCUCUCUUUCCUUAUCUUUUUAUAUUGUAAUGGAUUUAAUUAUUAUUCCAUUAAAUUCAUUCUAGAUUUGCAUGAUAAUUUGUUUUAGAAUCAAAUAAUUUUUAGAAUCUCAAUUCACCCCCCUCUUGGGUUGCACACUUGUAUUUCAUCUUCGUGUGACCAGGCGAACAUGUCAACAUAAGACCUUAAACACUUUAUCUGCUCAUCCCUCAAGCUUCGGCUUAGAUUAGAUUUAAUUUUCAUAGUUCUACUCAAGUCAUCAUGUUUCAUUACCACCUCCUCUAAGGUUUCAACCGGUUCCUGCCGACUCUUCUUGAAAUCUCCUCGGUUGUCGAAUCAUGUAACUUGUAAGGUUUCCUUGGCAGCUGUGGUGUAGCGGCUCCUAAACAUCAUCUGGUCGCCCUUUACUACGCUUACUACCACAUCCACCAACCAGCCCAACUCCGAGCAAGAAGAAAAAGCAGCCAAUUGUCCCACCACAAGGCUCACCCAAGGACCGCUUGAGAAGUUCUUCCAAAAAGCAGUAAACCUUUCAGCUAGAGCUGCAACAACAUAUUCAACAACAUGGGAGUAUGGGCCAGCUCACCUUCUUUUUUUUUUUCCAAAUUAUGAAACUUUCCUUUUAUUUAUUUGUUUUUUAUUGAUCAAGUUGCAUUUUUUUGCUUGUUAAUGUAUGCGUGUUUGUUUUGGUUUUAAUUUGUGUGCUUGUGAAGACACAACCCCUCUCAAGUUUGGGGGGUGUGUUAUUAUGUAUUAUGUUUCUAAAGUCCAUGUGUUUGUGUUGUGUGUUAUGUGAAGCUCUGUUAUCUAUUAUUUGCAUGUGGAUUUGAAAACCUAAUAAAGAUAAAUUGAGUGUCAUUUAGUAAUUGGGAAUGCCAAGUAGGGAUAGUUAUAGAUAGAAGUUGAAAGUCAAUCUCAACACUUAGACUUUGGUUGAGUUUCAUGAGUAUAUUGCAGCAGAGCAAGGAAAACCAAAAAGGGUAGAAAAUAUCUCAAGUUUGGGAAAAAGUUUUGUUGAACUAUACCUAUUAUGAAAUAAAUUCUGCUCCAAUGGGGUAAGUUACUGAGUAACUAGGGCUGAGUAUGCACCUCAUAUGCAGACUUGACUCAAAAUGCAAUGAGAGCUAUGAGCAGUGCUGCAGUAACUAUUGAAAAAAAAAUAUGAUGAAGGAAUGAAAAACAAAGGGGUCCACUGCCUAGGAUACUGAGUAACCAAGUCUAUUCAUGAGCUUAAUGUUCAACCUUGAGUUAAAGGUGUCCAAAGGUAAGACCUAGAUAUAGAAUCUUGGAUGUGUUUGUUGUGGCAAAUUUGACAUGUGCUUUGAGUGAGUAAUUGGGUGUCAUCAUUACAAGUGAUAGGCAUUCGCAUGAAACCUCAAUGUUGCAUUGAAGGGUUUGAUUCAAUAAUGAAAAAAAAAACUGAGAAUGAUUGUUGUAGCACAAUGUGAAUUUAUUGCAAGACUUUUGUCUCCCCCACAAGAUGGAUUUGGUUAUAUUGUUUUAUAUCUGUAAAAUGCAUUUGAUGCUUGAGUGAUGUUGCAACAUCUCUGAGACUUGAUUAAAGUACACACACACACUUUGGAUAGAAUAAUGCCUAAGUCAAGAGCUGAACUACUAUGGCAAUUUUACAUGAUUGAAGGUGUGAUCUAAGGGUUGAAGAAUCCUUGCAAAAUUUGAUGAUAGAGCUAAGUUAUUUGUUGCAUUAUUGUAUGAUUAAAAUGUGAGUGUUGUUGUCAUUACUUGAGAACAAGUAAUGGUUUAAGUUUGGGGGUGUGAUAACUCUAUGAAAUGAGAGUUAUCAUGCUACUUUUGAGCUUAAAUCAAGAUUACUUAGAGAGUAAUUGAUGUGUUUUAGUGCAUUUUAAUGAUAGUUUACAUUAACAUUCAUUUUAGUUUAAGUUUAAUAAAGUGCGCUUGAUUUCGAAUAAUUGUGUGCUUAAAACAUAUGAAUAAUUGUAGAUGACCAGGACUUUAAAUUUCAUGGGAAGGAUAUUGUAGCAAUGGGCUUACAAAAAGGACAAAAGAAUAUAGCUAUAGAAGAAUUGAAGUAAAUCUGGAAUAGUGCAGAUGUUGUAGCCAUUGCUGUAACAACCGAUGUUGUAGCAAUUCUAAAACAACGACAGAAAAAAUCCCGCGUAAAGCAAUUAACAGAUUGUGACAUGUAGUUUCCUAAUUGGGAAAAUACAAGCUUGGGAUCUCCGUUUACCCUAAUUUUGAGCUAUAAAAUAGGCACACAUGCAAAAGAAAAGUAGGUCGUCAACCAAGAUCACAAAUCAAAAAGAAAACAAAGGAAAAACAUAUUUCAAGAACAAGAAUCAAGGCUGCACCGAUGGAGAAUUUACGGGAAUCAAUUAGAAUUCAAUCUUUCUUAUUCUUCUUGUGAUUUCUUGUUUCUUUUUUUAUAUGAGAAUGUAUUUGCCGGUCGAAUCUCUACUGUUUAGCUUUCUUUUGCAAAUCAUGAACUAAUAUUAUUUGUGGUUGAGUGAUAAAUAAAUUUAAUGGCUCAUUGACUUAAUUUAUAUGUUGUUGCAUGUUUUGCUAUAGCAUUUUGUUGUGAUAGUAUUUAUUUGAAGUCAUUAUUUCGGCUGACCACCCAUUUAAUAAUACAAACUAGGAAAGAGCCACAAAAUGGCAUAUCUAAGUGAAACACAUCAGAACAAUACUUGGUUUUAGAUUGGGUUUCCUGGGUUGAGUGUAAUGUGAGCUCAAAAAGGUCAUGCCUAAUCUAAAAUUAGUGAUGAACUAGAUAUAAGGAUUUACCUUGUAGGGUAAAUAAAACCCAAACGUGUAAUGUUAUAUCUUAUGUUGGGCAUAAUUAUUGGUCACUAUUAGGUUGUAUAUAGAUAUAAGACAUCCAAUAUGCGACAGCUAAGGAUACAUGAGGAUUCUGCCUAAUGCUGUAGCAGAUUCUGCAGCAACUGAACUGAAAUUUACAAGAAAUAGUCAAAUUUGUUAAGAGAGUUAAUCACUCAACUACUUCAUUCCCAUUGAUUUUAUCUUUGUGUUUGACGUGAGAGUUUUCUUUUCUGCAUAUUUACUUAUUGCAUUUUAUUAGGUAGUUUAUUAGUUUAAUUGUUCAAUCUAUUUUCAAUUCGAGCAAAAUUAUUAGGGUUGCUUUAGUAAUUUCCAUAACAUCAAUCCAUGUGGAUACGAUCUUCAAUACUUAUCAUUAUAUUACUUAUUGUGUACACUUGCACAUUGGCACCCAUAGCAUUUGAAUUUAUACCAACAAGUUUUUGGUGCCGUUGCCGGAUAUUGAUUGUUUAUUGAAAUUUGUGAAUUUAAUCUAAAGAGUGUUAAACCUUGAUUUUAUUUUAAUUGGCUUAUUUUGUUGAUAGGAAACUCUUGCAUGUGCAAGUACAAACCUGUUGAGUUUUAAUUUGAUCCAGAGAAUGAAAGAACUGCUGAGAGAUUAAGAAAAGAGCAUAAAAAUUCAAAAGCUGCUAUAGCAAUAGAUGACUUAGAAGAUGUGGAAAACUUGAACUCUAUAAGGGAAAUACAACCAGUUAAUAGUCGAAAAGGUCAUAAUAGACAAAAUGAUCAGGGACAAUCAGAAAACAACAUCAUAUACAUGGCAGACAAUAAUGAUAGAGCCAUUAAAGACUAUGUCGCGGUGACCCCUCAAGUUAUGCAUCCUGGAAUUGUUAGACCUGAAGUGCAAGCUGUUAAUUUCGAACUCAAACCAGUGAUGUUUUUUAUGUUGCAAACAGUGGGGCAAAUUAAUGGGUUACCUUUAGCAGACCCUCAUCUUCACCUCAAACUUUUCUUGGAGGUAAGUGAUGCAUUUAAAAUUGCUGGAGCAUCAUAGGAUGCAUUAAGACUCAGAGGUUUCUCGUAUUCAUUGAGAGAUUGGGCACGAACAUAGUUGAACUUUUUACCGCUAUGGAAUUAUUUGGCUGGAGCAUUUAAAAUUGCUGGAGCAUCACAACAUGGAAUGAUUUGGCUGACAAAUUUUUGAUGAAGCACUUUCCACCAACCAAGAAUGCGAAAUUGAGGAAUGAAAUAACAUUUUUCCAUUAACUUGAGGAUGAAAGUUUGUACGACGCAUGGGAAAGAUUUAAGGAAUUACUCAGAAAAUGUCAUCAUCAUGGUAUUCCUUGUUGUAUACAAAUAGAAACUUUCUACAAUGGGCUGAAUCCAAGUACUAGAUUAAUGGUUGAUACUUUAGUAAACAGAGCUUUAUUGUUUAAAUCCUACAAUGAAGCUUACAAAAUUUUGGAAAGAAUUGCCAACGACAAUUAUCAAUGGCCAUCAAGUAGAUAAAUUGUAAUAAGGGGAGCAACAGGAGCCCAUAAUGUAGAUGCCUUUACAGCAUUAUCAGCCCAAGUAAUUUCACUGACAAACAUUGUAAAAGCCAUGACCAAUGAUCUAGCAACUAUCCAAUAAGUUGUUCAGGUUUCUUGUGUUUAUUGUGGAGAGAGGCACUUAUUUGAUAAUUGUCCUGGAAAUUCAGCUUCAGUCAAUUAUGUAGGCAAUUAUAAUAGACAACAUCAGAGUAAUCCAUACUCAAACACCUAUAAUCUCGGAUAGAGGCAACACCCAAAUUUCUUAUGGAGUAACUAGAAUCAACCUGUUACAACAUCAAAUAGAUAGAACAGACCUGCACAGCCACUAGGAUUUCAAUAGCAAAAUCACAAACAAAGAACCACCAACAAUGAUCAACUCUGUUUUCUUGAAGCUUUGCUCAAGGAAUAUAUUGUGAAGAAUGAAGCAGAUGUCUAAAGUCAAGCUGUAACUUUGAGGAAUCUAAAAAAUUAGAUUGGACAACUUGCUACAAUAUUAAGUAACAGACCUCAGGACAGUCUACCUAGCAACAUAGAAGAUCCAAGAAGUGGAGGCAAAGAACAUUGCAAUGUGAUUAACUUAAGGUCUGGAAAAGAUGUUGAUAGUCGUAUUGGUUUCACAAGGAAAAUGAUGGAACAUAACUUAACCCAAGAGGAAAAACAAGUUAAAGAAGAGCUAUAACAGCCCAAUUUCCAACAUAUUGGUGAGAGUAGUCACGCUGCAGCAACUACAUAAAGAAGUAAUUUAGAGUUUGUUGAAGAAGAAGUUGCAGCACCAACAACAACAAACUAGACUAGAUCAAAAGAACAGCAACAUGCACUACUUGUUGCAGCCCAACAGUUUAGAUACCCACCACCAUUUCUACAAAGAUUUCAGAAGCAGAAAUAAGAUAAGCAAAUCAGCAAAUUUCUAGAAGUGUUAAAACAGUUGCAUAUUAACCUUCCUUUUGUGGAAGCAUUAGAACAAAUGCCAAAUUAUAUGAUAUUUUUUAAGGAUACUUAGCAAGGAAAAGAAUGCUUGGAGAAUUUAAAAUUAUUGCUCUAACACAAGAAUGCAGCCACAUGCUUCAAAGUAAAAUUCCUCAAAAAUUGAAAGAUCUAAGGAGCUUUACAAAAUCAUGUUCUAUUGGAACUAGGUAUAAUGGUAGAGCACUUUGUGAUUUAGAGGCAAGUAUCAAUGUCAUGCCCUUAUCCGUGUUCAAGCAAUUGGGAGUGGGUGAAUGCAGACCAACAACAGUAACUCUACAGCUGACAGACAUACCUCAUACAUAUCCAGAAGGAAAAAUUAAAGAUGUGUUAGUAAAAAUGGAUAAAUUUAUUUUUCCAGUGGACUUCAUCGUGCUGGACUUUGAAGUAGACAAAUAAGUGUCAUUUAUUCUUAGUAGACCUUUCUUAACCACUGGAAAUACCCUUAUUGAUGUGCAAAAAAAAAUUGACCACAAGGGUGAACGAUCAACAAGUCGCAUUCAAUGUGCUAGAUGCUAUGAAGAAUCUCGAUGAGAUUAAAAAUUAUAAUUUCAUCAGUGUUGUAGACAUUGCUGUGACAAAAAGAUUAAAUGUUGUUGAAGCAAAGAAAAGAUCAGAGCUGCUAACUUUCAACAGCUUGAAGAAGAGGAUACUGCAAUAGCACACAUAGUAUAGAUAGAGGAAAAGCAACCUAUAACGCAUGACAGACCUUUUGAACCUCUAGACCGCUCAAAAAGAUAAGUAAAACCAAUUGUACCAUCUGUUGAAUCACCCCUUAUUUUAAAAUUGAAAAUCUUACCUUCACAUUUAAAAUAUAUUUAUCUUGAUAAAAACAAUACACUCCCCGUAAUCAUUUCUUCGUUUUUUAAUACAGGUCAAGCGAACAGCCUAGUUAAAGUAUUAGGGAGAUACAAGAAAGCUAUUGGAUAGACCAUAACAGAUAUAAAGGGAAUCAGCCCAACAUAUGCAUGCACACAAUUUUACUGGAAGAUUGUUACAGCAAUUCAGUAGAACAACAGAGGUGAUUAAACUCAAUCAUGAAGGAAGUUGUGAAGAAGGAGAUCAUAAAAUGGUUUGAUGCUGGGAUCAUCUACCCAAUAUCCGACAGUUCAUAAGUGAGUCUAGUGCAGUGUGUUUCAAAGAAGGAUGGUGUAACUGUUGUAGCAAAUGAAAAGAAUGAACUCAUCCGUACAAGAACAGUGACUAUAUGGAGAGUUUGUAUGGAUUAUAGGAAGCUGAAUAAAGCCAUAAAAAAUAACCACUUUCCAUUGCCCUUCAUAGAUCAAAUACUGGACAGAUUUGCUGGAAAAGAAUACUACUGUUUCUUAUAUGGUUACUCAGGAUACAACCAAAUUGUUAUAGCACCAGAAGAUCAAGAGAAGACAACAUUCACUUAUCCUUAUGGAACUUUUACUUUUAUGAGGAUGUCAUUUGGCUUGUACAAUGCUCCAGCAACUUUUCAGAGAUAUAUGAUGUCCAUUUUUUCAGACAUGGUUGAGCAAACACUAAAAGUAUUCAUGGUUGACUUCUCGGUUUUUGGAGAAAUAUAUGAUGAUUGCUUGCAUACUUUAGGAAAUGUGCUUAAAAGAUGUGAAGAUACUAAUUUGGUACUAAAUUGGGAAAAAUGUCAUUGUAUGGUAUAAGAAGGUGUAUUUUUAGGACAUAGAGUUUCUAAGAAGAUGAUAGAAGUAGACAAGGUAAAAAUAGAAGUGACAGAUAAACUCCCACCCCCAACUUCAGUCAAAAGAAUUAAGAGUUUUCUAGGUCAUACUGGGUUUUACAGAAGAUUCAUCAAAGACUUUUCUAAAAUAGCUAAACCUUUAUGCACACUGCUGGAGCAUAAUAGACCUUUUAACUUUGGUGAGGAUUGCUUAAAGGCUUUUGUGAAUUAAAGAAAGCUUUUGUUACAGCACAUGUUGUCAUAGCACCAAAUUGGAGUUUACCUUUCAAACUAAUGUGUGAUGCCGUGACCACUCAGUUGGAGCAGUGCUAGGACAAAAGAAAGAAUAAGAUUUUUCACUCCAUUUACUAUGCUAGCAAAACUCGAGCAGAUGCUCAUAUCAAUUAUACAACCACUGAAAAGGAAUUGUUAGCAAUGGUCUUUGCAUUUGACAAAUUCAAAGCUUACUUGGUGGGCACAAAGGUCACAGUCUACACAGACCAUGCAACAAUAAAAUAUUUAAUUGCAAAGAAAGCUACCAAACCAAAGUUGAUAAAGUGGAUUCUUUUGCUACAAGAAUUUGAUUUAGAAAUCAAUGAUAGAAAAGGGACUGAGAAUCAAGUAGCAGACCAUCUGUCCAGGUUGGAAGUAUAUGCAAGCAUAUUAACCAAGUAAGACAUCACAGAAACAUUUCCUAAUGAACAACUCUAAUGCUACAGCAUACACAGAUGCUGCAGCAUUCUAGACUCCAAUGGUAUGUAGAUUUUGUAAAUUAUUUGGUAAGUGGACUGUUACCACCUGACUUAAAUUAUCAGCAAAAGAAGAUAUUCUUCCAUGAUAUUAAAAGUUAUCAGUGGGAUGAACCGUAUCUAUACAAGAUGUAUUCAGACCAAGUGAUCAGAAGGUGUGUAUCAGAUAAAGAAAUUCCACACAUAAUGUAUUCAUGCCAUGCUGUAACUUAUGGAGGACAUUUUGGAGGCCAUAGAACAGCAGCCAAAAUCCUACAAUCAGGUUAUUUCUGGCCGUCCAUUUUUAAAUAUGCUUAUGAGUUUGUUAAAUGUUGUGACAGGUGCUAAAGAACAGAGAACAUAUCUUAAAAACAUGAAAUGUCAUUGAAAAAUACGUUGGAGGUGAGCUCUUUGAUAAAUAGAGGAUAAACUUUAUAGGUCCAUUCCCACCACCCCUUAGAAACUUAUAUAUUCUAAUUGUGGUAGAUUAUGUGUCCGAAUGGGUGGAAGCUAUAUCAUUACCAACAAAUGAUGCCAAAGCAGUGGUAAAAUUUCUUCACAAAAAUAUCUUCUCAAUGUUCGAGACUCCAAAGGAAAUCAUUAGUGAUGAAGGCACUCAAUUUUGCAAUAGGAUGUUUGCGGCAGUAUUGGCUAAGUAUGGAAUUAAACACAAAAUUGCUACAGCAUAUCAUCCACAAUCCAAUGGUCAAGCAGAAGUAUCUAAUCGAGAGAAAAAAAGGGUUUUGAAGGAAGUGGUGAACCCCGCUAAAAAAGAUUGGUCAACCCAUUUGCAUGAUUCUUUAUAGACUUAUUGUAUUGCUUAUAAGACACCCCUAAGCAUGUCCCCAUACAGAAUUAUCUAUGGCAAAGCUUGCCAUUUACCCUUAAAGCUAGAGUAUAAAGCAUAUUGGGCACUAAAACAACUCAACAUGGACAUGUGUUGGUUAUUUUAACUCAAUUGCUAUUGAUGUCAAUGUCCAAGUGUACACAACAAGUAAUAAAGUGAUGAAUAUUCAAAAUCGUCUCCACAUGGAUUGAUGUUACUAGAAAUAUUACGGCAAUCACGAUGGUGCAAACUUCCUUCUAUCUAAAUAAACAAAAUAAAGUUGAUUGACUAAUAAUAUUAACAACUUAACAAAGUAAAUGCAGUGAUGAAAGUAAAUUAGACGGUUUAUGCAAAAAGAAUUCACUAAGAAUAAGGUAGUUGAACGAUCAAACUCUCUUGAUGGGAUGACUGUUUGGUUCAACUAACACCAAUUACUGCAGCAACUUCUAUAGCACUGGGUAGAAUAACCUUGCAUCCUCAGUUUUCGCUUGUUAGGAUUCUCAUACCCUGAUGCAACCUAACAAUAACCAGUUGUUAUAUCACAUAAGAUAUGGCUUUACAAACAUAUACUAUCUCUACCCUACAAGGUGAAUCCCUAUAUCUAAUUCAUCACAACACUUAACUCAAGUGUGGCUCUUUUGGGACUCAAGUUAAACUCAAUCCAGGAAACUUGACUUAAGAUCAAAUAUUACUCUAACAAUUUCCACUAAGACAUGCCCUUUUGCAGCUCUCUCUUAACUUGAAUCAUUAAAUGAGAGGUCAACCGAAAUAAUGAUUGUAAUAAAAGCUAUUAAAGCAAAAUUCUACAACAAUCUUGCAGCAACUCAUAAGAACAGUCAAGAGCCCAUUUAGAUUGUUUGUCACUCAACUACGAUCAAAUUUAGUUCAUAACUUGGAAAAGAAAAACAAACAGCAAAGUAUCAGCCAUGAAAUCAUUGUUUCAAUCAAAGAGUAAGUAAGGGGACAAGUAAAAGAUGAUAAAAAUUGAAUCUAAAUAAUUCUGUAGAUUUCUUCAGUAGAGUAGACUUGUUUUCUCUUGAAUUCUGCUUCUUCCUACUUUUUCUCUUAAUUUUUUUUAUGUUGAUUCACGGCCCCUCUUUUCCAUAUGAUAUGUGCUCCUUUUAUAACUGAAAAUUAAGGUAAACGGAAGCCUAGGGCGCGCAUAAGUUAGAUUAGGAAACUGCAUAUCGCAAUUCUGCAAAUAUCUCGCACGGAAUUUCUUUGUCGUUGUUCCAGGAUUGCUACAGCAACGACUACAGCAACUGUACUGCUCCAAAUUUGUUUCAAUUCUUUUGUAGCCAUGUGUUUUCCUUAUUUUUGCAAGCCUGUUACAUCAGCAUUCCUUCCUUGAAAUUUGAGCUUCCGGAUACCUACAAUUAUGCACACAAUCUAAGCACGAAUUAUUAUAAAUCAAACAAAAUUUAUUAAGAAUAACUUAAAAUGAAUGUUUAUGCAAAAUCUGCUGUACCGUACAUCCGCCUUGGCCGUACAGCAGUUAGGGUUUAGGGUUUUUUUAGGGUUUAGGGUUGUUUGCGGCAGUAUUGGCUAAGUAUGGAAUUAAACACAAAAUUGCUACAGCAUAUCAUCCACAAUCCAAUGGUCAAGCAGAAGUAUCUAAUCGAGAGAAAAAAAGGGUUUUGAAGGAAGUGGUGAACCCCGCUAAAAAAGAUUGGUCAACCCAUUUGCAUGAUUCUUUAUAGACUUAUUGUAUUGCUUAUAAGACACCCCUAAGCAUGUCCCCAUACAGAAUUAUCUAUGGCAAAGCUUGCCAUUUACCCUUAAAGCUAGAGUAUAAAGCAUAUUGGGCACUAAAACAACUCAACAUGGACAUGUGUUGGUUAUUUUAACUCAAUUGCUAUUGAUGUCAAUGUCCAAGUGUACACAACAAGUAAUAAAGUGAUGAAUAUUCAAAAUCGUCUCCACAUGGAUUGAUGUUACUAGAAAUAUUACGGCAAUCACGAUGGUGCAAACUUCCUUCUAUCUAAAUAAACAAAAUAAAGUUGAUUGACUAAUAAUAUUAACAACUUAACAAAGUAAAUGCAGUGAUGAAAGUAAAUUAGACGGUUUAUGCAAAAAGAAUUCACUAAGAAUAAGGUAGUUGAACGAUCAAACUCUCUUGAUGGGAUGACUGUUUGGUUCAACUAACACCAAUUACUGCAGCAACUUCUAUAGCACUGGGUAGAAUAACCUUGCAUCCUCAGUUUUCGCUUGUUAGGAUUCUCAUACCCUGAUGCAACCUAACAAUAACCAGUUGUUAUAUCACAUAAGAUAUGGCUUUACAAACAUAUACUAUCUCUACCCUACAAGGUGAAUCCCUAUAUCUAAUUCAUCACAACACUUAACUCAAGUGUGGCUCUUUUGGGACUCAAGUUAAACUCAAUCCAGGAAACUUGACUUAAGAUCAAAUAUUACUCUAACAAUUUCCACUAAGACAUGCCCUUUUGCAGCUCUCUCUUAACUUGAAUCAUUAAAUGAGAGGUCAACCGAAAUAAUGAUUGUAAUAAAAGCUAUUAAAGCAAAAUUCUACAACAAUCUUGCAGCAACUCAUAAGAACAGUCAAGAGCCCAUUUAGAUUGUUUGUCACUCAACUACGAUCAAAUUUAGUUCAUAACUUGGAAAAGAAAAACAAACAGCAAAGUAUCAGCCAUGAAAUCAUUGUUUCAAUCAAAGAGUAAGUAAGGGGACAAGUAAAAGAUGAUAAAAAUUGAAUCUAAAUAAUUCUGUAGAUUUCUUCAGUAGAGUAGACUUGUUUUCUCUUGAAUUCUGCUUCUUCCUACUUUUUCUCUUAAUUUUUUUUAUGUUGAUUCACGGCCCCUCUUUUCCAUAUGAUAUGUGCUCCUUUUAUAACUGAAAAUUAAGGUAAACGGAAGCCUAGGGCGCGCAUAAGUUAGAUUAGGAAACUGCAUAUCGCAAUUCUGCAAAUAUCUCGCACGGAAUUUCUUUGUCGUUGUUCCAGGAUUGCUACAGCAACGACUACAGCAACUGUACUGCUCCAAAUUUGUUUCAAUUCUUUUGUAGCCAUGUGUUUUCCUUAUUUUUGCAAGCCUGUUACAUCAGCAUUCCUUCCUUGAAAUUUGAGCUUCCGGAUACCUACAAUUAUGCACACAAUCUAAGCACGAAUUAUUAUAAAUCAAACAAAAUUUAUUAAGAAUAACUUAAAAUGAAUGUUUAUGCAAAAUAUAACAAAAAUACAAUGAAAACACAUUAUUUACUAUCUAAGUAAUAUUGAUUUAAGUAUAAAAGUGCCAUGAUAACUCUCAUUUCAAAGAGUUAUCACACCCCCAAACUUAAACAAUUACUUGUUAUCAAGUAAUAAUAACAACACUAACACUUCAAUCACACAAUCAUGCAACAAAUAACUUAGCUCUGCCAUUCAAAUUUGCAAGGAUUCUUCCACCCUCAUAUUACACUCUUAAUCACGUAAAAUAGUCAUACCAAUUUAGUUUUAGACUUAGGCUUCAUUCUGUCCAAAGUGUGUGUGUGCCUUUUUGAUCAAAUUCCAGAGGUGCUACAGCAUUGCACAAACUUUGUAUACAAUUCAGAGGUAGAGCACAAAUAUAUUCACAUAUGGGGGGAGCCGAACUCACAACUAUGUUCAAACUGUGCUAUAUAUAUAUAUAUAUAUAUAUAUAUAUAACAAUUAAACCCUUCAAUGCAACAUUGAACUUUCAUAUGAAUGCUUAUCAUUUGUAAUGACGAUGCCCAAUUACUCACUCAAAAUACAUGUUAGAGUUGCUGCAGCAACACAUCCAGGAUGUUAUAUCCAGGUCUUACCUUUGGACGCCUUUGACUCAAGGCUUAACAUGGGGCUCAUGAACAGACCAUGUUACUUAAUAUCCUCGGCAGCGAUCCUCCUUACUAAAAUUUUUUUUUUUUAACUUACUGCAGCAAUGCUCAUAACUUUUAUUGCCUUUGGACUCAAGUCUGCAUAUGAGGUGCAUACUCAGCCCUGGUUACUCAGCAACUUAUGACAUUGGAGCAAACUUUAUUUCAUAACAAGCGUAGUUCAACAAGAAAUUUCCCCCGAACUUGAGAUAUGUUCUACUCUUUUUGGUUUUCUUGGCUCUGCUACAGCAUUCUCAUAAAACUUAACCAAAGUCUAAGUGUCGGGACAGAAUUUCAACCUCCAUCUGUAACUAUCUCUACUUGGCAUUCUCAUAAAUACUGAAUAACACUCAAUUUAUCUUCAUUAGGUUUUCAAAUUCAUACACAAAUAUUAGAUAACAAAGCUUUACAUAACACACAACAAAAACAAAUGCAAUGCACUCAGGAACUCACUAUAUAAUAGCACAACCCCCCCAAACUUGAGAGGCGUUGUGUCCUCACAAGCACAGAACAUCAAAAUAACUCAACUAACACAUACAUACACCAAACAAAAGGACUUGCAGAAUGAAUCAGACAAUUAAAUUUAAAGGUAAGAAAAGUUGUGCAGAGAUAAGUAAAAUAAACUGGAGGAUAUAAGGUACUCCCUUGUUGCUGGGAGCAUUGAUACAACAAAUUGCAACCAAUUCACCGAUUUUUUGAGGCGCUCCACAGACGAUCCUUAGGAGAUUCUUGUCGUGAGGUAGCGGGCAUCAUUUUUUUCUUUCUCGGAGGUGGGUUGGUGGGAGGAGUUACAGUGGGUACAGCCUGCCGGGAUGGAACAGAUCUGGUCCUUUUUGGCACUGGUGUGUCUGAUGCAGCAACACCUCUAGAAGUGCCCCAUUUUCUCUUAUUGGGUCCUUUAGGACUAGUUAGAAUAGGUUUGCUGGGAGAUUGUACGAAGUAGCUGAAGCUGGUUUUUCAGCUACAUACCCCUCAGCCGUGAUUGCAACGAUAAUAUCAAGUAGGUAUUUUGUCUCUGUGGGUUUGUUUGUAACCCUAGUUGCUGCAGCUUCCAGCUCUGCAUCAAUGUCUUCUGCUUCAUCUUCGGAUGCAGAGCUGGAGCUUUCUCUUUGCCCUUUCGAGAGAGGAAUGGAAUGGGAGGCUCCUCUGCCGGUUCAUCUUCCUCUUCUCCUAUGAUGUGCUUUUUCCUAGACUAAAAGGAAGUCCUAGCUGGGGGUUCCUUGAGUUCUUUUUCAAGGUCUUCAUCCAUCUCUGUUAAGGAACUUUCGGUUGCAGACUUAACACCCUCUUCUUCAAGCUGGUCUAAUUGAUCGUCAGCAUCUGAAUCAACUUCUGUUUGCGGUUCUGCUGCAGCUUCAUCGACAAAUAGUAAUAAUCUUGUCUAAAUACCGCACUGGUUUAACCGGCUCCCUAGUACAAUUUUAUUAUUAUUUGGCACGAUAAGCCCUUAGCACCAUAUUGAUUAGAGUGUGGUUCAUGAGGAGUGGAAACCCCCUCAUGAUUUAAUUAGCAUUAAUAAGGAAUAUUUAGCCCAUGGUGCAUGUUGAUGCAAAUCCAAAUACCCAGGUACGUCAUUUUAAUAGAUUUUCACUUCAAUUUAUUCCCGUCAUUUUAAUUUGAAUUUUAGGAUUAUUUAAAUCACUUCCACCACAAAUCUAAUCACCCACUUAUGAAAAUUAACUUUACACACAAUUAAAAUUUACCCCUCAUGGGAUCGACACCGUCACCAUUAAUCUAUUCUACAAUAGAUUCGUACACUUACGAGUUCAAUAAAAUUUGCACCACAGAUUGUUGUAGCACAGUGUGAAUCUGUUGCAAGACCUUUGUCUCCCCCACAAGAUGGAUUUGGUUAUAUUGUUUUAUAUCUGCAAAAUGCAUUUGAUGCUUGAGUGAUGUUGCAGCAUCUAUGAGACUUGAUCAAAGUACACACACACACACACACUUUGGAUAGAAUAAUGCCUAAGUCUACAGCUGAACUACUAUGGCAAUUUUGCAUGAUUGAAGGUGUGAUUUGAGGGUUGAAGAAUCCUUGUAAAAUUUGAUGACAGAGCUAAGUUAUUUGUUGCACUAUUGUGUGAUUGAAAUGUGAGUGUUGUUGUCAUUGCUUGAGAACAAGUAAUGAUUUAAGUUUGAGGGUCUGCUGUACCGUACAUCCGCCUUGGCCGUACAGCAGAAGAAUGCGAAAUUGAGGAAUGAAAUAACAUUUUUCCAUUAACUUGAGGAUGAAAGUUUGUACGACGCAUGGGAAAGAUUUAAGGAAUUACUCAGAAAAUGUCAUCAUCAUGGUAUUCCUUGUUGUAUACAAAUAGAAACUUUCUACAAUGGGCUGAAUCCAAGUACUAGAUUAAUGGUUGAUACUUUAGUAAACAGAGCUUUAUUGUUUAAAUCCUACAAUGAAGCUUACAAAAUUUUGGAAAGAAUUGCCAACGACAAUUAUCAAUGGCCAUCAAGUAGAUAAAUUGUAAUAAGGGGAGCAACAGGAGCCCAUAAUGUAGAUGCCUUUACAGCAUUAUCAGCCCAAGUAAUUUCACUGACAAACAUUGUAAAAGCCAUGACCAAUGAUCUAGCAACUAUCCAAUAAGUUGUUCAGGUUUCUUGUGUUUAUUGUGGAGAGAGGCACUUAUUUGAUAAUUGUCCUGGAAAUUCAGCUUCAGUCAAUUAUGUAGGCAAUUAUAAUAGACAACAUCAGAGUAAUCCAUACUCAAACACCUAUAAUCUCGGAUAGAGGCAACACCCAAAUUUCUUAUGGAGUAACUAGAAUCAACCUGUUACAACAUCAAAUAGAUAGAACAGACCUGCACAGCCACUAGGAUUUCAAUAGCAAAAUCACAAACAAAGAACCACCAACAAUGAUCAACUCUGUUUUCUUGAAGCUUUGCUCAAGGAAUAUAUUGUGAAGAAUGAAGCAGAUGUCUAAAGUCAAGCUGUAACUUUGAGGAAUCUAAAAAAUUAGAUUGGACAACUUGCUACAAUAUUAAGUAACAGACCUCAGGACAGUCUACCUAGCAACAUAGAAGAUCCAAGAAGUGGAGGCAAAGAACAUUGCAAUGUGAUUAACUUAAGGUCUGGAAAAGAUGUUGAUAGUCGUAUUGGUUUCACAAGGAAAAUGAUGGAACAUAACUUAACCCAAGAGGAAAAACAAGUUAAAGAAGAGCUAUAACAGCCCAAUUUCCAACAUAUUGGUGAGAGUAGUCACGCUGCAGCAACUACAUAAAGAAGUAAUUUAGAGUUUGUUGAAGAAGAAGUUGCAGCACCAACAACAACAAACUAGACUAGAUCAAAAGAACAGCAACAUGCACUACUUGUUGCAGCCCAACAGUUUAGAUACCCACCACCAUUUCUACAAAGAUUUCAGAAGCAGAAAUAAGAUAAGCAAAUCAGCAAAUUUCUAGAAGUGUUAAAACAGUUGCAUAUUAACCUUCCUUUUGUGGAAGCAUUAGAACAAAUGCCAAAUUAUAUGAUAUUUUUUAAGGAUACUUAGCAAGGAAAAGAAUGCUUGGAGAAUUUAAAAUUAUUGCUCUAACACAAGAAUGCAGCCACAUGCUUCAAAGUAAAAUUCCUCAAAAAUUGAAAGAUCUAAGGAGCUUUACAAAAUCAUGUUCUAUUGGAACUAGGUAUAAUGGUAGAGCACUUUGUGAUUUAGAGGCAAGUAUCAAUGUCAUGCCCUUAUCCGUGUUCAAGCAAUUGGGAGUGGGUGAAUGCAGACCAACAACAGUAACUCUACAGCUGACAGACAUACCUCAUACAUAUCCAGAAGGAAAAAUUAAAGAUGUGUUAGUAAAAAUGGAUAAAUUUAUUUUUCCAGUGGACUUCAUCGUGCUGGACUUUGAAGUAGACAAAUAAGUGUCAUUUAUUCUUAGUAGACCUUUCUUAACCACUGGAAAUACCCUUAUUGAUGUGCAAAAAAAAAUUGACCACAAGGGUGAACGAUCAACAAGUCGCAUUCAAUGUGCUAGAUGCUAUGAAGAAUCUCGAUGAGAUUAAAAAUUAUAAUUUCAUCAGUGUUGUAGACAUUGCUGUGACAAAAAGAUUAAAUGUUGUUGAAGCAAAGAAAAGAUCAGAGCUGCUAACUUUCAACAGCUUGAAGAAGAGGAUACUGCAAUAGCACACAUAGUAUAGAUAGAGGAAAAGCAACCUAUAACGCAUGACAGACCUUUUGAACCUCUAGACCGCUCAAAAAGAUAAGUAAAACCAAUUGUACCAUCUGUUGAAUCACCCCUUAUUUUAAAAUUGAAAAUCUUACCUUCACAUUUAAAAUAUAUUUAUCUUGAUAAAAACAAUACACUCCCCGUAAUCAUUUCUUCGUUUUUUAAUACAGGUCAAGCGAACAGCCUAGUUAAAGUAUUAGGGAGAUACAAGAAAGCUAUUGGAUAGACCAUAACAGAUAUAAAGGGAAUCAGCCCAACAUAUGCAUGCACACAAUUUUACUGGAAGAUUGUUACAGCAAUUCAGUAGAACAACAGAGGUGAUUAAACUCAAUCAUGAAGGAAGUUGUGAAGAAGGAGAUCAUAAAAUGGUUUGAUGCUGGGAUCAUCUACCCAAUAUCCGACAGUUCAUAAGUGAGUCUAGUGCAGUGUGUUUCAAAGAAGGAUGGUGUAACUGUUGUAGCAAAUGAAAAGAAUGAACUCAUCCGUACAAGAACAGUGACUAUAUGGAGAGUUUGUAUGGAUUAUAGGAAGCUGAAUAAAGCCAUAAAAAAUAACCACUUUCCAUUGCCCUUCAUAGAUCAAAUACUGGACAGAUUUGCUGGAAAAGAAUACUACUGUUUCUUAUAUGGUUACUCAGGAUACAACCAAAUUGUUAUAGCACCAGAAGAUCAAGAGAAGACAACAUUCACUUAUCCUUAUGGAACUUUUACUUUUAUGAGGAUGUCAUUUGGCUUGUACAAUGCUCCAGCAACUUUUCAGAGAUAUAUGAUGUCCAUUUUUUCAGACAUGGUUGAGCAAACACUAAAAGUAUUCAUGGUUGACUUCUCGGUUUUUGGAGAAAUAUAUGAUGAUUGCUUGCAUACUUUAGGAAAUGUGCUUAAAAGAUGUGAAGAUACUAAUUUGGUACUAAAUUGGGAAAAAUGUCAUUGUAUGGUAUAAGAAGGUGUAUUUUUAGGACAUAGAGUUUCUAAGAAGAUGAUAGAAGUAGACAAGGUAAAAAUAGAAGUGACAGAUAAACUCCCACCCCCAACUUCAGUCAAAAGAAUUAAGAGUUUUCUAGGUCAUACUGGGUUUUACAGAAGAUUCAUCAAAGACUUUUCUAAAAUAGCUAAACCUUUAUGCACACUGCUGGAGCAUAAUAGACCUUUUAACUUUGGUGAGGAUUGCUUAAAGGCUUUUGUGAAUUAAAGAAAGCUUUUGUUACAGCACAUGUUGUCAUAGCACCAAAUUGGAGUUUACCUUUCAAACUAAUGUGUGAUGCCGUGACCACUCAGUUGGAGCAGUGCUAGGACAAAAGAAAGAAUAAGAUUUUUCACUCCAUUUACUAUGCUAGCAAAACUCGAGCAGAUGCUCAUAUCAAUUAUACAACCACUGAAAAGGAAUUGUUAGCAAUGGUCUUUGCAUUUGACAAAUUCAAAGCUUACUUGGUGGGCACAAAGGUCACAGUCUACACAGACCAUGCAACAAUAAAAUAUUUAAUUGCAAAGAAAGCUACCAAACCAAAGUUGAUAAAGUGGAUUCUUUUGCUACAAGAAUUUGAUUUAGAAAUCAAUGAUAGAAAAGGGACUGAGAAUCAAGUAGCAGACCAUCUGUCCAGGUUGGAAGUAUAUGCAAGCAUAUUAACCAAGUAAGACAUCACAGAAACAUUUCCUAAUGAACAACUCUAAUGCUACAGCAUACACAGAUGCUGCAGCAUUCUAGACUCCAAUGGUAUGUAGAUUUUGUAAAUUAUUUGGUAAGUGGACUGUUACCACCUGACUUAAAUUAUCAGCAAAAGAAGAUAUUCUUCCAUGAUAUUAAAAGUUAUCAGUGGGAUGAACCGUAUCUAUACAAGAUGUAUUCAGACCAAGUGAUCAGAAGGUGUGUAUCAGAUAAAGAAAUUCCACACAUAAUGUAUUCAUGCCAUGCUGUAACUUAUGGAGGACAUUUUGGAGGCCAUAGAACAGCAGCCAAAAUCCUACAAUCAGGUUAUUUCUGGCCGUCCAUUUUUAAAUAUGCUUAUGAGUUUGUUAAAUGUUGUGACAGGUGCUAAAGAACAGAGAACAUAUCUUAAAAACAUGAAAUGUCAUUGAAAAAUACGUUGGAGGUGAGCUCUUUGAUAAAUAGAGGAUAAACUUUAUAGGUCCAUUCCCACCACCCCUUAGAAACUUAUAUAUUCUAAUUGUGGUAGAUUAUGUGUCCGAAUGGGUGGAAGCUAUAUCAUUACCAACAAAUGAUGCCAAAGCAGUGGUAAAAUUUCUUCACAAAAAUAUCUUCUCAAUGUUCGAGACUCCAAAGGAAAUCAUUAGUGAUGAAGGCACUCAAUUUUGCAAUAGGAUGUUUGCGGCAGUAUUGGCUAAGUAUGGAAUUAAACACAAAAUUGCUACAGCAUAUCAUCCACAAUCCAAUGGUCAAGCAGAAGUAUCUAAUCGAGAGAAAAAAAGGGUUUUGAAGGAAGUGGUGAACCCCGCUAAAAAAGAUUGGUCAACCCAUUUGCAUGAUUCUUUAUAGACUUAUUGUAUUGCUUAUAAGACACCCCUAAGCAUGUCCCCAUACAGAAUUAUCUAUGGCAAAGCUUGCCAUUUACCCUUAAAGCUAGAGUAUAAAGCAUAUUGGGCACUAAAACAACUCAACAUGGACAUGUGUUGGUUAUUUUAACUCAAUUGCUAUUGAUGUCAAUGUCCAAGUGUACACAACAAGUAAUAAAGUGAUGAAUAUUCAAAAUCGUCUCCACAUGGAUUGAUGUUACUAGAAAUAUUACGGCAAUCACGAUGGUGCAAACUUCCUUCUAUCUAAAUAAACAAAAUAAAGUUGAUUGACUAAUAAUAUUAACAACUUAACAAAGUAAAUGCAGUGAUGAAAGUAAAUUAGACGGUUUAUGCAAAAAGAAUUCACUAAGAAUAAGGUAGUUGAACGAUCAAACUCUCUUGAUGGGAUGACUGUUUGGUUCAACUAACACCAAUUACUGCAGCAACUUCUAUAGCACUGGGUAGAAUAACCUUGCAUCCUCAGUUUUCGCUUGUUAGGAUUCUCAUACCCUGAUGCAACCUAACAAUAACCAGUUGUUAUAUCACAUAAGAUAUGGCUUUACAAACAUAUACUAUCUCUACCCUACAAGGUGAAUCCCUAUAUCUAAUUCAUCACAACACUUAACUCAAGUGUGGCUCUUUUGGGACUCAAGUUAAACUCAAUCCAGGAAACUUGACUUAAGAUCAAAUAUUACUCUAACAAUUUCCACUAAGACAUGCCCUUUUGCAGCUCUCUCUUAACUUGAAUCAUUAAAUGAGAGGUCAACCGAAAUAAUGAUUGUAAUAAAAGCUAUUAAAGCAAAAUUCUACAACAAUCUUGCAGCAACUCAUAAGAACAGUCAAGAGCCCAUUUAGAUUGUUUGUCACUCAACUACGAUCAAAUUUAGUUCAUAACUUGGAAAAGAAAAACAAACAGCAAAGUAUCAGCCAUGAAAUCAUUGUUUCAAUCAAAGAGUAAGUAAGGGGACAAGUAAAAGAUGAUAAAAAUUGAAUCUAAAUAAUUCUGUAGAUUUCUUCAGUAGAGUAGACUUGUUUUCUCUUGAAUUCUGCUUCUUCCUACUUUUUCUCUUAAUUUUUUUUAUGUUGAUUCACGGCCCCUCUUUUCCAUAUGAUAUGUGCUCCUUUUAUAACUGAAAAUUAAGGUAAACGGAAGCCUAGGGCGCGCAUAAGUUAGAUUAGGAAACUGCAUAUCGCAAUUCUGCAAAUAUCUCGCACGGAAUUUCUUUGUCGUUGUUCCAGGAUUGCUACAGCAACGACUACAGCAACUGUACUGCUCCAAAUUUGUUUCAAUUCUUUUGUAGCCAUGUGUUUUCCUUAUUUUUGCAAGCCUGUUACAUCAGCAUUCCUUCCUUGAAAUUUGAGCUUCCGGAUACCUACAAUUAUGCACACAAUCUAAGCACGAAUUAUUAUAAAUCAAACAAAAUUUAUUAAGAAUAACUUAAAAUGAAUGUUUAUGCAAAAUAUAACAAAAAUACAAUGAAAACACAUUAUUUACUAUCUAAGUAAUAUUGAUUUAAGUAUAAAAGUGCCAUGAUAACUCUCAUUUCAAAGAGUUAUCACACCCCCAAACUUAAACAAUUACUUGUUAUCAAGUAAUAAUAACAACACUAACACUUCAAUCACACAAUCAUGCAACAAAUAACUUAGCUCUGCCAUUCAAAUUUGCAAGGAUUCUUCCACCCUCAUAUUACACUCUUAAUCACGUAAAAUAGUCAUACCAAUUUAGUUUUAGACUUAGGCUUCAUUCUGUCCAAAGUGUGUGUGUGCCUUUUUGAUCAAAUUCCAGAGGUGCUACAGCAUUGCACAAACUUUGUAUACAAUUCAGAGGUAGAGCACAAAUAUAUUCACAUAUGGGGGGAGCCGAACUCACAACUAUGUUCAAACUGUGCUAUAUAUAUAUAUAUAUAUAUAUAUAACAAUUAAACCCUUCAAUGCAACAUUGAACUUUCAUAUGAAUGCUUAUCAUUUGUAAUGACGAUGCCCAAUUACUCACUCAAAAUACAUGUUAGAGUUGCUGCAGCAACACAUCCAGGAUGUUAUAUCCAGGUCUUACCUUUGGACGCCUUUGACUCAAGGCUUAACAUGGGGCUCAUGAACAGACCAUGUUACUUAAUAUCCUCGGCAGCGAUCCUCCUUACUAAAAUUUUUUUUUUUUAACUUACUGCAGCAAUGCUCAUAACUUUUAUUGCCUUUGGACUCAAGUCUGCAUAUGAGGUGCAUACUCAGCCCUGGUUACUCAGCAACUUAUGACAUUGGAGCAAACUUUAUUUCAUAACAAGCGUAGUUCAACAAGAAAUUUCCCCCGAACUUGAGAUAUGUUCUACUCUUUUUGGUUUUCUUGGCUCUGCUACAGCAUUCUCAUAAAACUUAACCAAAGUCUAAGUGUCGGGACAGAAUUUCAACCUCCAUCUGUAACUAUCUCUACUUGGCAUUCUCAUAAAUACUGAAUAACACUCAAUUUAUCUUCAUUAGGUUUUCAAAUUCAUACACAAAUAUUAGAUAACAAAGCUUUACAUAACACACAACAAAAACAAAUGCAAUGCACUCAGGAACUCACUAUAUAAUAGCACAACCCCCCCAAACUUGAGAGGCGUUGUGUCCUCACAAGCACAGAACAUCAAAAUAACUCAACUAACACAUACAUACACCAAACAAAAGGACUUGCAGAAUGAAUCAGACAAUUAAAUUUAAAGGUAAGAAAAGUUGUGCAGAGAUAAGUAAAAUAAACUGGAGGAUAUAAGGUACUCCCUUGUUGCUGGGAGCAUUGAUACAACAAAUUGCAACCAAUUCACCGAUUUUUUGAGGCGCUCCACAGACGAUCCUUAGGAGAUUCUUGUCGUGAGGUAGCGGGCAUCAUUUUUUUCUUUCUCGGAGGUGGGUUGGUGGGAGGAGUUACAGUGGGUACAGCCUGCCGGGAUGGAACAGAUCUGGUCCUUUUUGGCACUGGUGUGUCUGAUGCAGCAACACCUCUAGAAGUGCCCCAUUUUCUCUUAUUGGGUCCUUUAGGACUAGUUAGAAUAGGUUUGCUGGGAGAUUGUACGAAGUAGCUGAAGCUGGUUUUUCAGCUACAUACCCCUCAGCCGUGAUUGCAACGAUAAUAUCAAGUAGGUAUUUUGUCUCUGUGGGUUUGUUUGUAACCCUAGUUGCUGCAGCUUCCAGCUCUGCAUCAAUGUCUUCUGCUUCAUCUUCGGAUGCAGAGCUGGAGCUUUCUCUUUGCCCUUUCGAGAGAGGAAUGGAAUGGGAGGCUCCUCUGCCGGUUCAUCUUCCUCUUCUCCUAUGAUGUGCUUUUUCCUAGACUAAAAGGAAGUCCUAGCUGGGGGUUCCUUGAGUUCUUUUUCAAGGUCUUCAUCCAUCUCUGUUAAGGAACUUUCGGUUGCAGACUUAACACCCUCUUCUUCAAGCUGGUCUAAUUGAUCGUCAGCAUCUGAAUCAACUUCUGUUUGCGGUUCUGCUGCAGCUUCAUCGACAAAUAGUAAUAAUCUUGUCUAAAUACCGCACUGGUUUAACCGGCUCCCUAGUACAAUUUUAUUAUUAUUUGGCACGAUAAGCCCUUAGCACCAUAUUGAUUAGAGUGUGGUUCAUGAGGAGUGGAAACCCCCUCAUGAUUUAAUUAGCAUUAAUAAGGAAUAUUUAGCCCAUGGUGCAUGUUGAUGCAAAUCCAAAUACCCAGGUACGUCAUUUUAAUAGAUUUUCACUUCAAUUUAUUCCCGUCAUUUUAAUUUGAAUUUUAGGAUUAUUUAAAUCACUUCCACCACAAAUCUAAUCACCCACUUAUGAAAAUUAACUUUACACACAAUUAAAAUUUACCCCUCAUGGGAUCGACACCGUCACCAUUAAUCUAUUCUACAAUAGAUUCGUACACUUACGAGUUCAAUAAAAUUUGCACCACAGAUUGUUGUAGCACAGUGUGAAUCUGUUGCAAGACCUUUGUCUCCCCCACAAGAUGGAUUUGGUUAUAUUGUUUUAUAUCUGCAAAAUGCAUUUGAUGCUUGAGUGAUGUUGCAGCAUCUAUGAGACUUGAUCAAAGUACACACACACACACACACUUUGGAUAGAAUAAUGCCUAAGUCUACAGCUGAACUACUAUGGCAAUUUUGCAUGAUUGAAGGUGUGAUUUGAGGGUUGAAGAAUCCUUGUAAAAUUUGAUGACAGAGCUAAGUUAUUUGUUGCACUAUUGUGUGAUUGAAAUGUGAGUGUUGUUGUCAUUGCUUGAGAACAAGUAAUGAUUUAAGUUUGAGGGUCUGCUGUACCGUACAUCCGCCUUGGCCGUACAGCAGAAGAAUGCGAAAUUGAGGAAUGAAAUAACAUUUUUCCAUUAACUUGAGGAUGAAAGUUUGUACGACGCAUGGGAAAGAUUUAAGGAAUUACUCAGAAAAUGUCAUCAUCAUGGUAUUCCUUGUUGUAUACAAAUAGAAACUUUCUACAAUGGGCUGAAUCCAAGUACUAGAUUAAUGGUUGAUACUUUAGUAAACAGAGCUUUAUUGUUUAAAUCCUACAAUGAAGCUUACAAAAUUUUGGAAAGAAUUGCCAACGACAAUUAUCAAUGGCCAUCAAGUAGAUAAAUUGUAAUAAGGGGAGCAACAGGAGCCCAUAAUGUAGAUGCCUUUACAGCAUUAUCAGCCCAAGUAAUUUCACUGACAAACAUUGUAAAAGCCAUGACCAAUGAUCUAGCAACUAUCCAAUAAGUUGUUCAGGUUUCUUGUGUUUAUUGUGGAGAGAGGCACUUAUUUGAUAAUUGUCCUGGAAAUUCAGCUUCAGUCAAUUAUGUAGGCAAUUAUAAUAGACAACAUCAGAGUAAUCCAUACUCAAACACCUAUAAUCUCGGAUAGAGGCAACACCCAAAUUUCUUAUGGAGUAACUAGAAUCAACCUGUUACAACAUCAAAUAGAUAGAACAGACCUGCACAGCCACUAGGAUUUCAAUAGCAAAAUCACAAACAAAGAACCACCAACAAUGAUCAACUCUGUUUUCUUGAAGCUUUGCUCAAGGAAUAUAUUGUGAAGAAUGAAGCAGAUGUCUAAAGUCAAGCUGUAACUUUGAGGAAUCUAAAAAAUUAGAUUGGACAACUUGCUACAAUAUUAAGUAACAGACCUCAGGACAGUCUACCUAGCAACAUAGAAGAUCCAAGAAGUGGAGGCAAAGAACAUUGCAAUGUGAUUAACUUAAGGUCUGGAAAAGAUGUUGAUAGUCGUAUUGGUUUCACAAGGAAAAUGAUGGAACAUAACUUAACCCAAGAGGAAAAACAAGUUAAAGAAGAGCUAUAACAGCCCAAUUUCCAACAUAUUGGUGAGAGUAGUCACGCUGCAGCAACUACAUAAAGAAGUAAUUUAGAGUUUGUUGAAGAAGAAGUUGCAGCACCAACAACAACAAACUAGACUAGAUCAAAAGAACAGCAACAUGCACUACUUGUUGCAGCCCAACAGUUUAGAUACCCACCACCAUUUCUACAAAGAUUUCAGAAGCAGAAAUAAGAUAAGCAAAUCAGCAAAUUUCUAGAAGUGUUAAAACAGUUGCAUAUUAACCUUCCUUUUGUGGAAGCAUUAGAACAAAUGCCAAAUUAUAUGAUAUUUUUUAAGGAUACUUAGCAAGGAAAAGAAUGCUUGGAGAAUUUAAAAUUAUUGCUCUAACACAAGAAUGCAGCCACAUGCUUCAAAGUAAAAUUCCUCAAAAAUUGAAAGAUCUAAGGAGCUUUACAAAAUCAUGUUCUAUUGGAACUAGGUAUAAUGGUAGAGCACUUUGUGAUUUAGAGGCAAGUAUCAAUGUCAUGCCCUUAUCCGUGUUCAAGCAAUUGGGAGUGGGUGAAUGCAGACCAACAACAGUAACUCUACAGCUGACAGACAUACCUCAUACAUAUCCAGAAGGAAAAAUUAAAGAUGUGUUAGUAAAAAUGGAUAAAUUUAUUUUUCCAGUGGACUUCAUCGUGCUGGACUUUGAAGUAGACAAAUAAGUGUCAUUUAUUCUUAGUAGACCUUUCUUAACCACUGGAAAUACCCUUAUUGAUGUGCAAAAAAAAAUUGACCACAAGGGUGAACGAUCAACAAGUCGCAUUCAAUGUGCUAGAUGCUAUGAAGAAUCUCGAUGAGAUUAAAAAUUAUAAUUUCAUCAGUGUUGUAGACAUUGCUGUGACAAAAAGAUUAAAUGUUGUUGAAGCAAAGAAAAGAUCAGAGCUGCUAACUUUCAACAGCUUGAAGAAGAGGAUACUGCAAUAGCACACAUAGUAUAGAUAGAGGAAAAGCAACCUAUAACGCAUGACAGACCUUUUGAACCUCUAGACCGCUCAAAAAGAUAAGUAAAACCAAUUGUACCAUCUGUUGAAUCACCCCUUAUUUUAAAAUUGAAAAUCUUACCUUCACAUUUAAAAUAUAUUUAUCUUGAUAAAAACAAUACACUCCCCGUAAUCAUUUCUUCGUUUUUUAAUACAGGUCAAGCGAACAGCCUAGUUAAAGUAUUAGGGAGAUACAAGAAAGCUAUUGGAUAGACCAUAACAGAUAUAAAGGGAAUCAGCCCAACAUAUGCAUGCACACAAUUUUACUGGAAGAUUGUUACAGCAAUUCAGUAGAACAACAGAGGUGAUUAAACUCAAUCAUGAAGGAAGUUGUGAAGAAGGAGAUCAUAAAAUGGUUUGAUGCUGGGAUCAUCUACCCAAUAUCCGACAGUUCAUAAGUGAGUCUAGUGCAGUGUGUUUCAAAGAAGGAUGGUGUAACUGUUGUAGCAAAUGAAAAGAAUGAACUCAUCCGUACAAGAACAGUGACUAUAUGGAGAGUUUGUAUGGAUUAUAGGAAGCUGAAUAAAGCCAUAAAAAAUAACCACUUUCCAUUGCCCUUCAUAGAUCAAAUACUGGACAGAUUUGCUGGAAAAGAAUACUACUGUUUCUUAUAUGGUUACUCAGGAUACAACCAAAUUGUUAUAGCACCAGAAGAUCAAGAGAAGACAACAUUCACUUAUCCUUAUGGAACUUUUACUUUUAUGAGGAUGUCAUUUGGCUUGUACAAUGCUCCAGCAACUUUUCAGAGAUAUAUGAUGUCCAUUUUUUCAGACAUGGUUGAGCAAACACUAAAAGUAUUCAUGGUUGACUUCUCGGUUUUUGGAGAAAUAUAUGAUGAUUGCUUGCAUACUUUAGGAAAUGUGCUUAAAAGAUGUGAAGAUACUAAUUUGGUACUAAAUUGGGAAAAAUGUCAUUGUAUGGUAUAAGAAGGUGUAUUUUUAGGACAUAGAGUUUCUAAGAAGAUGAUAGAAGUAGACAAGGUAAAAAUAGAAGUGACAGAUAAACUCCCACCCCCAACUUCAGUCAAAAGAAUUAAGAGUUUUCUAGGUCAUACUGGGUUUUACAGAAGAUUCAUCAAAGACUUUUCUAAAAUAGCUAAACCUUUAUGCACACUGCUGGAGCAUAAUAGACCUUUUAACUUUGGUGAGGAUUGCUUAAAGGCUUUUGUGAAUUAAAGAAAGCUUUUGUUACAGCACAUGUUGUCAUAGCACCAAAUUGGAGUUUACCUUUCAAACUAAUGUGUGAUGCCGUGACCACUCAGUUGGAGCAGUGCUAGGACAAAAGAAAGAAUAAGAUUUUUCACUCCAUUUACUAUGCUAGCAAAACUCGAGCAGAUGCUCAUAUCAAUUAUACAACCACUGAAAAGGAAUUGUUAGCAAUGGUCUUUGCAUUUGACAAAUUCAAAGCUUACUUGGUGGGCACAAAGGUCACAGUCUACACAGACCAUGCAACAAUAAAAUAUUUAAUUGCAAAGAAAGCUACCAAACCAAAGUUGAUAAAGUGGAUUCUUUUGCUACAAGAAUUUGAUUUAGAAAUCAAUGAUAGAAAAGGGACUGAGAAUCAAGUAGCAGACCAUCUGUCCAGGUUGGAAGUAUAUGCAAGCAUAUUAACCAAGUAAGACAUCACAGAAACAUUUCCUAAUGAACAACUCUAAUGCUACAGCAUACACAGAUGCUGCAGCAUUCUAGACUCCAAUGGUAUGUAGAUUUUGUAAAUUAUUUGGUAAGUGGACUGUUACCACCUGACUUAAAUUAUCAGCAAAAGAAGAUAUUCUUCCAUGAUAUUAAAAGUUAUCAGUGGGAUGAACCGUAUCUAUACAAGAUGUAUUCAGACCAAGUGAUCAGAAGGUGUGUAUCAGAUAAAGAAAUUCCACACAUAAUGUAUUCAUGCCAUGCUGUAACUUAUGGAGGACAUUUUGGAGGCCAUAGAACAGCAGCCAAAAUCCUACAAUCAGGUUAUUUCUGGCCGUCCAUUUUUAAAUAUGCUUAUGAGUUUGUUAAAUGUUGUGACAGGUGCUAAAGAACAGAGAACAUAUCUUAAAAACAUGAAAUGUCAUUGAAAAAUACGUUGGAGGUGAGCUCUUUGAUAAAUAGAGGAUAAACUUUAUAGGUCCAUUCCCACCACCCCUUAGAAACUUAUAUAUUCUAAUUGUGGUAGAUUAUGUGUCCGAAUGGGUGGAAGCUAUAUCAUUACCAACAAAUGAUGCCAAAGCAGUGGUAAAAUUUCUUCACAAAAAUAUCUUCUCAAUGUUCGAGACUCCAAAGGAAAUCAUUAGUGAUGAAGGCACUCAAUUUUGCAAUAGGAUGUUUGCGGCAGUAUUGGCUAAGUAUGGAAUUAAACACAAAAUUGCUACAGCAUAUCAUCCACAAUCCAAUGGUCAAGCAGAAGUAUCUAAUCGAGAGAAAAAAAGGGUUUUGAAGGAAGUGGUGAACCCCGCUAAAAAAGAUUGGUCAACCCAUUUGCAUGAUUCUUUAUAGACUUAUUGUAUUGCUUAUAAGACACCCCUAAGCAUGUCCCCAUACAGAAUUAUCUAUGGCAAAGCUUGCCAUUUACCCUUAAAGCUAGAGUAUAAAGCAUAUUGGGCACUAAAACAACUCAACAUGGACAUGUGUUGGUUAUUUUAACUCAAUUGCUAUUGAUGUCAAUGUCCAAGUGUACACAACAAGUAAUAAAGUGAUGAAUAUUCAAAAUCGUCUCCACAUGGAUUGAUGUUACUAGAAAUAUUACGGCAAUCACGAUGGUGCAAACUUCCUUCUAUCUAAAUAAACAAAAUAAAGUUGAUUGACUAAUAAUAUUAACAACUUAACAAAGUAAAUGCAGUGAUGAAAGUAAAUUAGACGGUUUAUGCAAAAAGAAUUCACUAAGAAUAAGGUAGUUGAACGAUCAAACUCUCUUGAUGGGAUGACUGUUUGGUUCAACUAACACCAAUUACUGCAGCAACUUCUAUAGCACUGGGUAGAAUAACCUUGCAUCCUCAGUUUUCGCUUGUUAGGAUUCUCAUACCCUGAUGCAACCUAACAAUAACCAGUUGUUAUAUCACAUAAGAUAUGGCUUUACAAACAUAUACUAUCUCUACCCUACAAGGUGAAUCCCUAUAUCUAAUUCAUCACAACACUUAACUCAAGUGUGGCUCUUUUGGGACUCAAGUUAAACUCAAUCCAGGAAACUUGACUUAAGAUCAAAUAUUACUCUAACAAUUUCCACUAAGACAUGCCCUUUUGCAGCUCUCUCUUAACUUGAAUCAUUAAAUGAGAGGUCAACCGAAAUAAUGAUUGUAAUAAAAGCUAUUAAAGCAAAAUUCUACAACAAUCUUGCAGCAACUCAUAAGAACAGUCAAGAGCCCAUUUAGAUUGUUUGUCACUCAACUACGAUCAAAUUUAGUUCAUAACUUGGAAAAGAAAAACAAACAGCAAAGUAUCAGCCAUGAAAUCAUUGUUUCAAUCAAAGAGUAAGUAAGGGGACAAGUAAAAGAUGAUAAAAAUUGAAUCUAAAUAAUUCUGUAGAUUUCUUCAGUAGAGUAGACUUGUUUUCUCUUGAAUUCUGCUUCUUCCUACUUUUUCUCUUAAUUUUUUUUAUGUUGAUUCACGGCCCCUCUUUUCCAUAUGAUAUGUGCUCCUUUUAUAACUGAAAAUUAAGGUAAACGGAAGCCUAGGGCGCGCAUAAGUUAGAUUAGGAAACUGCAUAUCGCAAUUCUGCAAAUAUCUCGCACGGAAUUUCUUUGUCGUUGUUCCAGGAUUGCUACAGCAACGACUACAGCAACUGUACUGCUCCAAAUUUGUUUCAAUUCUUUUGUAGCCAUGUGUUUUCCUUAUUUUUGCAAGCCUGUUACAUCAGCAUUCCUUCCUUGAAAUUUGAGCUUCCGGAUACCUACAAUUAUGCACACAAUCUAAGCACGAAUUAUUAUAAAUCAAACAAAAUUUAUUAAGAAUAACUUAAAAUGAAUGUUUAUGCAAAAUAUAACAAAAAUACAAUGAAAACACAUUAUUUACUAUCUAAGUAAUAUUGAUUUAAGUAUAAAAGUGCCAUGAUAACUCUCAUUUCAAAGAGUUAUCACACCCCCAAACUUAAACAAUUACUUGUUAUCAAGUAAUAAUAACAACACUAACACUUCAAUCACACAAUCAUGCAACAAAUAACUUAGCUCUGCCAUUCAAAUUUGCAAGGAUUCUUCCACCCUCAUAUUACACUCUUAAUCACGUAAAAUAGUCAUACCAAUUUAGUUUUAGACUUAGGCUUCAUUCUGUCCAAAGUGUGUGUGUGCCUUUUUGAUCAAAUUCCAGAGGUGCUACAGCAUUGCACAAACUUUGUAUACAAUUCAGAGGUAGAGCACAAAUAUAUUCACAUAUGGGGGGAGCCGAACUCACAACUAUGUUCAAACUGUGCUAUAUAUAUAUAUAUAUAUAUAUAUAUAACAAUUAAACCCUUCAAUGCAACAUUGAACUUUCAUAUGAAUGCUUAUCAUUUGUAAUGACGAUGCCCAAUUACUCACUCAAAAUACAUGUUAGAGUUGCUGCAGCAACACAUCCAGGAUGUUAUAUCCAGGUCUUACCUUUGGACGCCUUUGACUCAAGGCUUAACAUGGGGCUCAUGAACAGACCAUGUUACUUAAUAUCCUCGGCAGCGAUCCUCCUUACUAAAAUUUUUUUUUUUUAACUUACUGCAGCAAUGCUCAUAACUUUUAUUGCCUUUGGACUCAAGUCUGCAUAUGAGGUGCAUACUCAGCCCUGGUUACUCAGCAACUUAUGACAUUGGAGCAAACUUUAUUUCAUAACAAGCGUAGUUCAACAAGAAAUUUCCCCCGAACUUGAGAUAUGUUCUACUCUUUUUGGUUUUCUUGGCUCUGCUACAGCAUUCUCAUAAAACUUAACCAAAGUCUAAGUGUCGGGACAGAAUUUCAACCUCCAUCUGUAACUAUCUCUACUUGGCAUUCUCAUAAAUACUGAAUAACACUCAAUUUAUCUUCAUUAGGUUUUCAAAUUCAUACACAAAUAUUAGAUAACAAAGCUUUACAUAACACACAACAAAAACAAAUGCAAUGCACUCAGGAACUCACUAUAUAAUAGCACAACCCCCCCAAACUUGAGAGGCGUUGUGUCCUCACAAGCACAGAACAUCAAAAUAACUCAACUAACACAUACAUACACCAAACAAAAGGACUUGCAGAAUGAAUCAGACAAUUAAAUUUAAAGGUAAGAAAAGUUGUGCAGAGAUAAGUAAAAUAAACUGGAGGAUAUAAGGUACUCCCUUGUUGCUGGGAGCAUUGAUACAACAAAUUGCAACCAAUUCACCGAUUUUUUGAGGCGCUCCACAGACGAUCCUUAGGAGAUUCUUGUCGUGAGGUAGCGGGCAUCAUUUUUUUCUUUCUCGGAGGUGGGUUGGUGGGAGGAGUUACAGUGGGUACAGCCUGCCGGGAUGGAACAGAUCUGGUCCUUUUUGGCACUGGUGUGUCUGAUGCAGCAACACCUCUAGAAGUGCCCCAUUUUCUCUUAUUGGGUCCUUUAGGACUAGUUAGAAUAGGUUUGCUGGGAGAUUGUACGAAGUAGCUGAAGCUGGUUUUUCAGCUACAUACCCCUCAGCCGUGAUUGCAACGAUAAUAUCAAGUAGGUAUUUUGUCUCUGUGGGUUUGUUUGUAACCCUAGUUGCUGCAGCUUCCAGCUCUGCAUCAAUGUCUUCUGCUUCAUCUUCGGAUGCAGAGCUGGAGCUUUCUCUUUGCCCUUUCGAGAGAGGAAUGGAAUGGGAGGCUCCUCUGCCGGUUCAUCUUCCUCUUCUCCUAUGAUGUGCUUUUUCCUAGACUAAAAGGAAGUCCUAGCUGGGGGUUCCUUGAGUUCUUUUUCAAGGUCUUCAUCCAUCUCUGUUAAGGAACUUUCGGUUGCAGACUUAACACCCUCUUCUUCAAGCUGGUCUAAUUGAUCGUCAGCAUCUGAAUCAACUUCUGUUUGCGGUUCUGCUGCAGCUUCAUCGACAAAUAGUAAUAAUCUUGUCUAAAUACCGCACUGGUUUAACCGGCUCCCUAGUACAAUUUUAUUAUUAUUUGGCACGAUAAGCCCUUAGCACCAUAUUGAUUAGAGUGUGGUUCAUGAGGAGUGGAAACCCCCUCAUGAUUUAAUUAGCAUUAAUAAGGAAUAUUUAGCCCAUGGUGCAUGUUGAUGCAAAUCCAAAUACCCAGGUACGUCAUUUUAAUAGAUUUUCACUUCAAUUUAUUCCCGUCAUUUUAAUUUGAAUUUUAGGAUUAUUUAAAUCACUUCCACCACAAAUCUAAUCACCCACUUAUGAAAAUUAACUUUACACACAAUUAAAAUUUACCCCUCAUGGGAUCGACACCGUCACCAUUAAUCUAUUCUACAAUAGAUUCGUACACUUACGAGUUCAAUAAAAUUUGCACCACAGAUUGUUGUAGCACAGUGUGAAUCUGUUGCAAGACCUUUGUCUCCCCCACAAGAUGGAUUUGGUUAUAUUGUUUUAUAUCUGCAAAAUGCAUUUGAUGCUUGAGUGAUGUUGCAGCAUCUAUGAGACUUGAUCAAAGUACACACACACACACACACUUUGGAUAGAAUAAUGCCUAAGUCUACAGCUGAACUACUAUGGCAAUUUUGCAUGAUUGAAGGUGUGAUUUGAGGGUUGAAGAAUCCUUGUAAAAUUUGAUGACAGAGCUAAGUUAUUUGUUGCACUAUUGUGUGAUUGAAAUGUGAGUGUUGUUGUCAUUGCUUGAGAACAAGUAAUGAUUUAAGUUUGAGGGUGUGAUAAAUCUAUGAAACGAGAGUUAUCAUGAUACUUUUGAGCUUAAAUCAAGAUUACUUAUAGAGUAAUUAAUGUGUUUUAGUGCAUUUCAAUGAUAGUUUACAUUAACAUUCAUUUAUAGUUUAAGUUUAAUAAAGUGCACUUGAUUUCGAAUAAUUUUGUGCUUAAAACAUAUGAAUAAUUGUAGAUAAUCGGGAGUUUAAAUUUCAUGGGAAGGAUGUUGUAGCAAUGGGCUUACAAAAAAGACAAAAGAAUAUGGCUAUAGAAGAAUUAGAGCAAAUCUGGAACAGUGCCGAUGUUGUAGCCAUUACCGUAACAACCAGUGCUGUGGCAAUUCUGGAACAACAACAGAGAAAAUCCCACGCAAAGCAAUUAACAAAUUGUGAUCUGUAGAUUCCUAAUCAGAAAGAUGCGCACUCAGGACAUCUGUUUACCCUAAUUUUGAGCUAUAAAAGAGGCACACAUGCAAAAGAAAAGCAGGCCAUCAACCAAGAUCAUAAAUAAAAAAAAAGAAAUAAAGGAAAAACAGAUUUCAAGAGCAAGAAUCAAGGUUACACCAGUGGAGAAUUAGCGGGAAUCAAUUGGAAUUCAAUUUUUUUUAUUCUUCUUUUGAUUUCUUGUUUAUUCUUUGACAUGAGAACGUAUUUGCUGGCUGAAUCUUUGUUGUUUAGGUUUCUUUUGCAAACCAUGAACUAAUAUUAUUUGUGGUUCAAUGAUAAAUAAUUUUAAUGGCUCCUUGACAGAAUUUAUAUGUUACAGCAUGUUUACUAUAGCAUUUUGUUGUGAUAGUAUUUAUUUGAAACCAUUAUUUCGGCUGACUACCAUUUAAUGAUACAAGCUAGAAAAGAGCCACAAAAUGGUCUAUCUUAGUGGAACACAUCAUAACAAUACUUAAUUUUAGAUUGGAUUUCCUGGGUUGAGUGUAACUUAAGUCCAAAAUGGUCAUGCCUAAUCUAAAAUUAAUGAUGAACUAGAUCUAGAGAUUCACCUUGUAGAGUAAAUAGAACCUAAACGUGUAAUGUCAUAUAUUAUGCUGGCAAAACAAUUGGUCAUUGUUAGGUUGUAUAUAGAUAUAAGACAUCGAACAUGCAACAGCUGAGGAUACAUGAGGAUUCUGCCUAAUGCUGCAGCAGAUACUGCAGUAACUUAAAUGAAAUUUGCAAGAAAUAGUCAAGUCCGUUAAGAGAGUUAAUCACUCAACUACUUCAUUCUCAUUAAUUUUAUCCUUGUGUUUGACGUGAGAGUUUACUUUUCUGCAUAUUUACUUAUUGCAUUUUAUUAGGUAGUUUAUUAGUUUAAUUGUUCAAUCUAUUUUCAAUUCGAGCAAAAUUGUUAGGGUUGCUAUAGCAAUUUCCAUAACAUCAAUAUCUAUGGAGAUGAUCUUAAAUACUUAUCAUUAUAUUAUUUGUUGUGUACACUUGCACAUUGGCACCCAUAGCAUUUGAAUUUAUACCAACAUUGGUCUCUCCCUUCGUGCCCACGUUCUCUCGAAGUCAGACUCCCAACUCCAUUGUUAUGUACCCCGUCGAGAUGCCGCCUAUUGAAGGAAUCUCCUCAUUUCUAUUCCUUCGGUGACUGGGCUCCUGGCAACAUCAUCUCUUGUCACAUUGGUCUUGUAAACCCUUAUUUGCUCAUUCCUUAGCUCAUGCAAUAUGGCGGUAAAAGUCUCCAUCUGCUUUUCCAUCCGCUCCAUUCGCUCAUGCAUCACUCUCUCCCUUGCCUUAUUUGCUAUUUCUCUCACAGUUAUCGUCUCAUUAGUCUCAUGCUCGCCUCCUUGGGCAUUAUUCCUCCAUAUAUCCUUGUACACGCGUUCACUUCUCUCUGCGAGUUGCUCUGUUUGUAGUAGCUUUUUGUUCAGCUCCUCACAGACGGGGACAAAAAUGUUGAUGCAAAAAUUUGAUUGUAUUUUAGGGCUGACCAGGUUGUCUCGUCAACACUCGAGUUAACUUUGGCUAAGCGCUACGUUGCUCGUUCCUUCCCUUGACGAGCGAAUUCUACGACCACAACCAACCUCGUUCCUUCUCUUUUGACCUAAACUCACAUAAAUGGAUCAGGGGCGUCGGUAAUUUUUUCGGCGAAAAUCCUCUAAUACUUAUGUCAGUAUGUAGGGUCUUAGGAAAAACGUUGGACUAUAGAUCUAUGCAAGCUAACAAUUGUUAAAUAAAGGAAAAGUCUUUUUAAAGGUUUCAUGAAAGUGAGUUCUGAAUCCAAAAUGGCAGAGUUUUCCCUUGUUUUUUUCCUUUCUUUUUCCUUUUCUUGUCGUUUUUCAGGGUUUUAUAGUCAGCAACCGUUUGUGUCUUGAACAUCCCCCCACCUCCUCUAUAUUGGGGCCAUCAUGUAGGGGUGGGCAAAAUACCCGACCCGACCCGACCCGACACGAUCCGACCCGAAAAAAUUCGGGUUCGGGUCGGUUCGGGUUGUUAUUGAAACCCGAACGGGUGAAAAAUUACAAACCCGAUCGGGUUGUGAUCGGGUCGGGUAAAACCCGAUCCGAUCCGAAUACCCGAUCGGGUCGCCAAAAAAAAAAAUAUCACUAAACCUAUAAACACAUCACACAUGCACACACCAGACACCACACACACGGCCACACAAAGUUACAACUCAAAAAGUCACAAAAACAAGUGGCUAAAAAAAAUUGACAAAUAAAAAACAAAACAUAAUUAUAACCCACACACACAGGCCACACAAACAUUGAAACAUAUCUUCGCUGCCUUCACACUUCACAGUCCUCAUCCCCACAGCCCUCAUCCUUAACACUCACGACUUCACACACACACACAAAUAUCGCAAAAGCCAAAAGCAAAGCGGCAGCUAGCAGCCAACGCAGAGAAGAGAACGGAGGAAGCGCAGCCAGCGCAUGCAGCCACCUAACCCGUGACUGGAUCUACUGCUCCGCGACAUCCGUAGCUACCAGAUCUGCUGUUGCCGGAUAUCUACAGGAUCUGCUGCUGCUGGAUCCGCUGCGCUGCUAUCAGAUCUGCUGCUGCAACCUCCACCACCACCAAGUUCCACCGCGAACCAGCAACCCGAAUUCUUUUCUUUUUUGAUGCUUUGAUGGUAUAUAAUAAUAUAUUAUAUAUUAUCUGUUAAUUGCUAAGUAUAUGUAUUGUUAAAUGUUAAUAAUAAAAUGAGGGAAAUUCUUGUAUCGAAAAUUUUGGAGUUUAAUUUAUUAAGUCUGUGGAAGCUUAAAUAAUAUGUAUGUAUGAUUUGUUUUGUUUUGUUUUGUUUUGUUUUUAAUGAAUAGAUUAAGCAGAUUAAGCAUUAAAAUUAAAUAUUUUGCAUUUGAUCUGUGCAGUGUUUCACCCGAUCCGAAUUAACCCGAAUUUAACCCGAUUAUUUGACCCGAUCCGAUCCGAUCCGAAUAUGUUCGGAUCGGGUCGGAUCGGGUUACAACUUCGGGUUGAGUUCGGAUGAAUUCUUUUCUAACCCGAUCAACCCGAAAUCCGAUCGGGUUGAUCCGAACCCGACCCGAACCCGAAAAUGCCCACCCCUACCAUCAUGGAUCAAAUGGACUGCGAAAAUCGUUCAUUGGUUAUCGUGCCUCCCUCGAACGGUUUGGACGUGGUGAAGCUGCUGCCUUGAUGUGGCAUCAUGCCUUAUUUUUAAGUACAAUUCUCUGGUCCACCUAUGGCUUACACCGAAGAGGGCUCUGGUGCCAUUGUAUCUACUCAUCAAAAUAGAGCAGAGGAGAUUCUACCUCAACCAGAUGAAUCACAUGCGGCUGAUGCUCUUUUAAUCACCCAAACAAUAUUAAAGUUAGACAUUUUAUGAUUAUAUGAUAAACGAGUCUAGAAAUAUGUAUAAAAUACGAACUUAAAUUGUGACAAUAGAUUAAAUUGUGAGAACAGAUAUAAACCGUUGAAUUAAUACCAACGAAUUAAUGUUUCGUUCAACUUUUUUCCAGCAUUGUAAUAUUUGUAAGAAAAAGAACAACAGUAAAACAAAGAAAAAGAGAGGGGGUGGGGGGACCACUGAAUUAAUUAACCCAUUCUUUUAAUAUUUGCAUGAAAAAGAAGAACAGUAAAAUGAAGAAAAAAAGAGGGGGCAAGGGGACCACUGAAUUAAUUCACCCAUUCUUUUAAUGCACUUGAUUUAUUUUGCAAGCAUAAAUUGGGGAACGGUGAAUUAAUGCACUCGUUCUUUUUCUUUGUUUUCUUCCUCUUUUUUUUCCUCGAAUUACACAACGGAUUUUUCUUGAAGAUUAUGAUAUUGACGAAAAAAAAAAUGCGAAUUAAAAAAAAAAGAAUACUCAGUUUCCUAACAAGAGACUCAGGCAGGCUUCCAUGUUCCAAAUUUUGCACAAACAAAAAGAAUACGAUGGAUUUUUAAAAAAAAAAUAGAUUGGCAACGGAUUUGGAACAAUUAAUAUAUAUAUAUAAUUUAAAUUUUAAAAACUAUAGUUAUGAAAUUAGAAUAUGAACUUAUUGGAUUAAAAUUAGAGAGAACGUAUGUGAUUAUGGCGGUAAUAUGAGAUCUGAUGAUUUAUAUAUUAGAGUUUAUAGAUAAAUAAGAUACAAUUAUCUUUUAAUAAAAUAUAAGGUUAUAAUAAAAAUUUUAAUAAGGUGUGGUACUUUAUUAAAUAAGCUGCUUAUAAAAAGUAACCCCCUACCUGCUUUUAAAAGCUGCUAAUAAAAUGGAUAAAAUUAUGAAAUAAUAUGAUUUUACAAAAUUUAUCAAACACUGUUUUUAUCAAAAAUUAUGCAAUAAACAGCUUAUUAAAUUUCCACCACAAUCUCAAACUAGCCCUAACUAGGAUUAGAUUGACAAGAUUGAAUGAAAUAUUUUGUCCUCUUUAUCACUCUUUUCUUUUUCAUUUAAACUAAUAUUUAACUUAAGUUAAAUAUAAAAAUUAAUUUCAUAAUUUAUUCACCUAGAAUUUUAUAUUAUAUCCAGUAUCAAAAUUUUAUUCAAUAAUUUUUUUUAAAUUGUGCUUAAUUUAAUUCAACAAUUUAGUUAAUCUAGUAUUGAAUAUUAAAUGUAAAAAUUAUUCAAUUAUUUGUUUACAAUAAAAUGAAUAUUAAGCAUCCAAAUUAUUAUUUACUAGUAUUUUAUAUCCAUUAAUAUAAUAAUUCAUAAGAAGCACAUCAUUCAUUAAUUGAGUUUUAUAUAAAAUAUCAACUUAAAUAUCAUUAAACUUAAUUUUAAUUUAAUUUAAUUUAACCCAAUCUAAUAUUAUACCAAACAAGCAUAAAUAUAUAAUUUAAUCUAAUUUAAUUCUAAUAAUUAGUCGAAUCCCAUCAUAUGUCUCGAACAUAGCCAAAAAGUAUACCAUUCAUGCAUUCGAUUCGAGUGCAAAGUGCAGUGGUGGAGGAAUUAGGCUUGGCAAGGGGAUGGGUCCGGCUAAGUUUUGUAAAAUAAAGGGUCCCAACCCUUAAAAAGCCCGACCCUACAAACUAGGGUUGUACUCGGGCUUUAUCCAAGCCCGACCAUAAUUUUUAUAUUUUUUUAAUUUUUAGAUUCUUUUUUUGGAAUAAGGCUCCAAUUCUUCAUUUUUUUUAUUAACUAGAAAAUAGAACCGCGCUUCACGCGGCUUUUAAAAAAAAAAUUAUUAUUAUCAUUUUUUUUUACUUUACAUUUGAUGAAACUGAUAAAAAAUAUAAAUUAUUUUUUUUAAUAUGAGGCAGCCUUAUAAAAAACAAAAAAAGUUAUUAGCCAACAAUACAAAUAAAGAAGCAACGCAAGAUAAAGAAUAAAAUGAGAGAAUAUAUUAUAGAGUGAUUUUAUUCAUUCCAAUUGUGUGUGUACAAAAUAAAAAGAUGAGCUCUCCUUUUAUAGUUAUAUAAUUACUCUAUGAAAUUAAUGAAAAAUUAUAGAUCAUAAUUCCUUAUGAGAUAAUGGGAGUUAUAAGAAAGCUAAAGGUUGCUAAAGGGAGGUAGUGGGGAGAUUAAGAGAUAUAUGUUAUAAGCAUCUACAUUUAUUUUAAUAAAUUAAUAACACUCCCCCUUAGAUGUUCAUUACAAAGAAUAUACCUCAUUAAAAUCUUUACAUAAUUAUUAUUGUGUAAUAACAAUCAAAUUAAUUAUGAGAAGAUGAAAAGUCAAAUUUAAAAAAAAAAUCUCUAUUUAUUAGAUAAUAGAGAAUAUACAAAGAUGAUAAAUGUUCAUGCCACAUCACCUCCUCAAGUCUCAGCUUUAUAUAUAUAUAUAUAUAUAUAGAUAUAUAGAUAUGAUUAUUAGAUAAUAGAGAAUAUACAAAGAUGAGAAAUGGUGAUGCUACAUCACCUCUUGUAUAAUUUAUGAUUAAUAAAGUUUCAAUUAAAGAAGAUAGUGGGUCUUUUGAUGAACUGUUACAUAUUAAUUGUGUAAUAGCAGUCAAAUUAAUUAUGAGAAGAUAAAAAGCUAAAUUUGAAAGAAAAUUUCUCUAUUUAUUAUAUAAUAGAUAAUAUAUAAAGAUGAGAAAUGGUGAUGUCACGGCACCUCUUGUAGUUCCAACUUUCUAUAAGUAUAUAGAUUGGAUUAACAAGGGUGAUAAGUUUGUUUAAAGUUAAAAACACAGCCUGAUAGAUCAUAAAUAGACACAGAGAAAGUCGUGGGUUCAAUGAAGAAGAAGGCUGCGGUAGGAGAGUCUCUCGUCACUUCAAAUGUGGGAGUAAGCUACUACGAUAUUUACAAACACAUCAUCUUUACACACACAGUUCCUCUUUCAUCAUGAUCUUUGUUAAAAUGAAAUAUAAUUACCUUCAUCUUCAUUGACAUCAACUUUGAGCCCGAGUCAGUGCAGCGAAGAAAGGCGGCUGGGGGUAAACGCAUGCAAGCCAAUCGUGUAUGGGCAGCCUCCAUCUCCUGCAUGUUGCCAACGUAUUAGGGUUAGCCAUAUUGAGUGUGUCUGCCCUGCUAUCACCCCCAAGCUGGCCGCUUUCAUUAAUGUCAACCGUGUCAUUCGCCUCAUUGAAGGCUGCGGUAGGAGAGUCUCUCGUCACUUCAAAUGUGGGAGUAAGCUACUACGAUAUUUACAAACACAUCAUCUUUACACACACAGUUCCUCUUUCAUCAUGAUCUUUGUUAAAAUGAAAUAUAAUUACCUUCAUCUUCAUUGACAUCAACUUUGAGCCCGAGUCAGUGCAGCGAAGAAAGGCGGCUGGGGGUAAACGCAUGCAAGCCAAUCGUGUAUGGGCAGCCUCCAUCUCCUGCAUGUUGCCAACGUAUUAGGGUUAGCCAUAUUGAGUGUGUCUGCCCUGCUAUCACCCCCAAGCUGGCCGCUUUCAUUAAUGUCAACCGUGUCAUUCGCCUCAUUGAAGGCUGCGGUAGGAGAGUCUCUCGUCACUUCAAAUGUGGGAGUAAGCUACUACGAUAUUUACAAACACAUCAUCUUUACACACACAGUUCCUCUUUCAUCAUGAUCUUUGUUAAAAUGAAAUAUAAUUACCUUCAUCUUCAUUGACAUCAACUUUGAGCCCGAGUCAGUGCAGCGAAGAAAGGCGGCUGGGGGUAAACGCAUGCAAGCCAAUCGUGUAUGGGCAGCCUCCAUCUCCUGCAUGUUGCCAACGUAUUAGGGUUAGCCAUAUUGAGUGUGUCUGCCCUGCUAUCACCCCCAAGCUGGCCGCUUUCAUUAAUGUCAACCGUGUCAUUCGCCUCAUUGAAGGCUGCGGUAGGAGAGUCUCUCGUCACUUCAAAUGUGGGAGUAAGCUACUACGAUAUUUACAAACACAUCAUCUUUACACACACAGUUCCUCUUUCAUCAUGAUCUUUGUUAAAAUGAAAUAUAAUUACCUUCAUCUUCAUUGACAUCAACUUUGAGCCCGAGUCAGUGCAGCGAAGAAAGGCGGCUGGGGGUAAACGCAUGCAAGCCAAUCGUGUAUGGGCAGCCUCCAUCUCCUGCAUGUUGCCAACGUAUUAGGGUUAGCCAUAUUGAGUGUGUCUGCCCUGCUAUCACCCCCAAGCUGGCCGCUUUCAUUAAUGUCAACCGUGUCAUUCGCCUCAUUGAAGGCUGCGGUAGGAGAGUCUCUCGUCACUUCAAAUGUGGGAGUAAGCUACUACGAUAUUUACAAACACAUCAUCUUUACACACACAGUUCCUCUUUCAUCAUGAUCUUUGUUAAAAUGAAAUAUAAUUACCUUCAUCUUCAUUGACAUCAACUUUGAGCCCGAGUCAGUGCAGCGAAGAAAGGCGGCUGGGGGUAAACGCAUGCAAGCCAAUCGUGUAUGGGCAGCCUCCAUCUCCUGCAUGUUGCCAACGUAUUAGGGUUAGCCAUAUUGAGUGUGUCUGCCCUGCUAUCACCCCCAAGCUGGCCGCUUUCAUUAAUGUCAACCGUGUCAUUCGCCUCAUUGAAGGCUGCGGUAGGAGAGUCUCUCGUCACUUCAAAUGUGGGAGUAAGCUACUACGAUAUUUACAAACACAUCAUCUUUACACACACAGUUCCUCUUUCAUCAUGAUCUUUGUUAAAAUGAAAUAUAAUUACCUUCAUCUUCAUUGACAUCAACUUUGAGCCCGAGUCAGUGCAGCGAAGAAAGGCGGCUGGGGGUAAACGCAUGCAAGCCAAUCGUGUAUGGGCAGCCUCCAUCUCCUGCAUGUUGCCAACGUAUUAGGGUUAGCCAUAUUGAGUGUGUCUGCCCUGCUAUCACCCCCAAGCUGGCCGCUUUCAUUAAUGUCAACCGUGUCAUUCGCCUCAUUGAAGGCUGCGGUAGGAGAGUCUCUCGUCACUUCAAAUGUGGGAGUAAGCUACUACGAUAUUUACAAACACAUCAUCUUUACACACACAGUUCCUCUUUCAUCAUGAUCUUUGUUAAAAUGAAAUAUAAUUACCUUCAUCUUCAUUGACAUCAACUUUGAGCCCGAGUCAGUGCAGCGAAGAAAGGCGGCUGGGGGUAAACGCAUGCAAGCCAAUCGUGUAUGGGCAGCCUCCAUCUCCUGCAUGUUGCCAACGUAUUAGGGUUAGCCAUAUUGAGUGUGUCUGCCCUGCUAUCACCCCCAAGCUGGCCGCUUUCAUUAAUGUCAACCGUGUCAUUCGCCUCAUUGAAGGCUGCGGUAGGAGAGUCUCUCGUCACUUCAAAUGUGGGAGUAAGCUACUACGAUAUUUACAAACACAUCAUCUUUACACACACAGUUCCUCUUUCAUCAUGAUCUUUGUUAAAAUGAAAUAUAAUUACCUUCAUCUUCAUUGACAUCAACUUUGAGCCCGAGUCAGUGCAGCGAAGAAAGGCGGCUGGGGGUAAACGCAUGCAAGCCAAUCGUGUAUGGGCAGCCUCCAUCUCCUGCAUGUUGCCAACGUAUUAGGGUUAGCCAUAUUGAGUGUGUCUGCCCUGCUAUCACCCCCAAGCUGGCCGCUUUCAUUAAUGUCAACCGUGUCAUUCGCCUCAUUGAAGGCUGCGGUAGGAGAGUCUCUCGUCACUUCAAAUGUGGGAGUAAGCUACUACGAUAUUUACAAACACAUCAUCUUUACACACACAGUUCCUCUUUCAUCAUGAUCUUUGUUAAAAUGAAAUAUAAUUACCUUCAUCUUCAUUGACAUCAACUUUGAGCCCGAGUCAGUGCAGCGAAGAAAGGCGGCUGGGGGUAAACGCAUGCAAGCCAAUCGUGUAUGGGCAGCCUCCAUCUCCUGCAUGUUGCCAACGUAUUAGGGUUAGCCAUAUUGAGUGUGUCUGCCCUGCUAUCACCCCCAAGCUGGCCGCUUUCAUUAAUGUCAACCGUGUCAUUCGCCUCAUUGAAGGCUGCGGUAGGAGAGUCUCUCGUCACUUCAAAUGUGGGAGUAAGCUACUACGAUAUUUACAAACACAUCAUCUUUACACACACAGUUCCUCUUUCAUCAUGAUCUUUGUUAAAAUGAAAUAUAAUUACCUUCAUCUUCAUUGACAUCAAUUUUUUGUUUUUCUUUUUUCAGGUAUCACAACUCCCUGACUUAUCCCGCAGUUAGUUAAUAUACUUUGCCUGCUCCUAUAUAUAUAUAUAUGGAGACGGUUGGAGAGAUUAAUAAAACGCUGGCAUUACUUUUAAUGCUCAAGCUUUAUAUAUAAUUUAUUUGUCUGGUGUAAUGGUAACUCAUGUAUUAUCUUCAUCAAAUUACGCGUUUCUCUUAUUGCUUUUCAAUUGAUUUGCUGUCUUCAGCAAUCGAUCCUUGAUUUUCUUGUACAAUUUUCAUUACUAUUGUUGAGUUUUCUCGGACGUUGAUGGCUUGUUGCUGUGUAUGUAUGGCUGCAAUUAAACGACUGGAAACAUUUGCUCUGUGCUAUUCUUGUCUCUAUAUUGAUUCCAACUAAUAAUAAGAAACGCUACACAUAUAAAUUAAUGGUCCUGAUCGAUAAGCCAGCAAAGCAAUUAACAUACAACAAAAUGCCUAGAUGCCAGAAUGAAACGGAUUAGAGGAAACAAAAUUGCGAUUUGGCUUUCAUAUCCCUUCGAAACAAAUUGGUGAUUUUCUUCACAAUCGAAAAAUGCCAUCCCUCAGCAGCUAGCUAGCUUCGCACUCCUAGUAGUAGCUAGCGUUUCUACCUAGAAACUGUCAUCUCAUUCUCAUCUUAUCCCAAAAAAAAAAAAAAACUGUCAUACGCAUAAACAUUAUGGAAAGAUUUCUUUUCAGCACUACUUUCAUUAGUAAUAACAGCUGGCCUUUCAGUUAAUAAUACUAAGUCAAGAUUUAGAACACCUAAGUGAAACUGGAUCUGCUCAAACCAAUCUGAGUAAUUAAGGCCAUUGAACUUAACAACAAAUGAAACUUGCGAAUAAAGAGCAACAUGCACAAAUAUUGCAAAUAUAUAAGUGCUUACACAUUAAUGCUUUGAACUUAAACACAUAAUAUAUAUUUAGAUAAAAUUCACAUAAACCUUAAGCGCAUAUUGAAGUUCACCUUUGGAUACAAUAAUACACUACAAUAAACAUAAAUAAUACUUAACUUUAAUUUCACAUAAUUAGUAAUCAAGUACACAUUAAUUAGAUAUGCAUGCUACCUUUAGAUGUACUAAACAUAUCUAAUCAAGCAAAUUAAUUACUUAUAAUCAUAAUCAUAGAAUAUAAAAUUAAUUAAUCAACUUUUAGACGAUUCUUAAAUAUUUUAUAAUUUAUGAAUUUUAAUAUACCCAUACAAGAAAAUUGUCAUGUCAUUCGAUCAUAAGCAUCACAAUAAUUAUGAGUAUUUGAAAUUGAAAUUGAUUUGACAUCUAUGAAAACUUUCUAAUCUAACCACUUCGGUAACUAACAAAUUAAAUAUGAUACAGACAUCAAAAUCAAAUAAUGACGAAUGUUGUAAAAAUAAUAGGCAUAUAAAUACUUACAAUAAUAAUCAUAUAUUAAAGAAAAGAAACAUAAAUUCCUUGAGUUCAUUAAUAUUGCAUGUAAGCCAAUAAUAUGCAAAUAGUUUCAAACAUAUCAGACAUAUAAUUCAUAAGUUUGGUCAGAUUAAUUCGUCAUGGCCAAGUUCUUAAGAUUCAUAAGCCUAUAUCAAAUUCAUAAAACAAAAAUGUCAUGGCCCAAGCAUAAUUGAGAUAUAGUAAAACCUAUAAAACUAUAUACAUCAUGCGCAAGUUAGAAAACUUACCUCCUGCCAUAGUUAUCAGAUUCAAUUGUACACAACCUUUCUACUGGAAUGCAAACAAAACCAACGAAAACAAGCGAUGCUUUAUCCUCAGAAUUUUCUAGUCUAUCCAACACUUAAAUUCCUGAGAGUAGAUGGUAUACACAGGCUCUGUUGUUAGACCAGGGACCCUCAAUAUUUUUCUCGAGAAAACGUGACUGUUAGUCAUCUCCCAUCAAGAUGACAUGUUUAAAUAAAAGAGGAAGUUAUGAGCCGUUAUCCCCUUAAUUUUAGUAAACCACCCAUAAUGUGUAUGAGAGAUAUUAGGAAGAGGUGUUUUAUCUUUAUUCAAAUUUUAAACCAAACCCAACGUUUUAAAAGUAAACUAAAUAAAGAUAAAUAUCAAUUUAAAUUAAAAAACUAAUAAUUAAAAUAAAUUAGAUGGCCACAUAAUACACGUUUUGAAAACGUGUCUAACAAAACCUUGACCAAAAAAUAACAAUAAUAAUAAAAAUAAUAAAAUAUAAAAGCCCAUUAGAUUCAUGAGUAAUUCACGUGAACAAUGGUUCACAAUUUCAUAAAUCGCAGGAAAAAUUCAUACGGCCGUUGCAGCGGAAAUAUAUAUACAUCACCAUAAUCUUUAAUUGAAAAUCACGAAUUCUAAUUAUUGGGCUGAUACUAAUUGUUGGAAUUUUUUAUAAUUUUCAUAAAGCUAAUAAAUCCUAAUUUGCAUAAACUUUAAUUCUUAAAAUUAUAAAAUAUCAUGAUUUUUACAUCAUCAUAAUUAAGAAAAAACAUACCCUGAUCCAUGAGAAUUUUUUUUGAUGAAAUAUCACUGUAAGGAAUUAAAAAUUAACAAAAUUGAUUUAUCUCUCUUGACCCUUAUAGAGUGAUUUACUUUCUGAUGGAGAGAAAAUUAAAGUGAUAUCCUUUUUAUAUUGGGUGGAGAGGGGAUCAAUUUUAAUAAAACCAUAAUUCCUACUUUCCAUCAAAGUGGGCAAUUAAUUUUAAAAUUUCAGCUCAUAAUUUAUUUUAUUAUUUAAAUCCUAAAUUAUUACUAACUUAUAAUGUGGCACGCGGGCCACUGUAAAAUAUUCCAACAUUAAUUUCGGCAAAUUUUAGCUAGCUUUCCCUUUUGGGGGGUCAAGCUGGCUUUUGGCUUAAAAUUUUCCACGAAGGAAAGCAAAGACACCAAGUCAAGGUCUUCCCAUCAAAUGAAUUGCUUAAACAACACGGCAAUGUAACCCCACUACUACUAGAAAGCUCUUAAAUAUAAUAUAAACUAGAAAAUAGAACCGCGCUUCAUGCGGUUCUGAAAAAUGAAUUUAGUAUUAUUUUUUUUAUUUUACAUUUGAUAAAACUGAUAAAAAAUAUGAAUUAAUUUUUUUUAAGAUGAGGCAGCCUUAUAAAAAAUAAAAAAAGCUAUUAACCAGCAAUACAGAUGAAAAGCCAAAUUUAAAAGAAAAUUUCUCUAUUUAUUAGAUAAUAGAGAAUAUACAAAUAUGAAAAAUGGUGAUGCCACAUCACCUCCUCAAGUCCCAACUUUAUAUAUAUACUAGAAAAUAGAACAGCGUUUCAAGCGGCUUUGAAAAAAGAAUUUAGUAUUAUCCUUUUUUUUUUACUUUACACUUGAUGAAAUUGAUAAAAAAAUAUGAAUUGAUUUUUUUUUUAAAUGAGGCAGUCUUAUAAAAAACAAAAAGAAAACUAUUAGCCAGCAAUACAAAUAGAGAAAUAACGCAAGAAAUAAAAUAAAAUAAUAGACUAUAUUAUAAAGUGAUUUUAUUCAUUUCAAUUGUGUAUGUACAAAACAAAAAUAUGGGCUCUCCUUUUAUAGCUACAUAAUCACUCCAUGAAAUUAAUGAAAAAUUAUGGAUCAUAAUUCCUUGUGAGAUAGUGGGAGUUAUAGGGAAGCUAAAGGUUGCUAAUGAGAGAUAGUGGAGAGACUAAAAGAUAUAUAUUAUGAACAUUUACAUUUAUUUUAAUAAAUUCAUAACAUUCCCCCUUGGAUGUUCAUUACAAAGAAUAUGCCUCAUUAAAAUUAAAAUCUUUACAUAAUUGUUAUUGUGUAAUAACAAUCAAAUUAAUUAUGAGAAGAUGAAAAGCCAAAUCUAAAAGAAAAUUUCUCUAUUUAUUAGAUAAUAGAAAUAUACAAAGAUGAGAAAUGUUGAUGCCACAUCACCUCCUUAAGUCCCAACUUUAUAUAUAUAUUAUAUUGUAUUAUUAUUGUUCCAUUUUUUGUUGAUUUUGGUUGUAAGGAAUUAAAUUAAUUAAUUUUUAUUUAGCAUUAACAACAAUAUAACAUGUAACAAUCUAACCAAAUUAGCAAGUAAAUAAACCAAAUAUUAAAUAUUAAAUUAAUAUGAAAUAGGGACAAAUAUUAGUAGAGUGAGUUGAGACCACGAGUGGUAUGUAUGUUUAACUUUCAAGUGUUAUUUUUUUAAUUUUAAAAAUUCAUUUGAGGAUCGGUCAAAGUUUUUUUAUAAGGCCCUACAUUGGGUCUGAUUCUUUGAGCCCUAACUCAGUCAUUAACUCCUUAAACUGAGGCUAAAGUCAUAAAAGUUAUGGUUAGAUCAAUUUGGCCAGGCCAAUAGUUGGGUCGAGCCUUUCUACCAUCGCUAGGAAGAAUUAUCGGGAUGAAAAAAUAAAUUUUAAUUCCUCUAAAAUAUUAAUAAUAUACUAGUAAUUAAAUAUUUUAAUGAUUAUUCAAUUCCAUAAAAUAGCCAAGACCUUUUUUUCCCCCUUGACUAAAAAUGCCGAAAGCAAGUCCACUGGAGGAGCCAUCAAUGACAUUGAGAAUUUAAAGACCCGAAGCAUUGAGCACGAAAGUUCUUGCCGACAAGAGAAAGAGGUGGUCAUGAUAUUUUCUUGGAAACAGAUCCAGUGCUCAGCUGAGUUUGUGCUGAGCACCCGAUCAAUGGUUAGCAAUUAUCUUAUAUAGACCUUAAGCAAUUUCUAACUAUUGAUAUGGUGCUCAGCACAAACUCAGCUGAGCACCGGAUCCUGAUCCUAUUUCCUUAGUUUUUGUCGGCCCAAAUUAACAGAGACAAAAUAUACCACACGAGCUAAACACUUUCCGGAUAACCCGGUGAAAUAAAUUUAGAGAUUAAGUGAAAAAACAAAUCAAACGAGUUUAUUUAUUGUCCUACAGAAAUGAAAACAACUAUUACAAAACCUAUAUCAAUUGCUUUUCGACUCAGGGUUUCAACAGUUUUCUGCCUUGGAAACGCCUUGUAAAGUAUUUGAUUCAAAACCUAACCAUCGCAGUUGAGACGAAACUUAUAACAAAAAUUACAACAUAAAACUCUGAAACUUCAUAAUUAGCCUAUUACUCUAAACUUUAAAGUCUAUCAUUUUAACCAUUCAAUUCCUUUUCUAAAACUCUUUUUUUUUUUUUUUUUUGGUUUCUUUGUUUGUAUCUCCCACUGUAAUAAUGCAAGUUCAAAGUCCACCGAGGGGCCACAGCAAACACUUAAUUGAUGACUUAGAAGACUUGAUGAUGAUCCAAAGCAACGAGCACGGAAAUUUCUUGCAGAAAUGUGAGACUGAGAUCAUAAAUCCUUUUCAAGCAUACUAUUACGUACCAAAUUCGAUUGAUGCAAACGUAUCAUAUGGGCAAACGGAGGACAUUAUAAAUGUCAAGCAAUAUAAUAACAUUCUCAUCAUAAGCACAUUUCCUUUCCCCAUAAUUAAUUCAUCACUAUCCACAGCAAUGACAUCAACCAUCAUGCGUGUUUCUGUUGCCCCUCUCUUUCUUGAGUUGUUUACUUCAGUUACCAUGAUCAACAUCAGCUUCUGCAUUGCCAACUCUAACGUGGCUUGCAUAGACAGUGAGAGACAAGCGCUUUUAAAGUUGAAGCAAGAUCUCAAUGAUCCUUCAAACCGUCUUGCCUCUUGGAAUAUUGGUGAUGGAGAUUGCUGUGCAUGGGAUGGUGUUGUUUGUAACAACUUCACUGGCCAUGUCCUUCAGCUCAACCUCGGAAACCCUGAUCCUAAUCAUGGGACGGGGUCAAAGCUGGUUGGUAAGAUAAACCCCUCUUUGGUUGACAUAAAGCAUUUGAUUCACUUGGACUUAAGCGGUAAUGAUUUCCAGGGAAUUCAUAUUCCAAAAUAUCUUGGUUCUCUUCAGAACCUUAGAUACCUGAAUCUCUCUGGAGCCGAAUUUGCAGGAGUGAUUCCUCACCAACUUGGAAAUCUCUCUAAUCUUCACUAUCUUGAUCUCAGUAAGAAUUUUUAUGAGUUACAAGUUGAAAGUUUUUUAUGGCUAUCUGGUCUUUCUUUGCUAGAGCACCUCGAUCUGAGUCAGGUUGACCUUAGUAAAUCCUCUGAUUAUUUACUCACGAUAAACUCACUCCCUUCUUUAAGAGUAUUGAAGUUGUCCUACUGUGAACUCCAUCAUUUUCCUUCAUUAUCCUCUGCUAAUUUUUCCUCCCUUAAGGCCCUCGAUCUUUCUGGAAACCAUUUUAAUAACUCUUUGUUUCAAUAUAGUAGUUGGGUUUUUGGUCUUCGUAAUUUAGUCUUUUUCGAUCUUGGUAAUAAUGAAUUUCAAGGUAAAAUCCCCAUUGGACUAGGAAACUUGACAUUUCUUAGACGUCUUGAUUUAUCUUCUAAUGAAUUCAAUUCUGCAAUACCUGGCUGGUUGUCUAAGCUUAAUGAUCUUGAGUUCCUUUCUCUUAGAGGUAAUAGCUUGCAAGGUAAGAUUUCAUCAAUGGGUCUAGAAAAAUUGACUUCUAUCAAAACUCUCGACCUUUCCUUAAAUUAUGAGCUUUCAGGGAAGAUUCCAACAUCGUUUGUACGGCUUUGUAAGUUGACAUCAAUCGAUCUGUCGUAUGUUAAAUUGAGUCAAGACUUAUCACAAGUUUUAGAUAUUUUCUCUGCGUGUGAUGCAUAUGCACUAGAGUCACUAGUUUUGAGGAGUUGUCAAUGUUCAGGUCACUUGACAAAUCAACUUGGGCAAUUUAAAAGUUUGAACAGGCUUCGACUAGGUAACAAUUCUCUUUCAGGUCCACUUCCAUCUGCUUUAGGAGAACUCACAUAUUUGACAGAUCUAGAUCUUUCCAGAAACAGGCUGAAUGGUUCCAUUCCAUUGUCUCUAGGACAAAAUUUAAACUUAGAAUAUCUAGAUUUGUCCAACAACUUGUUGAAUGGUUCUAUUCCAUUGUCUUUGGGAAAAUUUUCACACUUAGAGUAUCUAGAUUUGUCCAACAAUAGGAUGAGUGGAACACUUUCUGAAAAUCAUUUUGUCAAUCUAACAAAACUGACUUCAUUUUCUACAUCUGGUAACCCGCUAAUCUUGCAAGUCAAUCCGAACUGGGUUCCUCCUUUUCAACUCGAUACAUUGAAAUUGAGGUCAUGUCAUUUAGGGCCUCAUUUUCCAUCGUGGCUUCAUUCACAAAAGCAUUUGUCUGAUUUGGACAUAUCCAACACAAGAAUUUCUGAUACUAUUCCUCGUUGGUUUUGGAAUUCCAUUUCCCAAUAUAAGUUUUUGAAUCUCUCUAGCAACCAAAUCUACGGUGAGAUUCCAAAUUUAGAUUUUGAUAACCGUCCAUCGCCUCUUCUACCUCCCUCAUCUGGCAUACUUGAUUUUUCUAAUAAUGGUUUUUCGGGGUCCAUUUUUCAUUUAAUAUGUAAUGGGUUAAAGAGCAUUUCUUAUCUCCAACUCUCGAAAAAUUACUUUUCUGGGGAUAUACCUGAUUGUUGGAUGAAUUGGCCUGGCUUGGGUAUGCUGAAUUUAGGUAACAAUAACCUUACUGGUAGUCUUCCGGCUUCAAUUGGAACUUUAAGUUUUCUUUGGUCAUUGAACCUGCGCAAUAAUAGAUUGUCUGGAGUCAUUCCUGCGUCAUUUCAAAAUUGUUCAGGUUUGGUAUAUCUUGACAUGGAUGAAAAUGAGUUUGUCGGGAACAUCCCAACAUGGAUGGGGGAGAGAUUUUCUGGAUUGUCGAUACUCAUUCUUCGAUCAAACAAGUUUCACGGCUAUUUGCCAAUUCAACUUUGUCGUCUAACUUCUUUACAAAUUUUGGAUGUUGCAAACAACAAUCUCUCGGGAACCAUACCCAGAUGCAUCAGUAACUUCACUGCUAUGGCGACGACGGACUCAUCUAAUCUACAGAAUGCCAUAUCUUACGUUACAAUGAUGGAUGGGACCGAAGCUGCGCUGGAUGCAUCAGUUGUGACGAAGGGGUUUAUGGUUGAAUAUGACUCCAUUCUGAAUUUGGUAAGAAGCAUAGACAUUUCGAAGAAUAAUUUCUCGGGAGAAAUACCUAUGGAACUGACAAAUCUUAAAGGACUGCAAUCACUGAAUUUGUCCCACAAUUUUUUCACCAGCAAAAUUCCUGAGAAAAUUGGUAAUAUGAAAUCAAUUGAGUCCCUCGAUUUCUCAGCGAACCAACUUUCUGGUGAAAUUCCCCAAAGUAUGUCAAGUUUGUCAUUUUUAAAUCACCUGAACUUGUCCAACAAUCACUUGACUGGGAAAAUUCCUUCAAGCACUCAAUUGCAAAGCUUCGAUUCAUCCUGUUUUGCCGGCAACAAUCUAUGCGGAGCUCCACUUCCUAAUUGUACUGGGAAUAAUCCUCUUGUACCUGAAGAUCCAAAUGGAAAUGGAAACGAAGAUGAAGACGAAGUGGACUGGUUGUUGUAUCUAAGCUUGGCACUUGGAUUUGUAGUGGGUUUUUGGGGUUUCAUAGGUUCUCUACUUGUCAGCAGAAGAUGGAGGUACAAGUACUGUCAUUUUUUGGAUGGCAUUAUGGAUGAAUUUGGCUGCUUUGUAAGAAGAUGUUACUAGAUCUUUCCGUGCCUGUAUGUUUGUUGUAUUAUGUACUUGGGGUCGAGGAUGCAAUGUCACUCGAUCAUUACAAUAAAAGGAAAGAAUUGGACAUUGGAGCCCUCCAAAAUUACACUAUUUUUUCACAAUGUUUCAACAUUUAGAUCACCUAAGCAGGUGUCGAGAUUAAAUGAAUUUAAGCAAAAAAACUCAAUGAGAGAGCUAUUGAUUUCACAGUCCAAUCUCUACAUAAAAUUUAUGUUUCUUCGUUUCAGAGGGUAAAAAAUAAGAGUUGUCCAUUCAUUAGUCCAUCCGACAUUGCUAAUGAAGAACUGCUUUAGAUAAUUUACAAACAUUUUCUCUAAAUUAAAUUUGUAUUUUAGAAAAAAAAAAGUCUCACAAUAUUCCAAACACACCUAAUAGUUGAUUUUAGGCAGACUUUUUUUUUUCUCUGUCUCUCUCUCUCUUUCUUGAAUAGCACAACUUGUUAGGUCAAUUCACCUAGACAUUUUCUUGAAUGAGUGAAGAAAAUGGUGUUUGGUGUCAGUGAUAAAGAGAUGGAAAAAUUAGAUUGUUUAUGACUGAGUGACUGUGUGUGAUAGAGUAUUUGAACUAUACACAGUUAAUAUAACAUAGAUGAUUUUAGGCAGAGAUCGACUGAUUGUGAAUGCCUUUUGUGCUCAAAAUGACUCAAAUUCAAUUAGUAAUAAAAGGGUUAAGAGUUUGAUAUUUAACGGGGAGGUUUCUUAUUUCCAUUCAAACCUAAUUAAAGGAAAAAUAUAUAACAAACGUAUUUUUAGGCAUUGUGAUCCGGCUCAGGGAAAAAAAAAACUGAGAGUGAGAGAGAGAAAAGUUGAGCUAUUUUUGUGAAUUGACCUAACAAUUGGAUCACAAAUUUCACUAAUAUGAACUCCUUCAGGUUUGAAAAAAGAAUUACAUUGAAACGACGUGUCGGUUGACUCAAACGAGUACGGUACAAACCCUGCCUGAGAGUUUAGAGAUAAACCCUGGAAGCAGAGACAUUCAAAGCUAGGGUUUUGCAAAUUCUCAAAGACUAAACCGAAGAAGCCAAAUCAUGACACGACUGAGCACCGAGCAAAUUUUGAAGGACAACAAGACUGGCGAUCCCAAUUCCAUAAAAUCUCUGACUCUCACUCACAAAGCUCUCUCCGACGUCUCUUGCUUGACCGAUUUCAACAACUUAGAGAGACUCGACCUUAGCUCCAACAACCUCACUUCUCUUGAGGUGCCUACCAUUCAUUCAUUUCCCCAACACCCCAGUAACAAAUUUACGCCUUUAUCAUUUCUUGGCAUGAAAUUUCAUUUUUUUUAAAUUUUAUUUGAAGGGGUUGAGGCAUUGCGUGAAUUUGAAGUGGCUAUCAGUUGUGCAAAACAAAUUGCAAAGCUUAAAAGGAAUCGAAGGACUCUCUAAGCUCACUGUAAGUGUCAUCCCCUUGCUUUGUUCGUGAUGUUUUACAUUUUUUACACUUUUAAAUGGUUGCUUGUGAGAGAUUCUUGUUUUCCCAUGAGAAGGUUUCAAUGCUUAUUGUUUCUGGUGAUUUGGUUGAAAUCUUUUAUCCGUUUGUUAUUAUUGUCCAUUGGGACACUUGCUCGGUCUAAACUAGUUGUUUGAAGUAGUUUAGGUUUGGAAAUGAUGAGCUAAUUGGAUUAUUUAAAUUCACCUUGUUCUGUCUUCGAAAUUCAGGUGUUGAAUGCGGGGAAAAAUAAGCUUAGAUCGAUGGAUGAGGUGAUGUCUGUUGUGAGCUUACGUGCUUUAAUUCUGAAUGGUGAGAUUUAGACCCUAAUUGCAGCGCCCUUUUUGUAAGUUGGUGAUAUGAAAAUAUGGAAAUCAGUUCGUUUUUUAACCUUUUUUUUUUGUUGGGCGGGGUGGUUGUGCAGACAAUGAGAUUGUUUCGAUAUGCAAACUUUAUCAGAUGAAGGAAUUGAACACUCUUGGUACAGAUUCUUAUUUCUUCAUGUUCACACUUCAUUGUGUUUGAUAAAAUCUGUUCCUUGGCUGAUGUUUGUUAGUAGAUUGACAUUACAUGCUCUAGCCUAUGUUUGUUCAAGUGGUGUUGUCUAUAUAGAACUUUGGCGAGAAUGGGAGAGGAAUAAGAGCUGUAAUUCUUAGAGAAGUAACAAUUACAUUUUUCUUAGAGUCAAUAAUUUUUAACUCUAUAAAUUUUACUUGUUCUAGGAUUUGGUUUAAAGGAGUGGUUGGUUAAGGCAUGGUCGAAAGACUUUUGAGUAGAGAGCAAACCUGUUUGAUUUUGAGGAGAUAGCAAACUUGUGUGCAAUUCUUUUUGAUUUUGCAUGUUCGUGAUUGAUGAUACUGUGUUCAGAUCAAAGCAUUAUUGGAAUUCAAGUUGAUUCUUGGGAUAAAUGUUUGUUUCUCCUGCAGUUCUUUCUCGAAAUCCAAUUCGCAAAAUUGGCGAUUCUCUGCUCAAUAUGAAAGCUAUUACAAAGGUAAGCAAUGCUUUGGUCAUUAAUUGCCCUUAGCUAUUAUUUUGAAAGACUGUUGCUAAGGCUGUUAAUCAAGAUUGGCUCCAGCUCUCUCUCUCAAACUGCCAAGUCCAGAUUAUUGGUUCUUCGCUCAAGUCUUGCACAGAAUUGAAAGAACUCUGACUUGCUCACAAUGACAUUAAGGUAAAUCAUGUACCCAGUGGUCAUUUUAUGAUAGCAGGCUAUCCUCAAAUUCAUUAUAUUUUUUUUGUUUGUUAAUAUCAUGAUUGAUAUUUUGUUCAUUUCUUAAGUUGUCUUUCUCUGUCUCACUCUCUGAAUUGCCUAGACUCUUCCGGCCGAGUUGGCUUUUAAUAAGAAGCUUCAAAAUUUAGACUUAGGAAAGAACUUGAUCACGAGAUGGUCAGAAUUGAAGGUGAGGCAUUGAAAUAUUUGUUUCUUUUAUAUUUGUUUUCAUCAAGUUUUUUCUGUAUACUUCAUCACCAUGCAUAAUGGUAACAUGCUUGAAUAGCAGGUGCUACAGUCAUUAGUUAGUCUGAAUAACCUCAAUCUACAAGGAAACCCUGUAGCUGAAUAUGAUAAAUUGGCAAAGAAGGUAAUAUUGCAAUCAUUUUAUCAUGUUAAUCAUCUUUCAAGAAUUCUGCUCCUAGCUGGAUUAAUCUAUGUUCAAUAUUGUUGCAGGUCAAAAAUCUAUUGCCAAACUUGCAUAUAUUCAAUGCUAGACCAAUAGAUAGAAUCACCAAAAAUGAGAAGGACAAUAUAGUUGAUAAAGUUAAUGAUUCCUCAAAUAAUGCUGAUGACACGAUAAAAGUUCAUAUGGAAAAGAAAAGAGAUGGCACUAGAGAAACAAAUGACAAACCCUCAAAUAAAGAAAUUCAGUGGCGCAAAAGUGAUUCUGCAGCAGGGAAGAAAUUGAAAAAGAAGUCAAAAGAGCAAGAAAGGGAGCUUGAUGCUAUUAAUGAUGCAAUGAACUCUGGAGGCAUUGUGCCUGGUCGAAACAAAGAUGGCGAUCUAAAUAGUUCUAGAGAUGUUGAUAUGGAGAAAGAUCUGAAGCGGAAGAGAAAGAAAACCAGUGAAAAUCUCUCAAACAAAGACAUUCAAGUUGACGAU